GAUAUGUCAAUCCCAAAUCUAUUAUUCCAUUUAUUUAUUAAUUAUCAUAAAAACAUUUAUUAAAUGUGCUGUCCUCCAACUCUUUCCAUGAAAAGAAAAGGUUGUGAACCACCACAUUUGAUCAUGGACAAAAGGUAAUCAAAUAGUUGCCUCCACUAGGACAAGUAAACGUGCUCGAUUUAUCAUCAUAAGCAUAACUGUAAGCUUGAGGACACUGCUGCUUGAAAGUCAUCGAAUAUUGGCUAGGAGGACAUUUGUCAGGUGUAUUAUAGUCUCCUGUGCAGCAGUACUGCGGCUGGUUAAAUGCCAAACACGCGCUCUUGCAGGCAAUCACAGUCCCAUCUGAACCCUUCACUUGUAAACUAGGAUCACAAACAGCAUUCACGUUAGCUGCACAGCUUGUAGAAGGGCAGCCAGUAGAACCUCCUUGCGGGGUUAUCGAAAUCGGGAUGUUAAAGCCAUCAACAAGGCUUAUAUCGUAAAAAUCUUGCCCACCACUACCGCUUAGAGUAAAUUCUGCCAAGGAUGCUGGUGGGAUCGCACCGGCUCCAUUGCAUUCUAUGACACCGGAGGCACAGUCAGCAGUAGCACAAACAAACUUUCCCGAGGCAUCUGUAGAGCAUUGCGUUCUGGCCCAAAAGCGGCCAGACCAAUUGACAGGGACACUCAGCGAAGAUGAAGCACCCGUUGCCAAUGUGAAGCCAGUUGAAGAUAAAGACGGACCGCGAUCAGCCGUUAGAGUUCCUGGCCAGACUGUGUAUGGACACUUGUUUGUGAAGUCGAAAGUCACAGAUUGAGCUCCUGCAUGCGUGCAAGCUGCGCAAGAUUUAUUUUUGUUGAUAUCAAUAGUUAAAUCUUGGUCGAUUCAAAGAUAACAUAAUUCAAUAUUUAAGAUCUUGUAUUAAUUCACUUAUUUUUCUUUUACAAAUAUAACAUAACCCAGGAUUUUUGUUUAAUAUAUUUUUUUUCUUUUUAGUUUUUUAUCUGGAAACUCCCUCCUGGAUAAGUUUAUUGGAUUCACGAAAUCCAUUGAAUAAUGAAAACUAAUUAAUAUUGCAUAUGCAAACAGAAAAUAUAUAUGUAGAAUAAUCAAAGUGAAUAAUAUGCAUAAUAGAGUUUUCCAUGCAAGAAUCUAAUAUUUGUAAUAUUGUAAAACUACUUGCCACAGAGGAAGAUGACGAGGGUGAAGGUAAUUAUAGCAAUGGGCACACGACUCUCCAUUGCCGAGAUGCGUCGAAUUAACACUUUUUCAGUAUCUUUUAAGAGAUUUGAGCUAAGCAAGAAACACUCUAUAUUUUAAAAAGAUUGUGUUUGCCACUUAAUAAAUAGUGUUAAAUUUGCAGACUAGUAAACAGCCAAACAGAGGAACCGUCUUCCACACGCACCGUCUCAUCCACGAUGACAUUUGAAAAUGAAUGCCAAAUUAUAAAAUUAUAAUUUAUUUAUAUUUAUAAAAAAAAAUUAUAAAAUUGGGUCUAUCACCUGAAGUGUGUGGAUACCGUCCAUGCACUGACCUGCACUCAUCAACUAUUUUUUAAUAUUAUUUUUACUUAUAAAAUUAUAAAAUUAGAAAUAAACCACCCUGGUAAAAAAAAAAAAAAAACCCCAAAGAAAUAUACAAAUGCCCUUGGUUUGAACCACAAGUGACUAACUAGAUAUCUCAAGAGGAACGCCCUGCUUCUCACGUCUAAUUGAAUAUUGAAUGUAAUACCGUUUCCUUGUUUGAACCACAAGUGACUAACUAGAUAUCUCAAUUGAUGAGAAAGCAGACUAGAAAACAGAGGCAGUUCUCCUCCAUCAUGUGCGACUGAGGAGCCGUGAUGAGUGCGAGACUCUUCAAAAUUGAUGAGAAAGCAGACUGGUCCCUGCUUCUGGAAUGAAUGGAAGUCUAGAAUUUUUCCAAAUCCAAUUGUCUAAUGAAUGUAACUCUGGAAUUAUUCCAAAUCCACAAGUUUCAUAAUGUUGUGUUGAUUGUGAGACAUUAUUUCAAAAACUGAAGGGGAAUAAAAUUGUAAAAAAUUCUAAUUUUACAAAUUAUUCCAAAUAAAAAAACAAUAAACAAAAUAAUAGGAAUGAAAUUCAAAAAAUAACAAAUUAAAGGCAUGCUUUGAAAUUUUGAAGGGCUACACAUAAAAAUCAAGAAAAAAAAAUAUUGUCGGCAACAAACCAAAAAAUAUUUGUCACACGCGCUGCCUCACCCACGGCAGUAAUUGGUCAACAAACAUUCUGAACGUGCCACUUGAAGUGUGCGGAUCGCCCAAGAACUAACCUGUACUCAUCAGCUACUUUUUUUAAACUAUUUUUUAAAAAAAUAAUAUUUAUAUUUAUUAAAUUAUAAAAUUGAAAAUAAACCACCCUGAUAAAAAAAAAAAAAAAACCAAUGAAGAUAUACGAAUGCCCUUGGUUUGAACCACAAGUGACUAACUAGAUAUCUCAAUUAAUGAGAAAGGAGACUAGCAAACAGCCAAUUAGAGGAACGCCCUGCUUCUCACGUCUAAUGAAUGCAAUUGAAUGCAGGAACAGGGCCAUACUCACAAGAAAAUUAAUUACACCCGACAUCCUACUUUCUAAGUGUAAAAGCUAUAUUUCUGUGUCUAGAAAUAUCAGGUAGAUUUUUUUAUGGAAAUAUCUUGUCAAUAAAUAUCAAAAUAUUUGAUAUAGAGCAUAUAUCUAAUUAUGUUUAAUAAAAUUUUUAUUUGAAUAAAUUUUUAUUUAACCAAAUGAUUAUCCUUGCCAAUAAAACGAUGUCUAUCCAGUAUAAUUUUUUUAUUUAAUUUAUAUUUCAAAAUAUUAUGAAAUAAGAAUGCUCUUACCCAAGGUUAAAGUUCAAGCACGGUAUGAGAAGGUGGAAAAAGAUGUUGAUAACUAUUGGGGUCAUAGGUUUUCCUUCUUUUUUUGUGUCUUUGGAAAAUAGAAAUGCAAAGGACUGUCACGGAGUUUUUCCAUACCAUGCUUGGGCUUUGGAUGUAUGUUUCCUUGACAUGAGAUGAUGGCUACCUUGCUUUGGAUCCCUUGUCAACGAUGAUGCUCGUUAAUGUUGGUACAACUAUAUUUCUCUUUUCUAAAGUUAAGUACUAGGUUGAUAUCUAGAAAUAGGUUUAUCACGGUUUUAAGAAUAUCAAACACGCUAUUAAGAAAAAUUGUAAGGGUUUUUUUUUUCCACUAAGGACAUGUGUGAUUAAUAUUCCCAAACCUAUUUUUUCAAAGCUUUUUUUUUUUUUUUGUGUUUUGUCAAACUAAUCUUAGUCUAAUUUUAAUUAUUUUUCAAGUUUGGAAGAGCAUUUUUGCAAUUAAUUUUUCAUUCUUUAUCCUUUUAUAUUUAAAAACAAGUUUAUUAAAUCCACAGGUAGAUGGCCUAAGUUUGAAAAACACUAAAACAUUUAACUUGUUUAUUUUAAUAUGAAUUAUGAGCUUAUACGUGAGAUUUAUUUUUGAUAUUGAAAGAAACAAAGGCAAAAAUAUGUUUUGGCUCUAUAAUGGCUAGGCUUCACCCAUAAAGCUAUUGGUUCACUUUACUGGGAUAGACUUGCUUUAAUCAAUAGACAAACCAAUGAUAAGAAAAAAAAACAACAGUGUCUUAGUAAUAAUCAGACAAAUAAACAAUACAGCUUAUCUUAGGUAUGAUGUACUAGGGGUGAUAAUAUCCAUCCUAUAUGUUGUACGUGUGCGGCGUCGCGGUGAUCGUCCACCAUCUCAAGGAAAAUGGAACGGUGUAUCCCUGGAAAAUGUGGAGAGACAAGGAAUUCCUUGUCUUUUAUCAGUAAAAUAUGGACUGGGAGUUGCCACCUAGUAUUCUGGUCAUUAGGAACCCUAACUGGUCUUAGAGAUCGAGUACGGAGACUGGUUGCGUAAAUGGAAGGUAUUAGCACCCCAACUACGCCCUACCUAAGGUAAGCUACAUUGUUUUCAUGUCUAAUAAAAUCUAAGUUCUUAUUGUGUUUUCUAAUUGUUGGUUUGUCUAAGCUUCAAGAAAAGCCCUUCUUAUUAAGAAGGUUCUUAUUUUAAUGGGGUAGAACCUAACUGUUCUAGUGUCUGAAAAAAAUUUAAUAUCUAGAAUACGUAUUACGUGUAAUGUCCUACCCCGGAUACUAAAAGCCAAACAAAAUAAAAAUUCUAUUUUUUUUGUAAUUUUGGCCAAUGUUCUCUUGACUUUAAAGCAAAAAUGCAUGCUAAAACAUUGUUUUUUGUGUAUGAAAAAAACAAUAUGAUUUUUUAGCUUUGAGACACUUGGUUGUAUGCACAAAAACAUUUUUUUUUCUUUUUUUUCAAUUUUUUUUGUAUUUUUGAAAGUUUUGACGAAAAUCAGGUAUUGUAAUACCGGAUUCGUAUUUUGUUUUUGAAAUGACAAAAUAAACAGACUCAGAUUAAACAAAACAAAGUAUAAAAAUACACGAAAAACUUACAAUUUUUCAAAGGCAUUUUUUUUUUAAAAAAAUUUGAAUUGGGUCGGACCCGACCCAAUUAUUUUUCUUUGGACUGGGCUGGGCCCAAAUAUUCAGCUGGGCCAAAAUUGGCCCAUCCAUGAACAGUGCUCUCCACUGUUUGUAGACUAAGCAAUGGAGGCAAGACGAAGCAGAAGAGAAAAAAAAGGAAGGGGGAAGGCUGACCUGCGGUGGCUGCUACCGUUGGUUGUGCUGCUGGAGGCGACAGGCGGCGACGCUGGUGGUGGCACUGGUGGUUUGUGCUGGCUCUAUAUUUUUUUCUUCUCUCUUUCUUCUGUUUUUCGUUCUCUUCUCUGCUUAUUCUUUUUUUCUUUCGGUAUUCCCCCUCUACUCUGCUCUCUCUUCUCCUCUCUCCUUUUUUUCUCUCCUUUUUUUUUUCUUGUUUUUUCCUGCUCUCUCUCUCUUACUCUGUUUUUCUUCUUUUUUUCUAUCCUUGUGUUUUUCUCCCUCUCCUCUCUGUUUUUUUUUCAUUGUCCUUGUGUCUCCUUUCUCCCCUUUAUUUAUAGGGGAGAAAGGAGGCCUACACCUCUGCCUAGUCAAUGGCGUAGGGUUGUAGGGUGGACGGGGCGGCCACUGUUCAGCCGCCCCUCUACCACCCUAGGGACACCUCUCGUCCCCUAAUUCUAACACGUGGAAAGCUGUUCAAGUGGAGGGGUCAGGUUGGCAUUUUUUUGGAAAGAGUUGGUGGCGGUGACAGAGGAAGAAAAAAUCUUCUUCUUGCCCUGCUUCGCGCGUCCAAGGGAAGAAGAAAACCCACAAUACCGUUCAAAACGACACCAUUUCGGCCUUUUUUUUGGUGAACAAGUAUUUAAAACGAUGCCAUUUUUCCCAAAACACGCCAUUUCAUUUAAAUGGGAAUUGGCACCAAAACGCGUCAGAUUUCAAAAUCAUGCCUUCAAUUUGCGUGUGUUUUGCAUUUUGGUCCUUGGUCUCGGAUUUCUUCAAUUAAGUCCCUAAUUGGCCAUCAAACUUCAAUAUUUAUGCAAUUAAGCCCCUUAUUUGACCUAAUUAAAUCUCAAAAAUUAUAUUUUGACCCCAGAAUUUUAAUUUCUUUCAAUUAAAGCCCAAGUUCACUCCAAAUCAAUUUUUCUUGCAAUCAAAACCUCCAUAAAUUCAAUUAAACCUUCAAUAAAAUUUAAUUGAGUCCAGAAACAACUGAUUUUGGACUUUUCUUCCUCAAAUUGAAUUUUCUUUGUCAACAAGGCUUUUAUCAGUCAAUAAAAUACUACUAAAUUUUGAUAUUUUUAUUUUUAAACCUCCUCUACCAAUUUUUGACCAAAUAGAGGAACACGUGAAAAUCAAGAAGAGAAAAAAAAAAGAAAAUGAAAAAAAAAAAAUGUUUGUAAUAACAACCAUCUUCAACCCGCACCGUCUCAUCCACGAUGACAUUUGACAAUUAAUGUCAAAUUAUAAAAUUAUAAUUUAUUUAUAUUUAUAAAAAAUUAAAUUAUAAAAUUGGUUUUGUCACCUGAAGUGCAUGGAGAUCAUACAUGCACUGACCUGUAUUCAUCAAUUAUUUUUUAAUAUUAUUUAAAUUAAUUAAAUUAUAAAAUUAGAAAUAAACCACCCAGAUAAAGAAAAAAAAACCAAUGAAAUAUACAAACGCCCUUGGUUUGAACCACAAGUGAUUAUCUAGAUAUCUCAAUUAAUGAGAAAGCAGAAUAGCAAACAGCCAAUUAGAGGAACGCCCUGCUUCUCUAAUUGACUAAAGAAUGUAACACCGGUGCCUUGUUUGAACCACAACUGACUAACUAGAUAUCUCAAUUGAUGAGAAAGCAGACUACUAAACAGCCAACAGUGGCGGUUCUCCUCCAGCAUUACACCGUGAUGAGUGCGAGACUCUUCAAAAUUGACAAGGAAUCAGACUGGUCCCUGCUUCUGGAAUGAAUGGAACUCCAAAUCCAAUUGUCUAAUCAAUGUAACUCUGGAAUUAUUCCAAAUCCACAAGUUUCAUAAUGUUGUGUUGAUUGUGAGACAUUAUUUAAAAAACUGAAGGGAGAAAAUUGUCAAAGAAUUAUAAUUUUAUAAAUUAUUCUAAAUAAAAAAACAAUAAUCAAAAGAAUAUGAAUCAAAUCCGAAGAAAUAAGAAAUUGAAGGUGUGCUUUGAAAUUUUGAAGGGCCACACAUAAAAAUUAAGGAGAGAAAAAAUAAAAAAUAAAAAUUAUCAGCACCAAACUAAAAAGCUAUCUGCCACACAUGCUGCCUCAUCGAUGGCGGCAAUGGGUCAACGAACAUCCCUGCAUGUGCCACCUAAAGUGUGCGGAAUUGCCCAUGCACUAACAUGUACUCAUUAACUAUUUUUUUAAUAUUAUUUUAUAUUUAUUAAAGUAUAAAAUUGGAAAUAAACCACCCUGAUAAAAAUAAAAAAAAAACGCAAUGAAAAUAUACAAACACCCUUGGUUUGAACCCCAAGUGACUAACUAGAUAUCUCAAUUAAUGAGAAAGCAGACUAGUAAACAGCCAAUUAGAGGAACGCCCUGCUUCUCACAUCUAAUGAAAGCAAUUGAAUGCAGGAAUAGGGCCAUACUCACAAGAAAAUUGAUUUAUACCCGACAUGGUACUUUGUAAGUGUAAAAGCUAUAUUUCUGUGUCUAUAAAUAUUAGGUAGAUUUUUUUAUGGAAAUAUCUUGUCAAUAAAUAUCAAAAUAUUUGAUAUUGCAACACGGUGCAUAUACCUAAUUGUAUUUAAUAAUGUUUUUAUUUGAAUAAAUUUAUAUUUAACCAAAUGAUUAUCCAUGUCAAUAAAACAAUGUCUACCCAAUACAAUUUAUUUAUUUAUUUUAUAUUUCAAAAUAUUAUGAAAUGAGCAUCACUUGCCUAUAUUUAUUUAAUUAAUUAAAUGAAAUGAAAUGAAAAAAUAUCUAUAAAAAGGAGAAAUGAAAAAAAAAACAACAAAUAAAAAUACUCGAGAUAUCCUGAGUCAUUUUCAAAAUAAGUGAAAAAUCUUAUAUCUUCACUGUUGGUACUGAUAUUUGUUAUCUUUUGGUCUACAUUGAUGAUAUUCUGCUUACGGGUAGCAACUCUCUUCUGCUCCAAUGCCUUAUACAGCUACUGAGCUUAGAAUUUAAGCUUCGCGACUUGGGUUAUGUUCAUUAUUUUUUAGGUAUUGAAGUUCAGCCUAUCGGUAUGGGUCUUAUGCUCCGAUAGCAUAAAUAUACACUUGACAUCCUCACUGAGGAUGGUAUGUUUUCUUGCAAACCUGUUGAUACUUCUAUCUCUACAUCCAAAGCUACCUUUUAGAUCCCUUAUUUUCUGAUGCUACAUGCUUUCAUCAAAUUUUGGGUGCUCUUCAAUAUCUCAUUUUUACAUGCCCAGAUAUUUGCUUUGCUAUUAACAGAGUCUGUCAAUUUAUGCAUGAUCCUACAUAUUCUCAUUGAGCUACCGUUAAAUGCAUGUUGUGUUAUCUUAGGGGUACGACAUCACAUGGCCUACAUAUUACUCGCUGAUUAGUACUUAAAAGUGUAUUUUUAUCAAAGUUUUAUAUCAUCAUUUUGCACUUGAAGUAUGAAUAAAUCCUUAACUAAAACAUGUUUUAUAAUAACAAGUCUGAUACUAUAAGUUAGCUUAAUUUAUGGUAAAUGUUCAUCUUAAAUACAGGCCUAUCACAUAAAUCAAAAGAUUGAUUGAUGAGUUUAACUACUGAAAUUGAAAAGACAAAGAGAGAGCCAAAUUUAGAAAAGAGAUGCUGGUUCAAUCCAAACUGGAAUACUGUUCGGUCAUUGAGUCAUAUCUGGAGCUAUACAUAUUGGAUUUAGGCCUGCUCUAUAUGGAUGGAAAGCUAAGACAUAAGCCUUAGACUUUCAUGGAAGUCCAUGAUUUAAAAAGGCCAUUUUCAAGUCCAAAUUGUAGCAACUGUAUGGUAUAACCGAUAACUGUAUGGUAUAAACAAUUUAUAAUCCGAUUGGAACCUCCUUUGUAUCUGGUUUCCAGUUUAGUAAUAAGAGUUUAUACUAUACUUGUUUGAAAUACCAUUAGUGGAUCCUCUAACCUUGACAAUUGUUUUUAUCAUUGUUUAAUCCUUAUAUUAAUAUCACAUCUCAAAGCUCUCUUCAACUUAUUGUUAUUAUUAUUCUUGUUGUUGUUGUUGUUACUAUUACUAUUACUAUUAUCAUUUAAAAUUUAUAUAGUUAACCUCCAUAUGGUUCGACCCCGAUCUUGCCAGGUUAUUUAUUACUUCGACACUCCUACACUUGGAAGAAGACAUCAAUCUUUUGGUCGUGUUACUCACAGUUCUUCCUUUGCCUUACAUGGUUUUAUAGAUGGAAAUUGGGCAGAUAGUGUUGAUGAUAGAAAAAAUCAUGGGUGGUUAUCUUGUGUUCUUUGGUCAGAUGUCGACUUUGUGGAAAUCAGGUAAGCAAUGUACAAUUGCUCGCUCUUCUACUGAAGCUGAGUACAAAGCCUUAGCCGAUGACACUGCUGAGGUUAUCUGGCUUCGGUAUUUAUUAACAAAUCUCCAGAUUUUGUUUGCUUCUGCUCCUUUCAUCUGGUGUGACAACCUUGGUGCCACUUAUUUGUCUGCGAAUCCUGUUUUUCAUGCUUGCACAAAACAUGUUAAGGUUGAUUAUCAUUUUGUUCGAGAUAGAGUUGCGAAGAAGAAGAUUCAGAUUCAUUUUAUUUCCUCUCGGGAUCAACUUGCAGAUGUCUUCACUAAGCCACUUCCUACAGCUUCAUUUACUAUUUUUCGGUUCAAGUUUCGGGUUGAUCCUCCACCCUCAGCUUGAGGGGGCAUAUUAUAGAAUGUACCUAUAUAGGAAAUAUUAUAUAUAGAAAAUAUUGUAGUCAUACUCUUGUGUGGUAACCUCCACCCUUACUAUUGUAUAUUGCCAUACACAUGUAUAUAGAGAAGGUUGGCUAACCAAUAGGUUAAACCUCCUAAUUAUUCUAACUUUCACUACAUCUACUUAGUACAUAUAAGUUGAAGGAUUGGUACCUUGACCAAUGAACUAAAAAUAUCGUUAAUUGAUAAUGAAUGGCAUACAGUCUUACCAUAUCAACAACAUGAAAAUUGAUAAAGAUCCUUUUGGGAUAUGUCAAUCCCAAAUCUAUUAUUCCAUUUAUUUAUUAACUAUCAUAAAAACAUUUAUUAAAUGUGCUGUCCUCCAACUCUUUCCAUGAAAAGAAAAGGUAAUGUUUUUACCGACAACAUCACCGACGGAAACCCUUUGUCACUCCCCUACCCCUUAUAAAUACCCCCUCACCACGCAGUGAGUAGGGAGAAAAAAAAGGGGAUGACAAGUGUCGCAUGUCAAAAUCUGCACGGCGUCUAAUGGCAAUUUUUCGUUUUGUUUUGCUGAUUUGGUUCUUUGGAGUUGCCACCUAGUAUUUUGUUUACUAGGAACCCUAACUGGUCUUUCAUAGAUUCUAAGGCAAGGGACUGAUUGCGUAAAGGGAAGGUAUUAGCACCCCUAGUACGCCCUACCUAAGGUAAGCUGCUUGGUGUUUGGUUUGCUCUAUAAUUGCUAUGGUGUUGGUGUUUUCUAAUCCCAUCAAUUUUCCUAGGUUUGAUUCAAAUAAAAUUUAUUUGGAUAGAAAUCCAAGGAGAUUCCAUGUACUUUGAAAGCUCAUUUUUCCCUUAGUAUUUCAAGAGUUUGCGACUCGUAAAUCGCAAGGAGGAGGGACAAAAAAAUUUAGAAAUCUAGGGCCCUAAAAAAACCCUAUUUUUUAGUAUUUUAUACUAUCACGGCUCGUAAACCAUGGAAUUGUUUUUUGAAAUGUCAAUUAGAAUCAAGGCUUCUUUCAAGGAUGUGUGUGGAUUUAUUACUCCCAAUAAUAUUUUGGAUAUUCGUCCUUUAAGGAUUUCUUUAUCCAAACAUUAGCGGUGAAUAAUAGAUGAAUUCCCCCUACCCAGUUUUACAAACAUGUUGUAAAAUCCAGAAAUGCAAGAAAAAACAAUUUUUGUUGUGUUUAAGAAAUCCAUGCGAAAACACAUGUUUCAAAACUUUCAAUAUUUUUUGUAUAUAAAAAAAAAACAUUCGAAACAUGUUAGGGUAUUGGCCGUAUGCAUGAAAACAAAACAUUAUUUGUUAAUAAACAUUUUUUUUUGUUGACGAAAACUAGGUAUUUUAAUACCGGAUUUGUAUCUUUACAGUAUAAAAAUACAAACCGAUAUUGAUCAAAAUACAGUAAUAAAAUUAUAGAAAAGUCACAAAUUCUUUGAAAUAUUUUUUGAUGAAUUUUUAUUUAUUAUUUAUUAUUUAUUUUUUUUGGCUGGGCCCACAUGUGAAUAGUAAAAUAGCAUUUCACUGUUCAAGUGAAUUAUAUUUCACUUGAACAGUGAAAUGCAAGGAAAUGCACAGCGACGAAGGGGGGCAAACCUGGUGGCGGUGGAGAGGAAGUGUUGUGUUCCUGGUAGUGUUGGUGUCGCGGCGGAUGGCUGUGACAGUGGUCAGUGACUGAGGAUGACGGUGUGCUUCCGGUGAUUGCAGUGGUGGAGGCCGGCGUUGGCUACGGGAGGAAGAUGAAAAAGUUGCAGAGGAGAGAGAAACAUUGGAAGUAAAGGAAGAAAUCUGCAAAAAUUGGGCGAAAAUGCUGGUUUUUGGCUGACUUUGGACCCGAUUUUCUCCCCCCUCAGACCAUCAAAUCCGACUCUAUUUAUAGGCUCGAGCGGACAAUUCUCGGGGAUAGAGGGGUUUCAGGUGGCCAUUUUGGUGCAUGAGUUGUCAAUUUUGGGGAACAAACGAGGCAUUAAACGCGCCUCCAAAAGGGCUACCCGGACAGCUUCACGGGGAAGAUGAUGAACAAUAACCACGCGAUUUUUUCAAUUUAGUCCGCGUUCUUUCAAAUUAGUUCAAUGGAACCCCUAAUUGACCCUAAACCUUUGAUUUAAUGCAAUUUUGGCCCCUAAUUUCAAUCAAUUAACUUGGUAAAAAUUAAAUUUGGUCUCUUAAAAUUCCAAUCUUCUUAAUUAAGCCUAAAUUAGGCUCCCAAACUUAAGUUUUCACCAAUUAAGCCCCAAAUAAAAUUAAUUUGACCCACUUAAAGUAUAAUUAAGUCCUUGCACUUAAUUAAAUCCUUAAAUUGGAUCCAAAUUAAUUCUUAAACAUAAUUAAAAUUUAAUUUGGCCCAUGAUUAAAUCAAAUUGGCCUAUUAAAAAUUUAAUUAUGUCAUUGACCUUGAAUUUGCAUUUUUCUCGAUUUUUGGGCAUGAUGGGGUACAAUUAGGCCUUGGAUUUCCUCCAAAAUUGCAGCUUGAUUGCACAAUUUGCUUUCUCCACAUUGCCAGCCUUUAUUUUAUUUUUUAUUUUAUUUUAUUUUAUUUGUGGGGUGUACCCAAAAUGGGUUACAACAGAUGCCCCCUCUUUAUAAUGCUUACGGAGCAGGGGUUUUACGCAGUACGUUUUAUAAAGAUAAACCAAAUUGAACUCCCGAAACUGAUCUGGUCGCAGCUUGAUCGAUCUGAAACUUUGUCUUUAGAACAAUCCUCCUCAGCCCAAAAAACUAUGAUAAAAAUUUAGUCAUCUCGAGCUCCCUAUCCAGGGAUCCUCUGAAUUCUAACUUCAGUUUGAUUAACAUGGAAUUCCAUCCGAGAUCCCUUCUAGCAAUCUCUAAAAAGUUAUAUUUGUAGUUUGGCUAACCUGAAAUCCCAUCUGGCGAUUUCCCUUAGCCAAACUAAAAUCGGUAUUACGGUUGGGUUAACCUGAGAUCCCUUCUGGCGACCUCCUUAAACCAAAAUCUGUAGCUUACUCAACUUGGAAUCCCAUCUGGUGACCUCCUUAAACCAAAAUUUGUAGCUUACUCAACUUGGAAUCCCAUCUGGCGAUUCCCUUUUAACCAAAAUGAAAUAUGAGGUCCCUUCUAGCAACCUCCUUUGACCAAUAUCGAAAUACGAGAUCCCUUCUGGCGAUCUCCUUUAACCAAUCAACUUGGAAUCCCAUCUGGCGAUUCCUUUUUACCAAAGCUGAAAUAUGAGGUCCCUUCUGGCAACCUCCCUUGAUGAAUAUCGAAAUACGAGAUCCCUUAUAGCGAUCUCCUUUAACAAAAAAUCUUGGAAUCCCAUCUGGCGAUUCCUUUUAACCGAAGCUGAAAUAUGAGGUCCCUUCUAGCGACCUCCUUUGACCAAUAUCGAAAUAUGAGAUCCCUUCUGGCGAUCUCAAUCAACUUAGAAUCCCAUCUGACGAUUCCUUUUAACCAAAGCUGAAAUAUGAGGUCCUUUCUGGCGACCUCCAUUGAUGAAUAUCGAAAUACGAGAUCCCUUCUGGCGAUCUCCUUUAACAAACAAUCUUGGAAUCCCAUCUGGCGAUUCCUUUUAACCAAAGCUGAAAUAUGAGGUCCCUUCUGGUGACCUCCUUUGACCAAUAUCGAAAUACGAGAUCCCUUCUGGCGAUCUCAAUCAACUUAGAAUCCCAUCUAGCGAUUCCUUUUAACCAAAGCUGAAAAUAUGAGAUCCCUUCUAGCGAUCUCCUUUAAUCAAAAACCAAAAAAUCUAUUUUGUAAAUCGGUCAACCUGGAAUCCCAUCUAGCGAUUCCCUUUUAUCGAUUGCUAUCGAUGUCGUUCUUCCUAAUGGCAGGGUUUAAAAAUUAUUAUUUUCUCUUCUCGUUGUUCUAGAAUCAAAACUUUGAUUCUUUGCUAUCAUCAACUCAAUGAUUCUUUCUUCGUCCACAAUCUUGUUGGAAUGCACUAAGGACUCCUCCUGUAACGAUCCAAAAAAAAAAUACAUGCAAUGGUUUAUGAUUAGAUGCCAUGCAUGCAUUUGUACCUGGUUUUGAAACAUAGGCCCCAUCAUCUUCUUCUAGUUCAUGAGACUCUCUCUUAACAUGAGCUUGCUUUUAAAGUCGUAUGCUGGAUUCAUCUCUCGUGUUGCCUCUUUUUACCUAUCAUAUCUUGGGGAAGAAGUCUUUGACUUUUUACAGGUAGCUAUUUUUCAAAAUGUAUGGCUUGUUAUUGCUUCUUUGUCAUGCUUUUGUCAAAUGCUUUAGCCUGGUUUUCAAAUCUAUAGGCUUCCGUCCAGUUUCAAACACGUAAAACUUGUCAUAAAAACAUCUCUUAUUGCCCCCAGUGUAGGGGUGUGAUCCUAGUCUAGGUUUUUAUAUAGAGAAGAAAUUCAUUUAGCCAAUGAUAAACUUUUUAGUGAGUGAUGCGAUAACAACAAGAAAUGCACUGUUGGGAUUAAUGCAAAAAUGAUUGUUGUGAGAUCAAUGCAAAAAAAGAAACAAGUCAAUGGGCAAACUUUGCUUUAUUGAUUUAGAAGCCUACAUCAAGCAUAAUAUCUUUUUACAGAGUCAGAAUUCACAGGUCGAGCUAGGUCUUCUCCAUCCAUUCUAGCCAACUUUAGCUCUCCUCCUGAGAAUGCCUUCUUUACUACGCAAGGACCCUCGUAAUUUGGUGCCCAUUUGCUUUGAUCGUCUCCGGGUAACGACAAUAUUUUCUUCAAUACUAGAUCCCCUUCUUGAAACAACCGCGGUCUAACCUUUUUAUCAUAUGCCUUGGACAUUCGUUUCUGAUAAAGUUGGUGAUGACAUAUUGCAGCCAUCCUCUUUUCACUGAUCAGGUUCAGUUGCUCGUGUCUCACUUUGGCCCACUCGGCUUCUUCUAAUUCGGAAUCCAUCAACACUCUUAACGACGGGAUUUCCACUUCCAAAGGCAUCACUGCCUCCAUACCGUACACCAGAGAAUAUGGGGUAGUCCCUGUCGAGGACCUGACUGUAGUGCGGUAUGCAUGAAGAGAAAACGACAACAUCUCAUGCCAAUCUCUAUAUGUGACUACCAUUUUCCGAAUAAUCUUUUUGAUGUUCUUAUUGGCAGCUUCUACUGCACCAUUCAUUUUUGGUCGGUAUGGUGAGGAAUUCGAAUGCUUGAUUUUCCAUUUAGUACACAGCUCCAUUAUCAUUUUGCCAUUGAAAUUCUGUGCAUUAUAUGUCACUAUCCUUUCUAGAGGACCAUAUCGGCAAAUCAAGUCCUUUUCUACAAACUUCUUCACUACCUUUUGUGUUAGGUGGGCAUAUGAAUUAGCUUCCACCCAUUUUCUGAAGUAGUCAAUAGCUACGAGGAUGAAUCUGUGACUGGCCUACAACCGGAGCUGGUCAAGUUCUGCCUUGACCUUGAUCCAGACAUCCGGGUGGGCCCUCCUCAGCUUCUGUGAUAUCUUCAUAGGACCAAGCAAAGACAUCUGAAUAUUCUUGUAAUAGGGUGAUCAUCUUUGUUCAAAAGUAAUUAAGGUACCUAUUUUCAACUCUUUCUUUAGCUGACCACUGCCCACAUUGAUGGUUUCGAGUUCCUUGGCGGCAGGCUUCCAAGUCUGUUCCUGUUAUUCUACUAGCCUGGUGAAUUCACUGAUAUUGCUUUCAUCCCACUCUUUUUCUUCCGUAGCUAUCACAUGCUCGUUCAAGUUUGGCCAAUUAUUCUUGAUGCUAAAUGUAUGUGAUGUUGUAGGAGAUCCGCUUUCAGGAUUCCUGAAAGCGGGAAGUGCUUGGUGUAAAUGCAUAAAAAACAAUUUUGAAAAGUGCAUGAUCUCAUCAUUUAUUUAAAGAAAAAGGUGAGCUCAAAGACAAACACAAAAUCUAGCUGACAUCAUGAUCUUGAUUGUCAACUAGAGAAAAAAAAAGCAAAGAAAGCAAUGACAAAAGCAUGUUUAGGCAAACACGGUUGGUGUACAUUUUAAAAACUACUGGAGCUUCUUGGGUCACCCAGUUCUGAAACUUCUCAUCCUGAGCCAACUUGCUCACAAAGGUCUUGGCAGAGACUUCUUCUAGUGUGUGGACAACCAGUUGUGGCAGUGCUUCAUCUUCCUUCCGCACCUAUGUUUUCUUGUCAACUCCUUUGAUCUCACCUUCUUCCAUCAUUGACAAUUCUUGACCAAGGUUUUCCAAUCCUUUAUCCACUAUUACUUGCGGCAUGACUCGGCAAUGGAUUUGAAUUGAUAUUGGGAGUGUCUUCAAAUGACACCCAUCCUAUCUUGAUGAGCUCCAACAACCUUUUCUUGAAAGCGUAGCACGUUUCAAGACCAUGGCCGGGGAUACCAGUAUGGUACUCGCAAGUCAACUCGGGCUUGUACCAGAUGGGGAAUGGUGGUUGUAGUGGUAAUGUGGGGAUAUGAGCUAUUUGUCCAAUGCUCAGUAGUUUGGCAUACAUGUCCUUCAAAGGCAUUGGUAAGGGCGGUAGUUGAAUAGAAAUGUAUCUUGUGUUUGGUCUUUGGUCUUUGUUUUGGUUGUUUGACUGGUUAUUUACUCGAUUAGGGGAAAAAGGUUGGUCAAAGUUUAUGUGUGAGAAUUGAGAGGUAGGUACUUGUGGAUUAUGAGAAUCUACUCUCUUGCCCUUAUACCCACCUUCCAAGUUGUUAAUAUCGCCUUCUCUUUUUCUUCCAAUAAAACCCUUCUUUUCCAACGGCAUCACUAUACGCCCAGCUUUAAUCCCUUGCUCUAUCCUUUCAGCUAUGCGUACCGCAUCAUAGAAAUGUUGAGAGCAGCUACCCAUUAAGUGCUCAUAAUAAGGUGCCUUGAAGGUAUUGGCAAUCAAGCUCACCAUCUCUGUUUCUAUCAAAGGGGGUUGGACAUGCAUUGCCUCAUCCCUCCACCUUUGUGCAUAAGCCCUUACUGACUCUUGGCUCCUUUUCUCCAUUGACAUUAGACUUGUUCGAUCAGGAGCGAUUUCCAUGUUAAACUUGUACUGCUUAAGGAAAGCCUCUACCAAGUCUCUCCAGCUCCUGAUCCUGACACUAUCUAACCUCAUGUACUAGCUCAAAGCGGACCCUACGAGGCUAUCCUGAAAGAAAUAGAUUAGCUGUUUAUCAUCGUGAAUUACUUCUGCCAUUUUAUUGCAGUAGGAUCGAAGGUGAGUGUUUAGGCAUUCCAAACCAGUGUACUUAAUGAACUCUGGUAUCCUAAAAUCUUUUGGCACCACGAUGUUUGGUACCAAACACACCUUAGCUGCUCGCAUGGGGUCAAACCAGUCAUUACCCUCAACUGCCCUUAAUCUUUCUUCCAAGGCAAACAACUUGUCCUGGUCCAUCAAAUUAGGAGACCUAUUAUCCGGGAUUCCCUCCAUUGUUAAGUCAACAGUGAUUGGAGCCUGAGUUGGUUGGAUAGGGGUAGUAGACACAAAAUGUUGUUCAUUGGCCGAGUUUGCCCCCUAGUUUUGAGAUGCUUGAGGGAUGUGAGCUGCUGGCGCUCCUUCAGGUGGUUGUGCUGACGUUCCCUCCCCGUUCUUAGCUCUCAAAAGUUGCUCGAGUAGGUCGAUCAUCCUAGCAACUUCAUUUUUUACGGAUUCUAACCCGGUCUGAUAGUGUGACUCUAAGUGAGCUCUUUCUUCGUUCUCCAUCCUUGAUCUGGACCGGGUUUGGCGGAUUCUGGACGUAGGACCUAUGUUUCACAAUCUGCAGAUGCGUGCAUAGAUGUAUGAGAAAAAUGCAUGAUUGUGAUAAGAAUGCUUUGUUCAUUGGGUAUGGAUGCAGCCUUCUUGUGAACGAAUAAUAGCCAUCACAUUAUAAGCAUAGUUUCUCUUGUCACAUUGCUUUGAUAAGAGUUCUGCCUUUCGAGUCGUUUGCUUGAAUCAUAUUCACCAAAAGACAGAUUUUGCAUAAGAAGAUGGGUCAACGCCCUUUUCAUUAAUGCUUGAUAAAUUUAUUACAUUUAGAAAUAAAAAGAAAUACAACAUGUUAAUCCCUUUCCUCCAUAAACUCUUUAGCCAAAUGUAAGAAGGCAAAGCCGUGGUUCUCAAUCUUCCCUAGAAAGGCAUCGAUUUCAGCUAGGCUUCGGCGAUAGCGAAUGAUGUCUCCUCCCAUAUUCCGCACAUUGAUUCUAAUAAUUCGAGCAUGUGCAGCAGCUUCGUCCAUUUGCUCAUCUGUCUUGGUCAUUUUUUUCUGUGAGCAACAUGUUGGUUCUGUUCAAAGCAAUGUUGUUGACGUCGAUUUGAUCCUUGUGUUUUUCCAUUGUUACUAGCUUCUCGUCUAAAUACUUUACUUUUUCACGUUCUUUGUCAAGUUUUAUCCUCAUAACUUUUAUCUCAUUCUUCUUAACCGCUAACUCUGCUUCAACAUCCUCGAAACCUCUCCUUUUACUUUCUUCUUUUACAAUCCCUGUAGAACGGAUUUCCCACUCCAUAUAUUUCUUAUUCAAAUCCUCAUACUUCCCAAUCCUAUCCAUCAGUUCGAACUGCACUUGCACAAAUUUUUCUUGGUAGUAUUCUGCACUUUCUUGGCAAUCGUUAAAGUGCAUCUCCAUUGCUUCAAGUUUAGAGCAACUUUGCAUCCAAUCCAAACUCAUUCCAACUAGCUCCUUCUCACUUUCUUUCCUAGCACUCUUCUCCUCACCUAGCUUUACCUCAAGCUUUGUUAUUUUCGCAUCUCUAGACUGUAUUUGCUCAUCUAGAAAUGCUCUCCUUUUAUCCUCUUCUAGCAUCAUUUCUUCCAACAUUGCCUUGUCUUUUCUGCUUUUGCCCAACUCUAUUCGAAGUUUUUCCACUUGCCUUCUCAACUCAUCUUCAUUGUUAACCCUUUUUCUCUUAAUAGGCUCUUCUGUAGCUUUAGGAGAUUUGGCUUCUACACAAGGCAUGGCUGAAGCAGCUAAGUCUCUCCAUUUUUCAUAUCCUUCGCUUGCACUUGGAUCUUUUAAACCUUAUAUCUCAACCAAAACCAGAUGCUUCCAAUCUUGUUUGAUGAUCUCCAAAACCUUUUCUGCAAUGGGAUCUUUGAACAAACCAAAGAAUUGAGCAAUUCCUAUAGUCCUGGGAACAAACUGCAUGCCCCCAAGUUGCCUUACCACUAAGGCAGGAGCAUAACUCGCAUAACCUGUAAUCCCUACUAAUGGUACCCAACGUCUUUGUCCACAACUCAUUAGGACCUUCACUGUCGUUACCCAUAGGGCUCUCCACUUAAAAUCACUAUUAGGCAAACCUUUUAAUUUGUCAACCUAACCUUGGUUGUCUAGAUCUCCCCAUUCUUCUUCUUCUACUAACUUUAGGGGUCUUUGGGUGAACCACCAAAAAUGAUUGAAGAUAGGCUUUUUUGUUUCGAUAUGGCUAACCAUCCAAAUAUACAACAAUUGUGUGCAACAACUCAUUGCUCCUUUUCCGGUCCUCCUACAAUGGUUAAGUGUCAAGAUCGUUUCAGCUAAAAUAGUAGCCACUGGAUUGAUUUGUGUAUUCUCAUACUCUACAUAAGCAGCAGCGGCCUCCAAACUCACUAAACCAGUCUGGCUUGGGAACAACACAAGGCCAAAUAUACCCAAAGCAAUCAAUCUCUUUUUCUAAUCCUGACUUCUUUUCCAAUUCAAAUUCUAGCAUCCUCCAUUUCAAACCGGUACCAUUCUUUUCUAAAAACUAUUCCAAGUUGGAGAUUAUGAGCAAUUUUGACAGUUCAGGGAUGAUCUUGCCAGAUCUCAAAGGCAAAUAAAUCCGAUACAGGUCGUUUGGAAACUCGGUCAACAAUCCAUAUUCCUCAACCGUGGGACACAGGUCUAUGCUUCCAAAGGAAAAACAUCGGUAGUCUAGAUCCCAAAACUGAACUAAAGCUCGCACAGUUGGGCUUAAAACUUCUACCCUUGCUAUUUCCACCAAACGUCUGUAUUUCCUAAAAAAUGCAUUUUAUCUACAUUCUGAAAAUGAGUCGUUAAUUUGUUCACCUCAUUCAUAAUGCAAUUCAGGUUCUUGAUUGGUGGCAUCUUCUUAGCAUCGCUUCUAAGGCAGUCUCCUUUAGUCAAUUGUGACAGUUCAGAAUUUUUCCCAUACUCUACGAUGGAGGAUUUAGUGAUGAUGGCCAUUUCGUUCACAAGUCCUGCAAUUCAAAAUGCGUUGGGGUUAGACUUGUUUUGAUGCAAAAGAUAUUAUGGAACAUACACCCUAAGGAUAGGUUCUAGUUCCUUUACGUGAGACAUAGGGUAGGUUUACUACUGGGUCUCUAAAAAGAGGGUCUCUUGCUGUUCCAGUGAUCACCCUCGUAAAGGAAAUAUGGGGGUCCAGUAGAUAGUGGAAUGACACGUGUACCAAUCACAAUCAGUCUAAACACUCAGCAAAGAGUUGGGGUUUACACAAACUUAAACCUUGACUCAAGUCAUAAGGCAAGCUGCUAGUUCCCCACUUAACUUAAAGUUACAUGUGUGUGCCCUCAAAAACAUAAUAAUAAUAAAGUGAUGCAUGACUAUACCAUGUAUGAUAGAAUGUAAGGAUGCAUACUAAAGCUUUUAAACAAAGUAUCAUUCAUAUAAGAAAACAAAAACCAAUAACACAUAGCAUGAACAAACAAAUUAUCAAGCUUAGUCCUAAUUCCCCAGUGGAGUAGCCAUUCUGUCGAACGUCAAAAUCUGUGCGUCGUCCGAUGUCGAUUUUUCGUUUUGUUUUGUUGAUUUGGUUCUUUGGAUUCGCCACCUAGUAUUUUGGUCACUAGGAACCCUAACUGGACUUUUAGAGAUUCUAAGGUAAGGGACUGGUUGCGUAAAGGGAAGGUAUUAGCACCCCUAGUACGCCCUACCUAAGGUAAGCUGCUUGGUAUUUGGUUUGCUCUAUAAUUGAUAUGGUGUUGGUGUUUUCUAAUCCCAUCAAUUUUCCUAGGUUUGAUUCAAAUAAAAUUUAUUUGGAUAGAAAUCCAAGGAGAUUCCAUGUGCUUUGAAAGCUCAUUUUUCCCUUAGUAUUUCAAGAGUUUGCGACUCGUAAAUCGCAAGGAGGAGGGGCAAAAAAGUUUAGAAAUCUAGGGCACUAAAAAAAACCCUAUUUUUUAGUAUUUUAUACUCUCACAGCUCGUAAACCGUGGAAAUUUUUUUUGAAAUGUCCUCGAUUACAAUCAAGGCUUCUUUCAAGGAUGUGUGCGGAUUUAUUACUCCCAAUAAUAUUUUGGAUAUUCGUCCUUUAAGGAUUUCUUUAUCCAAACAUUAGCGGUGAAUAAUGGAUGAAUUCCCCCUACCCAAAAUAAGAUUUUUGUAUUUUUUGGAAUAUUGGCCGAUACCCUUUUGGAGUUUUACAAACAUGUUGUAAAAUCCAUAAAUGCAAGAAAAAACAAUUUUUGUUGUGUUUAAGAAAUCCAUGCAAAAACACAUUUUUCAAAACAUUCAUUAUUUUUUAUAUAUAUAUAAAAAACAUUCGAAACAUGUUAGGGUAUUGGCCGUAUGCAUGAAAACAAAACAUUUUUUUUUGUUGACAAAAACCAGGUAUUUUAAUACCGGAUUUGUAUCUUUACAGUAUAAAAAUACAAACCAAUAUUGAUCAAAAUACAAUAAUAAAAUUACAGAAAAAUCACAAAUUCUUUGAAAUAAUUUUUGAAGAAUUUUGUUUUUUUUUUUUUUUUUUGGGCUGGACCGAGCUGGCCCCACACGUGAAUAGUGAAAUAGCAUUUCACUGUUCAAGUGAAUUAUAUUUCACUUGAACAGUGAAAUGCAAGGAAAUGCACAGCGACGAAGGGGGGCAAACCUGGUGGCGGUGGAGAGGAAGUGCUCUGUUCCUGGUAGUUUGUGGAGGCCGGCGUUGGCUACGGGAGGAAGAUGAAAAAGUUGCAGAGGAGAGAGGAACGUUGGAAAUAAAGGAAGAAAUCUGCAGAAAUUAGGCAAAAAUGCUGGUUUUUGGCUGACUUUGGACCCGAUUUUCUCCCUCCUCAGACCAUCAAAUCCGACUCUAUUUAUAGGCAGUGGAAGAGAGCAAUCUUGUCUACGUUGGAGAAAAAUUGCAGCCCUUGAUUCAGUUGGGAAGCAUCUCGACCGUUGGCUCAAAGUGUGCACCUCGAGCUGCCAAAUUUGGCAGCUCCAGGCUGUGAACUGCCCGAGGUGGCCACUUUGAGCCACUCAACGGAGCCGUUUCGGCAUUUAUAGGCUCGAGCGGACAAUUCUCGGUGAUAGAGGGGUUUCAGGUGGACAUUUUGGUGCAUGAGUUGUCAAUUUUAGGGAACAAACGAGGCAUUAAGCGCGCCUGCAAAAGGGCUACCCGGACAGCUUCACGGGAAAUAUGAUGCACAAUAACCACGCGAUUGUUUCAAUUUAGUCCGCGUUCUUUCAAAUUAGUUCAAUGGAACCCCUAAUUGACCCUAAACCUUUGAUUUAAUGCAAUUUUGGCCCCUAAUUUCAAUCAAUUAACUUGGUAAAAAUUAAAUUUGGUCUCUUCAAAUUCCAAUCUUCUUAAUUAAGCCUAAAUUAGGCUCCCAAACUUAAUUUUUCACCAAUUAAGCCCCAAAUAAAAUUAAUUUGACCCACUUAAAGUAUAAUUAACUCGCACUUAAUUAAAUCCUUAAAUUGGAUCCAAAUUAAUUCUUAAACAUAAUUAAAAUUUAAUUUGGCCCAUGAUUAAAUCAAAUUGGCCUAUUAAAAAUUUAAUUACGUCAUUGGACUUAAUUUUUAUGCAAAUUCAUCCAAUAAUCAUUUAAUAUGACCUUGAAUUUGCAUUUUUCUUGAUUUUUGGGCAUGAUGGGGUACAAUUAGGCAUUGAAUUUCCUCCAAAAUUGCAGCUUGAUUGCCCGAUUUGCUUUCUCCACAUUGCCAACCUUUAUUUUAUUUUUUAUUUUAUUUUAUUUGUGGGGUGUACCUAAAAAUGGGUUACAACAAUAAGAACAAAAGAAAGGAGGAGGUACGGAAAAAUAGAAAGUAUGAGGGAAGGAAAAAAAAGAAAUAGAAAAAGAAAAGAGAAUAGAGUUUGUUAGGCCAAAAUCAGCCUAACCCCUAUUUUGGGUUGAUAUUGGACCAAGUUUGUUGGGCCAACCUCGGCCUAGUUUGUUUGGGCCAAAUCUCGGCCCAACUAGGGUGCGUUCAGCCCACAUCAUUCGGUUGGGCCCAACCCAAUAUAUUUUUAUAAAAUAAUAUUAAUAUUAUGUAUUAUUCAAAAAAACAAAAAGUUCUAAGAAUUUUCAAAAAACUUUUCAAAACAUUUGUGAUUUUCUCGUGUAUUUUUCUAUCAAUUUUGAUUAAUAUUGGUUUAUAUUUUUAUAUUGUAAAAAUACAAAUCUGGUAUUAAAAUACAUAGUUUUCUCUGAAAUGUUGUAUAUAUAUUUGGGAAACAAAAAAAAUGUUUUUUUUCAUGCAUACGACCAAGUCUCUCAAAAUAUAAAAAAAUAUUUCAUAUCGUAUAAUCAUGCAAAAUAAAAUUAAAACAAAAAAAGCAUUAGGAUGCAUUUUGAGCUUUAAUAACUAGUUUAUUAAAGCCACGAGAAUUAGGUCUAUAUUUCAAAAAUACCAUAAAAAUAUUUUGUUUUCUUUUAGUAUCUGAGAUUACAAAUUUUUAUAUAUAGACAUUAGAAUGGUUAGGUUCUUACCUGAUAAGAUUAGAAUCUUCUUACUGAGGAGAUCUUUUCUUAAACCAUAGACAAACCAACAAUUAGAAAACACAACAAUGCUCUAGUUAUAUUAGACAAUCAAACAAUGUAUCUUACCUUAGGUAAGGAGUAUUAGGGGUGUUAUUACCUUCCAUUUAUGCAACCAGUCUUCGUGUCCAAUCUCUGAGACCAGUUAGGGUUUCUAUUGAUCAAAAUACUAGAUGACGACUCUCAUUUUUUUCCCCACUAAUAAAGGACAAGAAUUCCUUAUUCUAUCCAUUUCCCCACACCACAUGCCAAUAUGGAAUUUCAUGAGGACAUUUUCCACGAUGUUGCAUCAUGUACGACAAUUGAGAAAGGGGAUGGUUGGAUUUUGGUCUCGACUUGAGUUGUUUUGGUUGUGAUAUUGGUGAUCGAUGUUGCUGCUAUCAUUAUUAGUGUAUGUCAUUGCCAACUGCUAUUAGUGGUCAGAGGGAGUAGUUGUUGUUGUUCUAGGAUUCAAGAAACAAUACACCUAAAAGGAAGGUGAAUUAAUAUUUCACUAAUAAUAACAAAUAUUGAAAUUGAUUCAAUUAAACAUAAUUAACUAACAAUAUAAUUAAAUUGCAUAAAGUAAAGUGUAAAGGGAUAGGAAUUAUAAAUUCAGUUUUUAACAUGGUUUGGCAAGUCUAUAUCCACACCUCAAGCACCCAAAUUGAUCUUGUGUAUUUUGUUCUUUCACUAGUCCAAGUUGAAGAUUGCAAUUGUCACUUGUUGAAUCCACACCAAGAUUUUACACCACUUGAAGAUAUUCUUUUUUGACGGUUUGAACAUAUUGAAUCUUGAACCGAUACUAAUCCUAUAUAUAUACAGUGUAAAAUGUUUGAGUUCAUUUUAAUCAUGCCAUUAAGCUAAAAUAAAAAUAUUUACAGAAUUACUAAAAUGAACAAUUAAUUCCAAGAUUCUCAUUUGAUCUUCAUUCGCAUUGGUGGCUAGGUUUUAGAGAAGAAGAGACUAUUUUUUGUUUUGUACACUUUCACUCCAAUUUUUUUCUUUCUACAUCUUAAGUUUUUCUUCAGGGUUGCUAGGGUUUCUUACUCACCUUUUGUUUUCCCUCUAAUUUUUCUAUAGAGGCUAGAGUUUUUUUUCACACCUCCUUUUUCUUACCUUGCAUUUCUAUUUAUAGGCAAUGGGGUAGGUUCUAGAAUCUUUAUAGGUAGAACAAUCAUAUCCUUUGAAUUUUUAGAGUAAAUUUUGACCCUUCAUCAUUUUGUAUAUAUAUUUGGCACAACAUGCUCGUGUUCUGUAAAGCUCACACCAAAUCUAAAUCCUAAAGAGUGGGGAUGAGAGAGAGAAAAAAGAAGAAGAAGAAGAAGAAAAUGGAGCUGAAAAACUUCACUGCCUUUUUUCAAAAUCAGACGACCCGUUUCCUUUCAAAGGGUAGCCAAAAAGCUCCCAUACACACUCUUUAGCGAGCUUCUUCUUUACCAAAAAACAAAAAACUACAAAAAUUAGAUCAUCAUUUUCAAACCACCUUCUAGCUAUAACUGGAAACAAAAAAAACAAUACAGCCUCUCUCAUCAGGGCUGUCUCUUUUCGCCACCCUCGAGUUACUAUCUUGCCCCACGUUGACUCCAGGAACCAUAGCCGCUGCUUCCACAGUACCAUUAACAUGAGGUGUUCAUUACCAGAAUAAUAACCCAAGGCAGGCCAGGAGCCCACUCACAAUCGUCCAUGUGCAUCUUCAGCGUACUCGUUCUACACUCUUGCCUCAGACCUCUCUGGACUUAGCUUUAUUCAAGCACUAGCCACUCAAAAAAAGAGUGAAGAAGAGGUACGGGAUAUCCAGUGGCGCUGUCUCCAUCAUAAUCACUCAAGGUAUAAAGCUUCUACCUAUUCUCAUUUAGUUGUAAUCUUUUACAUGUGCAUGCUACUGCAAAGGCAAGCUCCCGUUUUUCCUUUAUGUGCUAUGAAGUUAACAUAUAGUGUUGUAAGGGUGUGUGGAUCUUUUAAGCUUCUACCUAUGUGUGAUUUUUGACAUGAGAUGAUGGCUACCUUGCUUCGGAUCCCUUGUUAACGAUGAUGCGUGAACCAGGCAUGGAAAUCUUCAAUGACUAUCGUGCAUGAUUUUUAUGUUCAAAAGAUCCAGUACUCUAGUAUUGGCCAAGCCGUAAAUAAAAUGAUUUUUGGUUGAAGAAGAAUCGGUAUGUGCAAGGGUUUCUGGAUCAUUUCUUUUUACUGUCCCAUGGCUUUUCGUUAAUGCUAGUACAACUAUAUUUCUCUUUUCUGAAGUUAAGUAGGUUGAUAUCUAGGAAUAGGUUUAUCACGGUUUUAAGAAUAUCAAAGAAAAGAAAAACCUUUUAUGGGUCUUUAAGGCACAAACACGCUAUUAAGACAACUUUUAAGGGUGUUUUUUUUUUUUUUUCACUAAGGACAUGUGUGGUAAAUAUGCCCAAACCUAUUUUUAUUUAAUUCACGAUAUUCACCACCCCAAUUAGUUUUAACAUAUUUAAUUUUAAGUGAAAACUAAUGCUCAACAAGUGUUUGAAAACGUUGAAAAGUAGAAAAUACAUCAGAUUUCGCAACAAGCGGAUAAUACCAUAUAUGUUUGGUAUGCGCACCGACAAAAAUAACAAAAUAGCAGAAGUCAUCAGAAGAAAACAUAGGAGCAGAACCCCAAACAUCACUAAAAAUUAAAUGAAGUAGGGUAGAAGUUUUGUGACUAGUAGGUCGCAACGACAAACGGGACGACUUGCCUAAAGGACAAGCUUGAUACUGAGUAAGAGAACGUCUAGAAGUACAUAUGAUUUUAUUUUCGGAAACUAACAAAUUUAAAAUGCAUGGGGUUGGAUGACCAAAACGAUGAUGCCACAGGUCGGCAUUCGCAGAGAUGCAAGGAGACCAAAAAGCUUGACAAACUGACAUGACAGAAGACUCGGAUAGGACAUAAAGGCCAUCAUUACUCUGACUGGAAAUGAGAACUUCUUUGGUGAUGAGAUCCUUGACAUAAAAUAUAGAAGCGCGAAAUUCGAAAUAAACAUGAUUAUCACGACAAAAUUUUUGAAUAGAUAACAACGGUUUGGUAAUGUGAGGCACAUGAGAACAUUAGAUAAUGUAUAAAUGCGUUUUGGGGAAUGUAAUGUAGUAUGUCUAAUAUGGGAUAUGUCAAGGCCCUUAUCGUCACCAACAUGCAAAUAAUUAUUACCAAGAUAGGGUACAAAAUCGAUCAGAGUUCCAAGAUCAGGUGUGACAUGUUGAUUUGCGCUGGUGUCGGGGAACCAAGUUGCAGCAGAAACAUUCCCAACAGCAAGGUGAGCAGAGGGCUGCUGGGUUCUGCUGCGAAACUAGGGACAAUGAGGAGCUGUGUGACCAAAAUUGUAGCACAAUUGGCAGUGAACAUGCUACUGUCUAGACCAUUGCCCGGCCCCGGAGUUGCGCCUAGCCUCCUGCCAGUUGUUUGGACCUCAGUCUACAACAGAUUGGCCCUUGUUCUGAUGAGUGUAGCAGUUGUUGUUGGGACACCAAUUACCUCGAGAGCGACCUAUGUUGCGGCUGAAGUUGGGGUUGUGAUGAGACAUCAUUACAUGAUUUCACAGUUUUACCAACAUAAAUAUUUCAUCGGUUUGUGAUUCAGAGUUCGUCGGUAAUGUUUUUACCGACGACAUCACCGACGGAAACCCUCUGUCGGCUUUCCUUUCAUUGGUAACACCUAAUUCCUUCGCAACAUUGGUCAGUAAAAAAAAAACAAUUGCUAAUGGUUUUAUAGACGGAAAUUGCGCGCGCCAAAAAAUAAACAUCCCGCUUGAAAUAUACUGACAGAUUGAUUUCGUCGGUGAUAGUGGCAUAUCCAGUAAUAUUUUUUAGCUCCCCGUUAAAUUAACUAUUAAAAUUAAAUAAUACUCAUUACAAAUUAACAUAAUGGUGGAGGAGGAGGAGGAGGAGGCUAGUUGUUAUACGACCAAAAAGGAGGAGGCGCACAUGUAUUACCACUCUAUGAUGCCAUGUUCAUGACCAUUUGGCGAAGCUGUUCAUAAUUCGCCGAGAGUUGUUCAUAGUUCGUCGAUAGGUGAUCGAAUUUUUCAGUGAGCUGAGCCAUGUGUUGCUGCAAGGUCACGAACUCUUUAGAUUGGGUGCUCGAUACUGAUUGAGAGCUCCCAAUGGUUGAGACACUACAAGCCACCCACAAGUUCUAGGGCAUAGUGUUGGAGAGCACGUACACCCAAUUUAAUCGAGUCCACAGGAUGAUCGAACCUCCAUCCAUAAAUCUAGAUUGAAAUCAGGAUGGGUCGAAGGAUCGUCCCCAUAUCUCUCCCUUAACCGACUAUUAUAGGUCUCCGGAAAAUGAAAAAAGAAAGCAUCAUAGUCAAUUAAAAACUAAUAAUAACAACUUACGAAAUAAAUGACUGAACAAACAUACCACAAAGUGUUGAGCAUGAUUGUCAACGAACUAUUGUGCUUCCUUUUGGUGGUUUUGACUCCGCACGUGCGUAUCAACAAACAACUCCAUUGGGCUUGGUUCAUGUCCAAGAGACGUAGCCUGUAAUGAAAAAAAUUAAUUAACAACAAAUUAAUUUAACAAUAUAUUUCAUUUAAAUUAAUCUUCCCAUACCUAGAUUAAUGCAUUGAAUCUUUCCUAAGAAGAGCUGUGUAUAGACUACAUAUACAUUGCCUCUGCUGACCUAAAGAAAGGGGGGGAGAGGACAGAAAGGAGAGGAACGAAAGGAAAAAAGAGAGUAGAACUACAUUGUCGAAAGCAAAACAAAAUACAGAGGCAGGGGCAUGAACUCAACCAGCAUAACACGCUUUCAUCACCAUCUCCCUCAUCAUCUCCAUGGAGAGGCAGGCAAGAGGACAUAAGAGGAAAAGAGGGCAACAAUAGAAAAGAAAACAGAGGCAGAAAAAAAAGGAAAGGAAGAGCAAGGGAAAAGAAACGCAAACAAGAGGAAAGAAAGAACAAGAGAGAGACAGAAUACUAGAAAAAAAAACAAAGAGAAAAAGAGAAAAGAAAAAAAAACACAGAGAACAAGGGUUCAUCUUUUCGACUGUGAAAGUCUUCACAGGAACGAAGAGGAGAGAAAAAAGCAAGAGGCAGGCAAAACAAGGAGAAAGAGAGAGGGCAGGGAAAUGAAAAAAGAAGAGAUAGCGAGGGGAGUGAACGACGCAGAUAACAGGGGAGAACAGAGGGAGUUUCUUUCCUUUAUCCUUUCAUUACUGUGAGAAAGGAAAACAGAACGGAGUAGAGGGAGAGAAGAGAAAUAGAAGAAAAACAAACUGGAAAGAACCAGGUAAGUUGUCGCUCUUUUCUUACCAGCUUUGCAUGCAUUCUUGGUUGCAUUGUUACUAUUCAAGUGAAAUUUAAUUCACUUGAACAGUAACCAGCCAAGGCAUGUGUGAGGAAACACACGCAUGCCUUUGUGCCCAACCGGGUCACUGGUUUAGGCCAGUGACCAUGUUAGGCCUGCUGGGUUCAGCCCAACCACAUGGGCCAAACUGGACCCAGCCCUUAAAAAACGAGUAAUAUUGUUUUUUUUUUUUGUAUUUACUUUGUGGUUUUUUUGUAUUUUUAUAUUGUCAAAACAUAAAUCUUGUAUUUAAAAUACCCGGUUUUUGACGCAAUGUGACAUAUAUAUAUAUAUAUAUAUAUAUAUAUAUAUAUAUAUAUAUAUAUAUAUAUAUAUAUAUAUAUGUUUUCAUGCAUACGGUCAAUACUCUAACAUGUUUUGAAUGUUUUUUUAUAUAAAAAAAAUAUAUUGGAAGUUUUGAAAAUGUGUUUUCGCAUGGAUUUCUUAAACACUAUAAAAAUUAUUUUCUUGCAUUUCUGGAUUUUUACAACAUGUUUGUAAAACUCCAAAGGGUAUUGGCCAAUAUUCCAAAAAUAUAAAAGCUUUAUUUUGGGGGGAAUUCAUCUAUCAUUCACCGUUAAUGUUUAGAUAACGAAAUCCCUAAGGGAUGAAUAUCCAAAAUAGUAUUGGAAAUAAUUUGUUAUUAUUCGCUCUUAAUGUUUGGAUAAAGAAACCCAAGUGGUUAAUAUGCAAAAUAUUUUUCUAGGAAUAAUAAAACACCAUACAUCUUUGAAAGAAGUCUCGAUUAUAAUUGAGGACAUUUCAAUUUUUUGACUCCACGGUUUACGAGCCAUGAAAGUAUGAAACACUAAGGCAAAAAAAAAAGGCUUUUAAAGCACUCUGAAUUUCCUUAGAUUUCUAAAUCUUUGUUCCUUUUCCUUGCGAUUUAGGAGUCGCGAACACUUGAAAUACCAAGAGGAAAAUGAGCUUUUAAAGCACAUUGAAUCUCCUUGGAUUUCUAUCUUAAUAAAUUUAGUCUGAAUCAAACACAGAUUUCAAGAGAUCUGCAUUGGUUCCCCUCGGCACUUUGUAGACAUAUCUAAAGGUAUGAUCUAUAUUGGCCAAGGAUUCUUGCUUUUAGACUUUGAACCUAAAAUCAUUCAUCAUAGCAAACCUAUCUUAGGAAAACUAAUUAAGAGAACACCAACACCAUAGCAAUUAUAAGGCAAACCAAACACCAAGCAGCUUACCUUAGGUAGGGCGUACUAGGAGUGCUAAUACCUUUCCUUUACGCAACCAGUCCCUUGCUUUAGAAUCUCUGAAAGACUAGUUAGGGUUCCUAGAGACCAAAAUACUAGGUGGCGACUCCUAUUCACAAAACAAAACAAAAGACCCGAAAUCAAUCGAGGAUCGCCGCUCCGCCGCGAGGGUGCGACAAUGUUGAUGAUAGAAAAUCUAUGGGUGGUUAUCUUGUGUUCUUUGGUCAGACAUCAAUUUUAUGGAAAUCAGGUAAGCAACGUACAUGUGCUCACACUUCUCCUGAAGCCGAGUACAAAGCCUUAGCCGAUGGCACUGCUGAGGUUAUCUAACUUUAGUAUUUAUUAAUAGAUCUCUAGAUUUCAUCCGCUUCUGCUCCUUUCAUCUGGUGUGACAACCUUGGUGCCACUUAUUUGUUUGCGAAUCUUGUUCUUCAUGCUCGUACAAAACAUGUUAAGGUUGAUUAUCAUUUUGUCCGAGAUAGAGUUGCAAAGAAGGAGAUUCAGAUUCGUUUUAUUUCUUCUCGGGAUUAACUUGCAGAUGUCUUCACUAAACCACUUCCUACUGCUUCAUUUACUGCUUUUUGGUUCAAGCUUCGGGUUGAUCCUCCACCCUCAGCUUGAGGGGGCAUAUUAUAGAAUGUACCUAUAUAGGAAAUAUUGUAUAUAGAAAAUAUUAUAGUCAUACUCUUGUGUGGUAACCUCCACCAUUACUAUUGUAUAUUGCCAUACACAUGUAUAUAGAGAAGGUUGGCUAACCAAUAGGUUAAACCUCCUAAUUAUUCUAACUUUCACUACAUCUACUUAGUACAUAUAAGUUGAAGGAUUGGUACCUUGACCAAUGAACUGGAAAUAUCGUUAAUUGAUAAUGAAUGGCAUACAGUCUUACCAUAUAAGUUGAAGGAUUGAUAAUCGAUCCUUUUGGGAUAUGUCAAUCCCAAAUCUAUUAUUCCAUUUAUUUAUUAAUUAUCAUAAAAACAUUUAUUAAAUGUGCUGUCCUCCAACUCUUUCCAUGAAAAGAAAAGGUUGUGAACCACCACAUUUGAUCAUGGACAAAAGGUAAUCAAAUAGUUGCCUCCACUAGGACAAGUAAACGUGCUCGAUUUAUCAUCAUAAGCAUAACUGUAAGCUUGAGGACACUGCUGCUUGAAAGUCAUCGAAUAUUGGCUAGGAGGACAUUUGUCAGGUGUAUUAUAGUCUCCUGUGCAGCAGUACUGCGGCUGGUUAAAUGCCAAACACGCGCUCUUGCAGGCAAUCACAGUCCCAUCUGAACCCUUCACUUGUAAACUAGGAUCACAAACAGCAUUCACGUUAGCUGCACAGCUUGUAGAAGGGCAGCCAGUAGAACCUCCUUGCGGGGUUAUCGAAAUCGGGAUGUUAAAGCCAUCAACAAGGCUUAUAUCGUAAAAAUCUUGCCCACCACUACCGCUUAGAGUAAAUUCUGCCAAGGAUGCUGGUGGGAUCGCACCGGCUCCAUUGCAUUCUAUGACACCGGAGGCACAGUCAGCAGUAGCACAAACAAACUUUCCCGAGGCAUCUGUAGAGCAUUGCGUUCUGGCCCAAAAGCGGCCAGACCAAUUGACAGGGACACUCAGCGAAGAUGAAGCACCCGUUGCCAAUGUGAAGCCAGUUGAAGAUAAAGACGGACCGCGAUCAGCCGUUAGAGUUCCUGGCCAGACUGUGUAUGGACACUUGUUUGUGAAGUCGAAAGUCACAGAUUGAGCUCCUGCAUGCGUGCAAGCUGCGCAAGAUUUAUUUUUGUUGAUAUCAAUAGUUAAAUCUUGGUCGAUUCAAAGAUAACAUAAUUCAAUAUUUAAGAUCUUGUAUUAAUUCACUUAUUUUUCUUUUACAAAUAUAACAUAACCCAGGAUUUUUGUUUAAUAUAUUUUUUUUCUUUUUAGUUUUUUAUCUGGAAACUCCCUCCUGGAUAAGUUUAUUGGAUUCACGAAAUCCAUUGAAUAAUGAAAACUAAUUAAUAUUGCAUAUGCAAACAGAAAAUAUAUAUGUAGAAUAAUCAAAGUGAAUAAUAUGCAUAAUAGAGUUUUCCAUGCAAGAAUCUAAUAUUUGUAAUAUUGUAAAACUACUUGCCACAGAGGAAGAUGACGAGAAGGUAAUUAUAGCAAUGGGCACACGACUCUCCAUUGCCGAGAUGCGUCGAAUUAACACUUUUCAGUAUCUUUUAAGAGAUUUGAGCUAAGCAAGAAACACUCUAUAUUUUAAAAAGAUUGUGUUUGCCACUUAAUAAAUAGUGUUAAAUUUGCAGACUAGUAAACAGCCAAACAGAGGAACCGUCUUCCACACGCACCGUCUCAUCCACGAUGACAUUUGAAAAUGAAUGCCAAAUUAUAAAAUUAUAAUUUAUUUAUAUUUAUAAAAAAAUUUUAUAAAAUUGGGUCUAACACCUGAAGUGUGUGGAUACCGUCCAUGCACUGACCUGCACUCAUCAACUAUUUUUUAAUAUUAUUGUUACUUAUAAAAUUAUAAAAUUAGAAAUAAACCACCCUGGUAAAAAAAAAAAAAAACCCCAAAGAAAUAUACAAAUGCCCUUGGUUUGAACCACAAGUGACUAACUAGAUAUCUCAAGAGGAACGCCCAGCUUCUCACGUCUAAUUGAAUAUUGAAUGUAAUACCGUUUCCUUGUUUGAACCACAAGUGACUAACUAGAUAUCUCAAUUGAUGAGAAAGCAGACUAGAAAACAGAGGCAGUUCUCCUCCAUCAUGUGCGACUGAGGAGCCGUGAUGAGUGCGAGACUCUUCAAAAUUGAUGAGAAAGCAGACUGGUCCCUGCUUCUGGAAUGAAUGGAAGUCUAGAAUUUUUCCAAAUCCAAUUGUCUAAUGAAUGUAACUCUGGAAUUAUUCCAAAUCCACAAGUUUCAUAAUGUUGUGUUGAUUGUGAGACAUUAUUUCAAAAACUGAAGGGGAAUAAAAUUGUCAAAAAUUCUAAUUUUACAAAUUAUUCCAAAUAAAAAAACAAUAAACAAAAUAAUAGGAAUGAAAUUCAAAAAAAUAACAAAUUAAAGGCAUGCUUUGAAAUUUUGAAGGGCUACACAUAAAAAUCAAGAAAAAAAAUAUAUUUUCGGCAACAAACCAAAAAAAUAUUUGUCACACGCGCUGCCUCACCCACGGCAGUAAUUGGUCAACAAACAUUCUGAACGUGCCACUUGAAGUGUGCGGAUCGCCCAAGAACUAACCUGUACUCAUCAGCUACUUUUUUUAAACUAUUUUUUUAAAAAAAUAAUAUUUAUAUUUAUUAAAUUAUAAAAUUGAAAAUAAACCACCCUGAUAAAAAAAAAAAAAAAAACCAAUGAAGAUAUACGAAUGCCCUUGGUUUGAACCACAAGUGACUAACUAGAUAUCUCAAUUAAUGAGAAAGGAGACUAGCAAACAGCCAAUUAGAGGAACGCCCUGCUUCUCACGUCUAAUGAAUGCAAUUGAAUGCAGGAACAGGGCCAUACUCACAAGAAAAUUAAUUACACCCGACAUCCUACUUUCUAAGUGUAAAAGCUAUAUUUCUGUGUCUAGAAAUAUCAGUUAGAUUUUUUUAUGGAAAUAUCUUGUCAAUAAAUAUCAAAAUAUUUGAUAUUGUAAUAUAGAGCAUAUAUCUAAUUAUGUUUAAUAAAGUUUUUAUUUGAAUAAAUUUUUAUUUAACCAAAUGAUUAUCCGUGCCAAUAAAACGAUGUAUAUCCAGUAUAAUUUUUUUAUUUAAUUUAUAUUUCAAAAUAUUAUGAAAUAAGAAUGCUCUUACCCAAGGUUAAAGUUCAAGCACGGUAUGAGAAGGUGGAAAAAGAUGUUGAUAACUAUUGGGGUCAUAGGUUUUCCUUCUUCUUUUUUUUGUGUCUUUGGAAAAUAGAAAUGCAAAGGACUGUCACGGAGUUUUUCCAUACCAUGCUUGGGCUUUGGAUGUAUGUUUCCUUGACAUGAGAUGAUGGCUACCUUGCUUUGGAUCCCUUGUCAACGAUGAUGCUCGUUAAUGCUAGUACAACUAUAUUUCUCUUUUCUAAAGUUAAGUACUAGGUUGAUAUCUAAAGUUAAGUACUAGGUUGAUAUCUAGAAAUAAGUACUAAGUUUUUAUUAAGAAAAAUUUUAAGGGUUUUUUUUUUUGCACUAAGGACAUGUGUGGUAAAUAUUCCCAAACCUAUUUUUCAAAGCUUUUUUUUUUUUUGUGUUUUGUCAAACUAAUCUUAGUCUAACUUUAAUUAUUUUUCAAGUUUGGAAGAGCAUUUUUGCAAUUAAUUUUUCAUUCUUUAUCCUUUUAUAUUUAAAAACAAGUUUAUUAAAUCCACAGGUAGAUGGCCUAAGUUUGAAAAACACUAAAACAUUUAACUUGUUUAUUUUAAUAUGAAUUAUGAGCUUAUACGUGAGAUUUAUUUUUGAUAUUGAAAGAAACAAAGGCAAAAAUAUGUUUUGGCUCUAUAAUGGCUAGGCUUCACCCAUAAAGCUAUUGGUUCACUUUACUGGGAUAGACUUGCUUUAAUCAAUAGACAAACCAAUGAUAAGAAAAAAACACAACAGUGUCUUAAUAAUAAUCAGACAAAUAAACAAUAUAGCUUAUCUUAGGUAUGAUGUACUAGGGGUGAUAAUAUCCAUCCUAUAUGUCGUACGUGUGCGGCGUCGCGGUGAUCGUCCACCAUCUCAAGGAAAAUGGAACGGUGUAUCCCUGGAAAAUGUGGAGAGACAAGGAAUUCCUUGUCUCUUAUUAGUAAAAUAUGGACUAGGAGUCGCCACCUAGUAUUCUGGUCAUUAGGAACCCUAACUAGUCUUAGAGAUCGAGUACGGAGACUGGUUGCGUAAAUGGAAGGUAUUAGCACCCCAACUACGCCCUACCUAAGGUAAGCUGCAUUGUUUUAAUGUCUAAUAAAAUCUAAGUUCUUAUUGUGUUUUCUAAUUGUUGGUUGUUUGUCUAAGCUUCAAGAAAAGCCCUUCUUAUUAAGAAGGUUUUUAUUUUAAUGGGGUAGAACCUAACCGUUCUAGUGUCUGAAAAAAUUUUAAUAUCUAGAAUACAUAUUACGUGUAAUGUCAUAUCCCGGAUACUAAAAGAAAAACAAAAUAAAAAUUCUAAGUACUAGGUUGAUAUCUAGAAAUAGGUUUAUCACGGUUUUAAGAAUAUCAAACACGCUAUUAAGAAAAAUUUUAAGGGUUUUUUUUUUCCACUAAAGACAUGUGUGGUAAAUAUUCCCAAACCUAUUUUUCAAAGCUUUUUUUUUUUUGUGUUUUGUCAAACUAAUCUUAGUCUAAUUUUAAUUAUUUUUCAAGUUUUGAAGAGCAUUUUUGCAAUUAAUUUUCAUUCUUUACCCUUUUAUAUUUAAAAACAAGUUUAUUAAAUCCACAGGUAUCUGGCCUAAGUUUGAAAAACACUAAAAAAAUUUAAUUUGUUUAUUUUAAUAUGAAUUAUGAGCUUAUACAUAAGAUUUAUUUUUGAUAUUGAAAGAAACAAUAGUGUCUUAGUAAUAAUAAAAAAAAUAAACAAUACAACUUAUCUUAGGUAUGAUGUACUAGGGGUGAUAAUAUUCAUCCUAUAUGUCGUACGUGUGCGGCGUCACGACGAUCGUCCACCAUCUUAAGGAAAAUGGAACGAUGUAUCCCUGGAUAAUGUGGAAAAUUCCUUGUCUCUCAUUAGUAAAAUAUGGACUGGGAGUCGCCACCUAGUAUUCUAGUCACUAGGAACCCUAACUGGUCUCAGAGAUCGGGUACAGAGACUGGUUGCGUAAAAGGAAGAUAUUAGCACCCCAACUACGCCCUACCUAAGGUAAGCUGCAUUGUUUUAAUGUCUGAUAAAAUCUAAGGUUUUGUUGUGUUUUCUAAUUGUUGGUCUGUCUAAGGUUCAAGAAAAGCCCUCCUUAUUAAGAAGAUUCUUAUCUUAAUGGUGUAGAACCUAACCGUUUUAGCGUCUGAAAACAUUUAAUAUCUGUAAUACGUUUUACGUGUAAUGUCAUACCUUGGAUACUAAAAGACAAACAAAAUAUAAAUUUUGUUAUUUUUGCAAUUUUGGCCAAUGUUCUAUUGACUUUAAUAAAGUGGUUAUUAAAGCCAAAAUACAUGCUAAAACAUUGUUUUUUUGUGUGUGAAAAAAAUAAUAUGAUUUUUUAGCUUUGAGACACUUGGCCCUAUGCACAAAAACAUUUUUUUUGUAUUUUCGAAAGUUUUGACGAAAACCGAGUAUUGUAAUACCGAAUUUGUAUUUUGUUUUUUAAAUGACAAAAUAAACAGACUCAAAUUAAUCAAAACAAAGAAGAAAAAUACCCGAAAAGCUUACAAUUUUUCAAAUGCAUUUUUGAAAAAAAAAUUUGAAUUGGGUCGGGCCCGGCCCAAUUAUUUUUCUUUGGACUAGGCUGGGCCCAAAUAUUCGGUUGGGCCAAAAUUGGCCCACCCAUGAACAAUGCUCUCCACUAUUCAUAGACUAAGCAAUGGAGGUGAGACGAAGCAGAAGAGAAAAAAAAAAGGAAGGGGGAAAGGCUGACCUGCGGCGGCACUGGUUGUGCUGCUGGUGGUUUGUGCUGGCUCUAUUUUUUUUUCUUCUCUCUCUCCUCUAUUUUUCGUUCUCUUCUCUGCUUCUUCUUCUUCUUUUUUUCUUUCGGUAUUCCCCCUCUAUUUUGCUCUCUCUCUUCUCCUCUAUCCUAUUUUUCUCUCCUUUUUUUUCCUGUGUUUUUCCUGCUCUCUCUCUUACUCUGUUUUUCUUCUUUUUUUCUAUCCUUGUGUUUCUCUCCCUCUCCUCUCUUUUUUUUUCAUCGUCCUUGUGUCUCCUUUCUCCCUUUUAUUUAUAGGGGAGAAAGGAGGCCUACACCCCUGCCUAGUCAAUGGCGCAGGGGUGUAGGGUAGACGGGGCGGCCACUGUUCAGCCGCCCCUCUACCACCCUAGGGACACCUCUCGUCCCCUAAUUCUAACAUGUGGAAAGUUGUUCGAGUGGAGGGGUUAGGUCAACAUUUUUUUGGAAGGAGUCGGUGGCGGUGACAGAGGAAGAAAAAAUAUUCUUCUUCCCCUGCUUCGCGUGUCCAGGGGAAGAAGAAGACCAUAGUGCCGUUCAAAACGACACCAUUUCGGCCUUUUUUUUUUUGGUGACCAAGUAUAUGAAACGAUGCAAUUUUUCCCAAAACACGUCAUUUCAUUUAAAUGGGAAUUGGCACAAAAACGCGUCAGAUUCAAAAUCAGGCCUUCAAUUUGCUCGUGUUUUGCAUUUUGGCCAUCAAACUUCAAUAUUUAUGCAAUUAAGCCCCUUAUUUGACCUAAUUAAAUCUCAAAAUUAUAUUUUGACCCUAGAAUUUGAAUUUCUUUCAAUUAAAGCCCAAAUUAACUCCAAAAUCAAUUUUUCUUGUAAUCAAAACCUCCAUAAAUUCAAUUAAACCUUCCAUAAAAUUUAAUUGAGUCCAGAAACAAUUGAUUUUGGACUUUUCUUCCUCAAAUUGAAUUUUCUUUGUCAACAAGGCUUUUAUCAGUCAAUAAAAUACUACUAAAUUUUGAUAUUUGUAUUUUUAAACCUCCUCUACCAAUUUUUAACCAAACAAAGGAACACGUGAAAAUCAAGAAGAGAAAAAAAGAAAAAGAAAAAGAAAAAGAAAAGUUUGUAAUAACAACCAUCUUCAACACACACCGUCUCAUCCAUGAUGACAUUUGACAAUGAAUGUCAAAUUAUAAUUUAUUUAUAUUUAUAAAAAAUUAAAUUAUAAAUUUGGUUGUCACCUGAAGUGCGCGGAGAUCGUACAUGCACUGACCUUUAUUCAUCAAUUAUUUUUUAAUAUUAUUUAUAUUUAUUAAAUUAUAAAAUUAGAAAUAAACCACCCAGAUAAAAAAAAAAAACCAAUGAAAUAUACAAACGCCCUUGGUUUGAACCACAAGUGAUUAUCUAGAUAUCUCAAUUGAUGAGAAAGCAGAAUAGGAAACAGCCAAUUAGAGGAACGCCCUGCUUCUCUAAUUGACUAAAGAAUGUAACACCGGUCCCUUGUUUGAACCACAACUGACUUACUAGAUAUCUCAAUUGAUGAGAAAGCAGACUACUAAACAGCCAACAGUGGCGGUUCUCCUCCAGCAUUACACCGUGAUGAGUGCGAGACUCUUCAAAAUUGACAAGGAAGCAGACUGGUCCCUGCUUCUGGAAUGAAUGGAACUCCAAAUCCAAUUGUCUAAUGAAUGUAACUCUGGAAUUAUUCCAAAUCCACAAGUUUCAUAAUGUUGUGUUGAUUGUGAGACAUUAUUUAAAAAACUGAAGGGGAUAAAAUUAUCAAAGAAUUCUAAUUUUAUAAAUUAUUUUAAAUAAAAAAACAAUAAUCAAAAGAAUAAGAAUCAAAUCUGAAAAAAUAAAAAAUUAAAGACGUGCUUUGAAAUUUUAAAGUGCCACACAUGAAAAUUAAAAAGAGAAAAAAUAUAUAAAAAAAAUUGUCAGCACCAAACUGAAAAGCUAUCUGCCACACAUGCUGCCUCAUCCAUGCGGCAAUGGGUCAACGAACAUCCCUGCAUGUACUUAUUAACUAUUUUUUUUAAUAUUAUUUUAUAUUUAUUAAAUUAUAAAAUUGGAAAUAAACCACCCUGAUAAAAAAAAAAAUACGCAAUGAAAAUAUACAAAUACCCUUGGUUUGAACCACAAGUGACUAACUAGAUAUCUCAAUUAAUGAGAAAGCAUACUAGUAAACAGCCAAUUAGAGGAACGCCCUGCUUCUCACUUCUAAUGAAAGCAAUUGAAUGCAGGAAUAGGGCCAUACUCACAAGAAAAUUGAUUUAUACCCGACAUGGUACUUUGUAAGUGUAAAAUCUAUAUUUCUGUGUCUAUAAAUAUUAGGUAGAUUUUUUUAUGGAAAUAUCUUGUCAAUAAAUAUCAAAAUAUUUGAUAUUGCAACACGAAGCAUAUACCUAAUUGUAUUUAAUAAUGUUUUUAUUUGAAUAAAUUUAUAUUUAACCAAAUGAUUAUCCAUGCCAAUAAAACAAUGUCUACCCAAUACAAUUUUUUUAUUUAUUUUAUAUUUCAAAAUAUUAUGAAAUGAGCAUCACUUGCCUAUAUUUAUUUAAUUAAUUAAAUUAAAUUAAAUUAAAAAAUGUCUAUAAAAAGGAGAAAUGAAAAAAAAAACAACAAAUAAAAAUACUCGAGAUAUCCUGAAUCAUUUUCAAAAUAAGUGAAAAAUCUUAUAGAAAGAAAAAAAAAUUCAAUGGAGCCCAAUAUCAAUGUAGUCAUUUUCAAAAUAAGUGAAAUAAACAUGAGCUUAAGAAAAGGGAAAAAAUCAAGCAAACUCGAGUGAACCUCCUAAACAUGAGUUAAUCUUUAAAACUCGCAACUUCUAAAAUCCUAGACUUGAACUUGAUUAAUAAGCACAAUUCUCAACUAAUUUAAUGUUGAAUAAUGAAAACAAGAAAAAAAAUCAAUUUAAAAAAAUUGCCAAAGUGAAAAAAAAUAGCAAUGAAAAGAAUGAGGGAUCAAAUCUGAUAGAAAAAAAAAACUUAUGGAGGAUGAUAUUGUAAAAAAAAAUCAAAAUAAAAAAUUAUCUCAAAUAAAAAAAUAGUAAUCAAAAGAAUAGAAACAAAAUUUGAAAAAUAAAAAAAUUGAAGGGGGAUUAAAUUGUUAAAGAAUUCUAAUUUAAUAAAUUAUUCCAAACAAAACAAACAAUAAUUAAAAGAACAAGCACCUAAUCUGAAGGAAUAACAAAUUGAAGGCAUGAUUUGAAAUUUUGAAGGGGCACAAGCGAGAAUCAAGGAGAGAGGAAAGAAAAGGAGAAAGAAAAGGUUCGACACCAAACCGAACAACCAGUUCACUUGGGAUUACCAAAUAGUCGACCAGACCAACUUAAAUACUAGAUUUUGAUAAUUUAAACCUGCUGAAUCUUGAACUGAUACUCAUCCUAUAUACAUAUAGAGUGAAGUGUUUGAGUUCAUUUUAAUUGUGCUAUUAAGAUAAAAUAUAAAGAUUUACAUAAUCACUGAAAUGAACAUUUAACUCUUACUCUUCACUUGUUUUGCAUCUUGGACAUCUUCAUUAAUUUUUUCAUGACAUUUUUCAUGCUUGUUGAUGUCAAAACUCAUUUUUGGGUUAUUCCCCACCCUUUUUUACCUUAUUCCUUUUCAAAAUAAAAAUAAAAUAAUAGUCACAAGGAGACUAGCGACGUUGAAAAUGUUGGCUGAGGAAGGAUUUUAAAUAUAGAAAAAUUAAAGUUUUGGAGUCAAUUAAGGGCUGCAUUUAUGAAAUUUUCAGCCAAGGACCAUUUUGAAAAAACUAAUUAGGGACUUGAUUGAAGAAAUCUAAAACCAAGGACCAAACUGGAAAAGGAGCAUGAAUAUAGGGGUUGAAAUUGAUUGAAUCAGGGACCAAAUUGAAGAAAUUGGAAGUUUGUUGAUCAAUUAAAGGUCAAAAUGCACAAAUUCAAAACCGAUCAAAGUAAAAAAGGCAAGCAACUUCAGGGCUGAAAUUUGAAUUUGACAGAGAUACAAUUGAAUUAAUUCUUAAAAUCAAAAUCUAAAUUGAUUAUAGGCAAAGGAAAAAGGUUUUUUCCUCCUCCUUUGCAGCACACCUCUCUCUCUCUCUCUCUCUCUCUCUCCCCCCCACUUGCCUAAAAACCCUGACACAACCCACACGUCCUUAUGGCCUACCACCAUGAUGAAAGGGGCAAAGGGGACAAGCCUUACAGGCGAUUCUGGGCAUCGUCCCAGCUACCCUACCCCAUCGCCAUAACUAGAUUGGGGUAGGGCAGCUCCCCACCGCCCUUUAUAAAUACCAUCCUUACCAGGAGGUUGAGGGGUAAAAAAAAGAAAGAAAACAAAAGGAAAAAAGAAAAAGGAACGAAACAAAAAAGAAAAGGAAAGAAAGAAAAACAAGGGAAAACAAAGGAAAGAAAGGGAAGAAAAAGAAAAACAAAGAAAAAAAAGGAAAGAAAUGGAAGGAACACUCUUUGCCCUUUACUCGGAGAAGAAAAGGAACCUUGUCUCCCCCUCUCUAUUGCCAGUUAGUAGCACAGUAACAAUUUAAUGGUAUUUUAGGCUUGGUCUAGCCUUAUAUAUAUAUAUAUAUAUAUAUAUAUAUAUAUAAGAAUAUGUUGGGUCGACAUCGGCCCAACUCUUUUGGGCUGACCUUGACCCAAUUUCUUUUGGUUUAUAUUUUUACACUGUAAAGAUACAUAUUCGUUAUUAAAAUACCUGUUUUUUUUUUCUCUAAAAUGUUGCAAACACAAAUAUAUAGAAAACAAUAAAAAACAAUAUCUUGUUUUCAUGCAUAGUGUCAAGUCUCUCAAAAAUAUAAUAAAUUUCAUAUUGUAUUUUCAUACAAAAUAAAAUUAAAAAAUAUAUGUGUUAGCAUGCAUUUUGGGCUUUAAUAACCAGUUUAUCAAAGUAAUGAGAACUACAACUAUAUUUUAAAAAUAUUUUGUUUUCUUUUAGUAUCUAGGAUUAUAAACUUAUACAUAAGAAGUAUUCUUGAUAUUAAAUAAAAAUGUAGUUCUUUUUUUAUUAUCGACAUUAGAACGGUUAUGUUUUUACCUAAUAAAAUAAAGAUCUCCUUACUGAGAAAGACUUUUCUUAAACCUUAGAUUGACCAACAAUUAGAAAACACAACAAUACGUUAGUUAUAUCAGACAAUUAAACAAUGCAGAUUACCUUAGGUAAGGUUUAUAAGGGGUGCUAGUACCUUAUGUGAAACCUCAAAAAUUUAUAAUUUAGAUAUGUAGAUGACUCAGUGGAAACUCUAUAAAACCCCAACAAAAGACUUCACCAUGAUGAAUUGAAUAAUGAGAAAUAAAAUAGAAAUGGUGGUAAACUGUAAACCCCCAAUCAAAUUUCAUGAUAUUAAUAAAUUUGUUGCGAUGUCGCGGUCGAACAAAUUAAUUACCCUAGCUUAAAACACAACACACAAGAUAGUAUAGAGAAAGCAAGGGGUUGAUCCCACGAGGAAGGUUUAGUUCAUAUUGUUAUGCUAUACGUUAUGUAAUUGGGGGGGUUUGGUUUGUAAUGAUUUAAACUAUGGCAGAAAUUAAACUAGCAAACAAAAUCAAUUGAAACUGAAAUAUAUCUAGAAAACAAACCUUGGUUGCAAGCACACGGAUACCAACGGAAAUUAGAACCGAUCCUUGAAAUGAAACUCCAGUUUAUAUUAUGAAUUUUAUCUUUUCUUAAUAUUGGUUAAUUAACGGAUCCGCUGUAUAACUAGCCCUAACCAACAAACAAUCACAGUGUCUGCACUAAUGAUUUAAUCCAAUGGCAGCCUUAAGAUCCAGAUAAAUUCAUUAAUCUUAACAACCAAGUUGUCAAUUUGUGUUGCUAUGAUCGAAUGCUUUUCCUAUGUUUAAUAACAUAGUUCCGCUACAAUUAUCAAGCUUAGUUGCUUCACAAGUUUAUAUACCACAACUCCGGUUUUGAUAUCAAACUUAGCAAUACAUUGUUCACAAUAAUAACUUAGAGUCCGCUCUAGCAAUUAAGAUAAACAAUCAUAGGAAAUAUGCAUAGGAAAACAAACAUACUCAUUCAUAACAUAAACUGAAAAUAAAAGGAAGAAUAAAUCUCACGGUUCUUGAAAUCCGAAGGUUUGUUGUAUCCUUGCAACCAACAAAACGAGCUUAGUCUUGCAUAUCUAUUGAACAACUACUCCUAAAGAUGGAAGAAUACAUGAUUUCUGAUUUGUAGAGGGGAGAGUUUGUGUUUCUUCUCUUCUUGCUGCUACCUCCUUCUACUCACCCUCUAUUUAUACACAAAUUGUAAGUAAGAAAAUCAAAGUUCAAGUGUGAACAUCAAUAGAUGGUGGUAGUGUGAAGGCAGCUCGCGGCUGGCUGACUUGAGGUUGGUGGCUGGCUGCUGGCUGACUUGAGGUUGGUGGUUGCCUUGAGGUUGGUGGCUGCCUUCCUUGACCUUCUAGAAUAUUUACUAGAGGAGCUAAAUUGCUGGUCGGUUUGGAUGCUUCUGGAUGAAAUUUGGAUUCGUUUCUUCACGCAACCUGCUUGCUGGCAGAAUUCAGCUGUCAUCUUUGAAAACUCAUAUCUCCCUCAUAUGCCAUCGUUUUUGGCUGACAUUUGGAGCGUUUAUAGAUCUUUUAGUACGGAAUCCAACAAAAUUGAGUUUGAAUCAAUUAAACUUCUGAAGCUCCAGAUAUUGAAUUUUGAAUAGGCAAAGGUCAACAUUGGCAGACUGCAAGAUUUGACUUUGAAGGAUGUGAUUUCCAUGAUAUUUCUCUUUUUAUUUUUCUUGCAUUACAUUUCCAGAAAGGUAUGGAUGUUAUCUUUUUAAUGCCACUGGAAUCACUUCAUUUCGAUCUCUGGAAGUCACGCUCUGCACAAAAUAUCGACUGAACGUCAAAUCUGCCAAUUACCUCCAAUUUACUCCUUUUUGUAUCUUUCAUCCAAAAAUGCCUUCAAAACAUAAACAAAGAAUAUCAAGACAUUUUAUAUAAAUAACAUAUGCAAAACACUAGUUAAAUACGGGUGAAACUAUCGAAUAAUAUGGUUAUAUCAACCCCCAAUCAAAUUUCAUGAUAUUAAUAAAAUUAUUAAUAAUUCUGAACCAAAAAUGGGAUGAGCUAGUUAAAAUAAAAUAAAAUGAAAUAGUAUUGAAUUAUUAGAAAAGAAAUUUUAGAGAGAGAUUUUUUUGCAUGGUAUUUUAAAAGCGGACCGAGAAAAGGCAUUUGGUUGAAUGAAAAGAUACCUAAACUUCAUAUAAGGGUGUUUUAGUAAAUAUAGAUAUAUUUGCUAUAUAAAUAGCAAAAUUAUAUAGAAAUUAACUAGGAGGGCCGAAUGAAAGGAAAAAGAAAAAGGAGAGAGAGAGAGAGAGAGUACCUUAAGAACAUAAAUUCAAACAACCAUAUCUCUGAAUUGCACCUUUGCAUUGGUCUGGUUUUGGGAUAUAUUAUGCUUCUCACCACCCUCUAACAUCUGACUGUUGGGAUCUAAAUGUUCUGGUAUGAUGUGAGAGAUAUACCCCUCGCAACAUUUCAAGGAAAAUUUACCUGCAGGUCAGUCAUGGACUCUAGAAGUUUCCAUAUUUAUACACCGUUGGAUCCUGCUCAAGUUUUGAUAUGUAGAUCAUAUUGACGAGCUUUUCAUUAUGAACAAUGGAGAUCGGGAUUAUAGACUCCAAUAAGAAGUUAGUCAUCGGAGAACAAUAUAUUGUAAAUUUUCAGGUCCGUUUUGGUUUUGUCUUGAUCUAGGAAGAUGUAACCGUGAAAAUACUAUGAUGUUUUGGUAUGUGUUUCAUGUUAUAAUGGUGGUUAACUUCACCGUUUGGAUUGUAUUCAUUCAGAUUGAGUUGGGAGAAACUUGAACCUUAAUGAAACAUUUGUUUAAAUUAGGUUAACAGAAAUGAAAUGAAUGGAAAGUGUGGUAGCUUGAUUUGUGUUUAACCAUCAAAAGCAUGCUAAUUAUGAUUUAAAUUGAAUAAAAUCCUUAGUGUCUUUCCUUAUCUCAUUCUUUCGGAAUUGUCGCAUGUCAAAAUCCACGCGGCAUCGGCUUGUCGAUUUUUCAUUUUGUUUGAUCGAUUUGGUUUGUUGGAGUCGCCACUUAGUAUUUAAUUGAAGGCUACUAGGAAGCUCGGGUGCUGGUCUUGUCAGAGAUUAACGGGUAAGAGACUAGUUGUGGUUAGGGAAGGUAUUAGCACACUUAACACCCCCUACCUGAGGUAAGCUGCUUCGUUAGAUUGACUGACAAAAAGCUAAGGUGUUAUUGUAUUUAUUGGUCUGUCUACAGUUCAAGAAAAGUCCUCCUUAGUAAAGAGAUCCUUAUCUUAUCGCGUAAAACCUAACUGUUCUAACGUCUAUAUAAAAACUAUAUUUUUAAUAUCAAGAAUAUGUUUUACGUAUAAAUUCGUAAUCCCCGAUACUAAAAGAAAACAAAAAGAUUUUUUAGAAUUUUUGAAAUAUUAGCCUAGUUCUUGUGGUUCUAACAAACUUGUUGUUAAAGCCAAAGUGCAUGCUAAUACAUAUAUUUUUGAAAUUUCUUUUGUUGUAUGAAAAUAUGAUGUGAUGAUUUUAUUUAUUUAUUUUGGAGAGACUAGGUCGUACGCAUUAAAACAAAAACAUUUAUAUAUAUAUAUAUAUAUAUAUAUACAUAUAUAUAUUUGAUGUCUUUGAUGAAAACCGGGUAUUUAAUACUGGAUUUGUAUCUUUACGGUAUAAAAAUACAAACCAAUAUUAACCAAUUUUGAUAAAAAUAUGCAGGAAAAUCAACAAUUUUUUUAAGGAUUUUUCAGAAGUUUGAAAACAAAACAUUUUUUUAUUUUUUGAUGUCUUGACGAAAACCAAGUAUUUUUAAUACUGGAUUUGUAUCUUUACGGUAUAAAAAUACAAACCACAAUUAAAAUUUUUUGAUAAAAAUAUGCAGGAAAAUUAAAAAAUUGUUUUAAGGAUUUUUUUUAGAAUUUUUAUUUUUAUUAUAUAUAUAUAUAUAUAAUAUUAAAUGGGUUGGGCGGGCCCAACUAACUGGGCCGGACUCAGCCCCAAAAGGGUUAGGCCGAUCUCGGCCCAAAAAGGGUUGGGUUGAUCUUGGCCUAGAAGUUCACUCUGCCUCUUUGGGUCUCGGCCGGACCCGUUCCAGACAUGAAGUGUUAAUUUAAGUUCAUUUUAAUUGUGUCAUUAAGCUAAAAUAGAAAUAUUUACAUAAUUAUUAAAAUGAACAAUUAAUCUUAGAUUCUCAUUUAAUCUUUAUUUGCUUUGCUUCGGUGGAUAGGUUUUAGAGAAGAAGAAGACUAUUUUUUAUUCUACACUUUCACUCAAUUUUUUCCCUUUCUCUAUCUUAAGUUUUUCUUCUAGGGUUGCUAGGGUUUCUUACCCACCUUUUGUUUUCCCUCUAAUUUUUCUUUGGAGGCCAGAGUUUUUUUUACACCUCCCCCUUUUUCUUACCUUGCUUUUCUAUUUAUAGGCAAUGGGUAGGUUCUAGAAUCUUUAUAGCUAGAACACUCAUAUCCUUCGAUUUUUUAGGUUAAAUUUGGACCCUUAAUCAUUGUUGUAUAUAUUUGGCACAACAUGCUCGUGUUCUAUAAAGCUCACACCAAAUCUUAAUCAUAAAGAGUGGGAUGAGAGAGAGAAAAAGGAAAAAGAGAAGAAGAAAAAUGGGGCUGAAAAACUUAACUGCUAUUUUUCAAAAUCAGACGACCCGUUUCCUUUCAAAGGGUAGCCAAAAAGCUCCCAUGCACACUCUUUAGCGAGCUUCUUCUUUACAAAAAAAAAAAAAAAAAAACUAAAAAAUUGGAUCGUCAUUUUCAAACCACCUUCUAGCUAUAACUGGAAACAAAAAAAACAAUACAGCCUCUCUCAUCAGCGCUGUCUCUUUUCGCCACCCUCGAGUUACUAUCUUGCCCCACGUUGAUUCCAGGAACCAUAGCCGCUGCUUCCACAGUACCAUUAAACUGAGGUGUUCAUUACCGGAAUCAUAACCCACGGCAGGCCAGGAUCCCACUCACAUCGUCCAUGUGCAUCUUCAGCGUGCUCGUUCUACACUCUUGCCUCAGACCUCUCUGGACUUAGCUUUAUUCAAGCACUAGCCACUGAAAAAAAGAGUGAAGAAGAGGUACGGGAUAUCCAGUGGAGCUGUCUCCAUCAUAAUCACUCAAGGUAUAAAGCUUCUACCUAUUCUCAUUUAGUUGUAAUCUUUUACAUGUGCAUGCUACUGCAAAGGCUAGCUCCCGUUUUUCCUUUAUGUGCUAUGAAGUUAACAUAUAGUGUUGUAAGGUGCGUGGAUCUUUUAAGUCCUAACCUGGGCACGGGUGUUCUUUCACUUGCUACGGAUACUGAAUAGGAUGGGGUGUGAUUUUUGCUUCAAACGCAUAAGGUCUUGAAAACUUGAUUGCAUGUCCCAAGUUUAAAGUUCAAGAACGGUAUGAGCAGGUGGAAAAAGAUGUUGAUAACUAUAGGUUUUCCUUCUUUUUUAUUUGUGUUUUGAGAAUAAAAAUGCAUAGGACUCUCAGGGAGUUUUUUCAUACCAUGCUUGGGCUUUGGAUGCAUUUUCCUUGACAUGAGAUGAUGGCUACCUUGCUUUGGAUCCCUUGUUAACGAUGAUGCAUGAACCAGGCAUGGAAAUCUUCAAUGACUAUCGUGCAUGAUUUUUAUGUUCAAAAGAUCCAGUACUCUAGCUGUGCAUAAUUAUUGGCCAAGCCGUAAAUAAAAUGAUUUUUGGUUGAAGAAGAAUCGGUAUGUGCAAGGGUUUCUGGAUCAUUUCUUUUUACUGUCCCAUGGCUUUUCGUUAAUGCUAGUACAGCUAUAUUUCUCUUUUCUAAUGUUAAGUAGGUUGAUAUCUAGAAAUAAGUUUAUCACGGGUUUAAGAAUAUCAAAGACAAGAAAAGAAAAGCUAAAAAAAAGAAGCUUUUAAGGCACAAACACGCUAUUAAGACAAAUUUUAAGGUUUUUUUUUUUUUUCACUAACGACAUGUCUGGUAAAUAUGCCCAAACCUAUUUUUCUCAGCCUUUAUUUAUUUAUUUAUUGUGUUUACACAUACUAGUCUAAUUUUAAUUAUUUUUCAUGUUUUGAAGAGCGUUUUUGCAAUUAAUUUUUCAUUCUUUACCCUUUUAUAUUUAAAAACAAGUUUAUUAAAACCAUAUAAAUUUGAUUUAAGUUUGAAAAACAUUAAAAAAAAUAAUUUAUUUAUUUUAAUAUAAUGAAUUAUUAGUUUAUACAUAAAAUGUAUUAUCAAUAUAAAAAUAUGUUUUGACUCUAGAAUAACUAGACUUGACUCAUAAAAAUAUGAAUAUACUCUACUGGGAUAGACUUGCUUUAACCAAUAAAUAGACCAAUAAUUAGAAAAACACAACAAUACCUAAUUAGUUAUAAUCAGAUAAAUAAACAAUACAACUUAUAUUAAAUGAUCACAAUGAUGCUACAACCAUGCUACAUUCAACAUUGUACUUUCCAUGAGUUAUCUUUUCUAUUUUUCAAUUCCUCUUCCCCACUUAAUGUGUUAUUUUUUUAAUAAUCUUCAAAGCUAGCUUAGAUUAUAUGAUCAUAAUAACUCCACAAAAAAAAAAGCUAAAUUUAUUUAUAAAAUGAGCAUGGCAUGCUUACCAUUCAAACCAGUAAAAAAUCCCAUAAAAGAUUAGCACCUGAUGACAAUGUUUUGAAAUUGAAUUCGACACUCCAUCUACUUAGUACAUAUAUGUUGAAGGAUUGCAACCUUCAUCAAUGAACUGAAAAUAUCAUUAAUUUAUAAUGAAUGGCAUAUAGUUUUACUAUAUCACCAGCAUGAAAAUUGAUAAUCGGUCCUUUUGGGAUAUGUCAAUCCCAAAUCUAUUAUUCCAUUUCUUUAUUAAUUAUCAUAAAAACAUUUAUUAAAGGUGUUGUCCUCCAACUCUUUCCAUAAAAAGAAAGAGUUGUGAACCACCACAUUUGAUCAUGGACAAAAGGUAAUCAAAUAGUUGCCUCCACUAGGACAGGUAAACGUGCUCGUUUUAUCAUCAUAAGCAUAACUAUAAGCUUGAGGACACUGAUUCUUGAAGAUCAUCCCAAUGAAACAAAUAUAAAAAUGAUAGAAUUGAAAGAAAAAAAAACAUUGUGAAUUCACUAUUGAUAUCCACUGUUCACACAAGUGUAGAGCUAUAAUAAUUAUUGCCACGAAUUCUCUCUAUCUCUUCCUCUUUUAUUUUCUUUUAAAUCAAAAUAUGAACCAAAAACUAUUCUUUAUAGGUGACAACAAUGAUAAUAUGAGAUAGAAUUUUGUUAUCAAAGUCACCAUCACAUUUAGCUGUCAGCGACACGUUCUCCUCACUAUUCUUACUGUCAUUAACUUUGGGCUCAUCAAUAUUUUUCUUAAUCCGUACAUACACCUCUGAAUUAUUCGUCAUCUAGAUGGAGAACCUUUUUAUUUUUAUUAUUAUAGCUUCUCAAGCACGUGAUUUCAAAACGUGAAGCCUCUCUCAGAUUGCCAUCCUGAUAACCAAAGGGGAUGGAUAGUAUGUGCUACGAACAAGGUGAAAUCACGACAGAGGAAACUGAUUUAUUAGCUAGAUCAAGUAAGAAAAUCAAGACGGAUAGAGGAAAACGCCCUAUGGAAGAGGAGCCGGUGAUCGAGGGUUUAGAAGGCAAAAUGAACAAGGGAUGCUUCAGCUACAAGGACUCACGAUUAGGUUCUGCUUUUUUGGAACAGCAGAUAAUGCAAGAUAGCCAACUGGAACACUAUGUGUCCGAGGAAGAUGAGGAAGAGGAAAGUGGAGAAGAAGACUGCCCGGUAAUAAAACUAUCAAUGGAGGAGAAAAAACGUAUAAGGGCACCCUGGCGUCAAACAAUCAUCGUGAAAGUUAUGGGUAGACGAGUAGGCUACACUUAUCUCUUGCGACGACUGCAAUCACUAUGGAAGAUUCAGGGGGAUUUAGGACUUGUGGAUUUGGGUAAUGACUUUUUUCUGGAAAAAAUUUCAAAUUCAGAUGAUAGAGAUUUUGCCCUUUUUGGAGGACCGUGGCAUCCAAAUUUUGAUCUAUAUAUUUGAAGCCCCGAUUGACAGAGUAGCAGUUUGGGUGAGAUUGCCCGAUCUCGCAAUGGAAUAUUAUGAUAAUGGGGUGCUUUGGAAGAUCGGAAACCACAUCGGGAGAACGUUAAAGAUUGACAGAACCACUGCUAUUGGCACCCGAGGAAACUAUGCACGAAUAUGUGUAGAAGUUGAUCUUACGAAGCCGUUAUUAUCGAAGUUUAAAUUAAGACGACGUAUUCGAUGGAUAACCUAUGAGGGGUUGCAUCUGAUCUGCUUCCAGUGUGGUCAAUAUGGGCAUAAAAAAGAGAAUUGUCCUUAUGGUGAAAAGCAUGGGGAGACAAGUCAUGAAAGCACUGCAAUGGAUCAAAUUCUGAGGGAAACAGUUACAAACCGUGAUGUGGGCAUUUAUGUUAAGGCACCGGAGAUCAGACCAGAGAUUACAGAUCAGUAUGGUCAGUGGAUGGUUGUGAGGAAGACGACGAGAAGAUAUGGAAAGUUAACAUUAUCAAAGGAGCAAAAUAUGCCAAAAAAUGAGGGGAGAAGAUCACAACCAAAAAUCACGGACACAAGGACCUCAGAAGGGGUAAUAGAGAAAAAUCAUGAGAGGGGAUCAAGGUUUGAUGUGCUGCAAAAGAGGGAAUCUCGGUUUGAUGUGCUGCAUGGAAAUAAUAUGGAAACAAGCGUUACAGAUAAUGGACAGCUUGUUAAAUUAUAAAGAUGGGUUUCAGGCCCAAAAUAAUAAGAAGUCCGAGGGAAUUCAAAGGGAGAAGAGCUCAUCCAGAGGAGUAUUGGUGGAUUUAGUGAGGAGGGCUAAGGAUAAGGCCCAUACGAAAGCAAAUGACCCAGAAGUCGUAUAUCAUCUUAAAAACCCAAACCCCCAUAAUGUUAUCUCUGUUACACUUGUUGCUGGGAAUGAUAGACAAGGGGAGGGGGAACUGCAGCAUCAACAGGGUCCCGGAUAAUCGUAUGCAGGAGACUGGAAUAGAGGACCACCCUAGUGAGGAACAUGGCGUAGAAGAUGAUAUGCCUAACGAAGAUGAUGUCACCAUGACAGAGAAGGAGGUAAAGUCCCACGGGUUAUUGUCUUCUGUGGGAUGAUGAGACGCUAACUUACACCAUGUUUUUUGCUUUUAUAAUGAAUAUAUGUUUCUGGAAUUGUAGAGGGGCUGGAAGCAAAAUAUUUGUGUCAAUUGUUCAUGACUUUAAGAGAGCUUAUGGUAUUGAUUUGCUUGCACUGGCAGAACCACGCGUUAGUGGUUAUACAGCAGUUACAGUUUGAUUCGAGUUCUUGGGUGGAGUCACAGGGUCGGUCAGGGGGCAUAUGGCUACUUUGGAACAAGUCAAGAGUUGGCAUUCAGAUCUUAUCUUCAACGCAGCAUUUUAUUCACGCUUUGGUGGAGGAUGACGGGAGACCACCAUGGCUAUGUACAGUGGUGUAUAUAAAUCCUAAUGCUCAACUUAAACGAAGCGGUUUUGAGGAAAUAAGAAACUUAGCAGGUACAAUUACUCUACCGUGGCUGAUUGUAGGGAUUUCAAUGACAUACUCGCAGGGUCAGAAAAAAUAGGGGGAGACCAGUGGAUAUGAGAAGGUGCAACGGGUUCAGUAACUGGAUACAAAAUUGUGGAUUAAUUGACUUCGGCAGUGUUGGACCAAAAUUUACCUGGCGGGGUCCGGAGAUCGGGGGAUAUGGCAGAGUAUUUGAAAGGUUGGAUAGGUGUCUUGGAAAUCAUCUCUUUAGAGUUAAAUUCCCUGAAUUAAUAAUAAAGAUGCUUCCUAGAAUUAAGUCGGAUCAUCACCCGAUCUUAGUCCAGACUCACAAUAGAGGUUUACUUUAUAGAGGUGCAGAGAAGCCAUUUAGAUUCGAAUUAAGCAGCUUGGAUGUCCCAUGGUCAAUUUGCUGAUAUCGUCCAGCAGAGUUGGGUGAAAGGUGCUGAAGUGGUCAGUUCAAUACAUGAAUUGACAAGUAGUUUAAAGACUUGGAACAAGGAAGUUUUUGGGAAUAUCUUUUACUGGAAAAAAAGAGUGUUGGCCCGAUUACAAGGCAUUCAGAAACAUCUGAAUGGGAGCAAUCAGCCUUUCUUACGCAGGUUGGAAAAGGAAUUAGACAGUCAAUACAACCAGAUUCUCAAGCAAGAAGAGAUCUAUUGGUAUCAAAAAUCAAGGUGCCAAUGGCUCUCUUUUGGUGAUAGAAACACAGCUUAUUUUCAUACCAAGGCUAUAAUCAGAAGACAGAAGAACAGAAUUCAAUGCUUGAAAGAUAAUGACCACCAGUGGAUAUGGAUGAUAUGAAAUUAAAGGCGAUGGCUACUGAGUUUACAAGAAUUUGUUUUCCAAAGAAGGGGAUUCCCACCAUAGAGAUCACUUCUUUUCGAAAUUUCCGACCAUUGAUGAAGGGAUUAAAAACCAAUUGCUCAGGACCGUGACAGAUGAGGAGGUGAAACGAGCUUUGUUUGACAUGAAACCUUUCAAGGCACCCGGACCAGAUGGGUUUCAGCCCAUGUUUUUCAAUCUCAGUGGCAGCUGGUUGGUGAUGAUGUGUGCAAUUUUAUCAGAAAGGCUUUUGAGGGUAGGUAGAAUCUAUCAGAAGUCAAUUACUCACUGAUAGUGCUUAUUCCUAAAGUCCCAAGGCCGGAGUUUAUCCAUCAGUUCAGACCCAUCAGGGUUAUGUAAUGUAGUCUUCAAGAUUCUGACAAGUGAUAGUUAACAGAAUCAAACCAUUAAUGACUUUCCCUGGUUACAAAGAAUCAAUGCAACUUUGUACCGGGAAGGCAUAUAGUGACAAUAUCAUUGUGGCCCAGGAAGUUAUCCACUCGAUGCGCAAUCUGAAGAGGGGAAACAAAGGUUUCAUGGUAAUAAAAGUUGACUUGGAAAAGGCUUAUGAUAGAUUGAAUUGGGACUUUAUUAGAGAAACAUUGGUUCUAGCAGGAAUUCCAUGUGAUAUGGUUGCUCUUAUUAUGGGAUGCAUCGAAACAACUUCUCUAAGUGUAUUGUGGAAUGGUUCUGUUGCUGACAAAUUCCUUCCUACGAGGGGCAUUAGACAAGGAGAUCCUCUCUCUCCGUAUAUUUUUGUGCUAUGUCUUGAAAGGUUAUCACAUCUUAUCCAUCAACAGGUUGAGAUAGGGGCGUGGAAAGCUUUCAGAUUUGGACGAAGGGGACCUUCUAUUUCACACCUACUUUUUGCAGAUGAUAUGCUUCUAUUUGCAGAGGCCAACGAGAAUCAGUUAUCUAAAGUGUUGGGGUGCUUGAAUUUAUUCUGUGCGGCGUCCGGUGAGAAAGUUAGUCACUGUAAAACAAAGAUGUAUUUCUCUAAAAAUGUCUCUCAUUCUUUUACUAGCUGCCUCAGUCCGUCGAGUGGUUUUUGCUAUCACAAGGGACUUAGGAAAAUUUUUGACAUUGUACUAUGAUCUGCUCUUGCAACAGUACCUUUAUAUCCAAAGCAAUCAACAAUGCUACCGAAGUCUAUUUGCUUGGAGAUUGAAAAUAUCUGUCGAAAUUUUAUUUGGCUGAUAGUGAACAUGAUAAAAGACCUCAUCUUGUUCAGUGGAAAAAAUGUUGCCAACCAAGAAUGGAAGGAGGGUUGGGUUUACGCAAUAUGCACCGCCUAAACAAGGCUUUUAUGAUGAAACUAGGAUGGGGUAUUUUGAAUGAUAAUACCUCCUUAUCGGCAGAAGUUAUACGUGCCAAGUAUGUACGCAAUCAGACUAUUAGCUCUCAGAUGAAGGCAAAAGGAUGUGGCUCUCCGUUAUGGAAAGCCAUUUGCAAAGUGCUACCUCAGGUCGAUGCAGGAAUUGGGUGGACUAUAGGCAAUGGAAGUAUGGUUAGAUUCUGGAAAGAUGAGUGGCUUGAUGGUUUUGGUCCUUUGAUUCACCGACGGAAUUCGUGUUAUGUAAAUACCGACGGCCUAAUUCCGUCGGAAAAAGUGUCGGUGAUAUUUUAUACCGACCGAAUAUUUCCUUCUGUAAAUUCGUCGGUAAAUUUAUACCGACGGAUUAUUUCCGUCGGUGAUGGUGGGUGAUGGUGGCAGACACUGUCCAAUGCCGACGGAGUUAUUCCGUCGGUAAAUCCCUGUGUAAUUGUUUUUUAAUUAUUUAGAAAAAAUAAUAUAAAUUAAUGGUAAUACAAACCAAUUAUUUUAAUAAAAUUUAUAUUAAGCAACAAAAACUCAAAGUGAAAUAAUAUUCAUUAUAAAAUGAAUGUGUUUCAAAAAAACAUUAAACAAAAUUUAAAAUGUAAAUAAUGUUUAUUAAAAAUUAAUAUAAAGGUGGAGGAGCAGGAGGAGGAGGAGGAUGGGGGUUAGGCGGCCAAAAAGGAUUAGGCGCACAUGUUCCACCUUGUUUUAUGUUCAUGACCAUUUGACGAAGCUCUUCAUAGGCCGCUCUUUGUUGUUCAGACUCUGCUCUGUGUUGUUCGUUCGCCAAUCUUUGCUCUUCUUUGAGUUGUGUGUAUGCCUCUGAUAGGUGGUUGCACCUUUGCUGCAAGGCCACAAACUCCUUAGAUUGGGAGCUCGAUACAGAUUGAGAGCUCCCAACGGUUGAAGCAGUACCGGUCGACCGCAAGUUGGAGGCGGUAGUGUUGGAGAGCCCGUAAACCCGAUUUUUAUCGGGUCCACCUAACGAUCCAGCCUCCAUCCACAAAUCCGGAUCGAAUUCCGAAUGGGUCGAAGGAUCGUACCCGUAUCUCUCACUCAACCGAUUAUUAUAGGUCUCCUGAAAAAAAAAUUCAUCAUAUUCAAUUCAAUAAACAUAAUAAUAACUUACAAAAUAAAAUGGUUGAACAAACAUACCACAAAAUGUUGAGCACGGUUGUCAACGAACUGUUGCGUCCCCUUUUGGCGGUCAUGACUCUGCACGUGUGUCUCCACAAACAGCUCCAUAGGGCUCAGCUCACGUCCAAGAGACGUAGCCUAUAAUGAAAAAAAUGUAUUAACAACAAAUUAAUUGAACGAUAUAUUUCAUUUAAAUUAAUCUUACCAUCCGUUUCGCAUGUGCAGCAAACUGAAUUGGCCGAUUCUGGUUGCCAGCACCGGACUGUGAGCGUCGAGUGAACCGCUCAGACGUCACGUGCUGAAGAUAGUGCGGCCAUAUAUCUUCCGGGAUGUAUAUUGGUUUGAAAUCCCUCCAAACCGCAACAUCGUUCCAGCCUUGGAACCCCUUAUCCCUCGCUGUUUUUUUUUUGCUUUUUUCUGGGUGUCAUACCAAAAAUCACGCAACCUAAUUCACGCACGAAAAAAUUACAUUUCGAAACAUAAAUAAUUAUGUAAAAAAAAAGUCGUAUUGUUUUCGAUGUUACCUAAUUGCCACGUGAUUUUCCCACGCCCUCCUCACAACAGUGUCAUGUUCAUCGUCCCAGCAGAAUCGAUGUUGUGUAUAAAAAAAUAAUUUUUUAAAAUGUUAAUAAUUUAUUUACAAUUAUGACUACAAUUUAUUAGAAAUAAGCUGCAAAUUAUAUAUUAACACGAACCUCAAAUCUACGAAACCAUGCAUUGAUUUGAGGCAUCCAUUCAGGAUGCCUGGAUAUCUGACUCCAUUGAAACAAUGGAAUCUCCAUCGACGCUUUAAACGCCGAUGAUAUUACUCGGGCGGCCUCAAUCUUUGUGAACCUGAAAAGAAAUGAAAUUAAUGAAAUAGUGAUUACUUCAUAAAUUAUGAUUUAAAUUAUGAUUCAACAUUAACAAUUAUAAUUCAACAAAUUAAUCAAUAAUUAUAUUCAAAACAAUAAAAAAUAUGACAAAAAAUAAAUUCAACAAAUUAUAAUUCAACAAAUUAAUCAUUAUAAUUCAACAUCAACAAUUAUAAUUCAACAAAUUAAUCAUUAUAAUUAUGACAACAAAACAAUAAAAAAUAUUCAAAAAAUUCAAAAAAAAAAAACCUACAUCAAUAAAAGGAACGAAAUAUACAAACCUUAAUAAUGUGACAAAUUCAAAACUUUAUCUACAUUAUAAAAAAAAAACACCAAAACAACAAAAUAACAAUAAUAAAAACAACUAAAAAUAAAUUAAAAGUAAAUAAAAUAAAUUGGAAAAAAACACAUACCUUUUAAUUUGAGGAAGGUGAAAUUCUUGAAGGAUUCAAAAAUCUGAGGUGCACCGGCGGGAGAAGAGAAGAGAAGAGAAGAGAAGCGGAGCGGGGAGAAGAAGAAAAAAUGAGGUGAAGCGGCGGGGCUGGAACUUAUAGGGCAGUUUUACCGACGGAAUCACCGACGGAAUUAAUAUCCGUCGGCAAGAGGUCAAAAAUUCCGUCGGUAACAAGUCAAAAACCGUCGGUAAUUUUUGAAUUUCCCACCGAAUUUUUAAAAGCCCUCCAUAUUUUUCGACGUCCGUCGGUAAUCUGACAAGUUCAGAGGCGCAUUAAUUCACACAUGUUGGAAAUCGCGCGGUCCGUCGGUAAUAUGUGUCACCGAAAACUUACCGACAGAAACAUUCCGUCGGUAUUAGCGUCGAAAAUGCUGUCGGUGAAUCCGUCGGUGAUUGUGGCAUUUUGUUCUAAAUAUUUUCGAGCUUACUGUGAUACCGACGGACUAUAAUCCGUCGGUAUCCCGUCGAUGAUUGUGCAUGUUUUUCGAACUCUCUGUGAGAUGCCGACGGAUUUAAUUACGUCGGUAUAUCCGUCGGUGAAGGUGGCAUUUUGUUGUAAUUGUUUUCGAACUCUCUGUGAUAUACCGACGAAUAUCCGUCGGUAUAGUUGUCGGUGAAGCCCUCGGUAAUGUCGUCGGUGUUGGUGGCAUUUCGCGUAAUUAAUUUUAAACUCUCUGUGAGAUACCGAUGGAUGGUGAUUCGUCGGUAUGGACGUCGGUAAGUUUGCAUGAUGCAGGAAAGGUUGUCUUUGUAUUGCCUGUUUACCUUCCUGCAAAACUUAACUGAUAAACUGUCCAUCACAUAAAACAAUAACCACAUUGCUUAAACAGUAAAUAUUUUGUUUUACAAAAUACAUCAUCUAUAAUCUAAAUUACAUGAGACAAAUGUUUUUACAUAGGGCUUCAUUUUCAUAAUUAGUCGGAAUUUUCUUCUUCUUCCUCAUCAAUUGAAUUGUCAUCAUCUUCAUCGCAAUCUUCAAUAUGGAUAUCAUCUUCUUCAUCGACAUUUGCUUGUCCGCUAGAGCUGAGAACAACAUUCAACUCCUCUCCGUCAAUAUCAACAAGACUAUCAUCGAGAACUCGAAAAUUUGAAUUUUCUUCCAAUUCAAUCGAAGGAGCAACUCGAUAUGGUUCAACCAACUCACGAACUUGAAAGACUUCAUCUCGCACACUUGUGUCUUCGUUCUCAUCCUGAACAACCUCGACACGACCCCGUGGUUUCGUUUUUAAAACGGACAACCAAUCAACUCUUGAUCGAUCCUUUCUAAAUGAAGGGGUGUAUGUGUAAUAAACUUGUUGACAUUGCUUUGCGAAAACAAAGACAUCGUUUAUGUUGCGGAGUCUAGCUUUUGAGUUGAUUUCGACCAGACCAUGGUGCGGAUCAACUCUGAUUCCUCUGUCCGUCGUGUCAUACCAAUAGCAUUUGAAUAAAAACACUUUAUUCUGCUCGCUAUGAUAUUGCAGUUCGACGACCUCUUCUAAUCUACCAUAGUAGUCAACUUCUAACUGGCUACUUGUGGAUCCCUUAACACAAACACCGCAGUUGUAUGUCUUUCUUCCUUGCCCGUAUUCUUCAGUAUGGAAAACAUAUCCAUUGACAAAAUACCCGUUGUAGCACUUAACUUUUCUUUCAGGGCCGAGGCUUAGUGAAGACAAUGACUUGGGCGCACUCCUUCCCAUUUGAUAAACCUUGUAAAUAUAUGUAAUUAAAUGUACAUCAAUACACGGUAAAUGAACGAGAAUCUCGUAAUGACAUGCAUACGUUAGAAUGAGUUUGUGAUAGUGCUUACAUGUGUUCUGAACCAUGUGGCAAAUUGUUCAUCUUGUAAUUGAAAGAUCUGGGAUUCGGUCAGCUGCGAGUUAUUGGAGAGCAAAUAUUGUCGAUGUUGCCUGCAAGUGAUAAUGAGUGUAUGAUAUUACAAUAUAUAAUUAACAGUAUAUUACUGACAAAGUUUAAUUAGUAUUACACAUAUAUAGACUUACUGAAUAAAUGGUCUCAGCUCAUCACAGUUAAAUAGAACAUAGUUGUGUGCUUGUUUGAAUUCUAUUUCCGACAAAUAUCUUCCUCUUACGGCAUUUUUAGGUGUGGGUCGUCCAGUAUUGGAGAAUAUUGACAAGUUCCCACUGGAAGGCACUUCACCGCCAUCGUCAUGCCGUGGAACGCGAUUGAUUCUUGUUCUCAGAUGAGGUUCGAAAUAGUACGAGAUAAAUGUUGAUAUCUCUUCAACAAUAUAGGCCUCAGAUAUCGAAGCCUCAACAUGCGCCUUGUUCUUAACCUUUUUUUUUAGAUUAAACAAGUACCUGCAUUGAAGUACAAUUCAAGUAUUUUCAAAUAAGAAAAACAUAGAAAAUACUUUAAGAUAUGAAUUCCAUUGCAACUGUAAUAUCUCACCGUUCGAAUGGGUACAUCCAUCUAUACUGGACCGGUCCUCCAGCUUUUGCCUCGAACGGUAGAUGUAUAGGGAGAUGCUCCAUUGAGUCAAAAAAUGAAGGAGGGAAUAUCAUCUCAAGUUUGCAUAGUGUCUCGAUGAUAUUCGUUUGAAGCAUCUCAAUGUGCUCAACAUUCAUCUUGCUGGAGCAUAUAUCUCUGAAGAAAUGACUGAUCUCCGUUAGUGCAUCCCAUAUUCCCUUUGGCAACAAAUCACGAAAAGCUAAUGGGAUGAGUGUUUGCAUAAACACGUGGCAGUCAUGCUCUUCAUUCCAUACAAUCUGCAGUCCUCUAUGUUAACAAGCCUUGAUAUGUUCGAUGCAUGUCCAUCCGGGAAACGCAGACUCUUAAGCCAUUUGUAGACUAGCAGUUGUGCGUUUUUCUCUAACACGAAGCUUGCCCUUGGUUUUGCAACCCGUGACUCGUCAUAAACCAACUCCAUAUUUUUACGGUUACAGUAUAAAGCUAUAUCCAAUCUAGCCUUCAUGUUGUCCUUUGUCUUCCCCUUCACAUCCAUGACGGUGUUGAAAAUAUUCUCAAACACGUUCUUUUCGAUGUGCAUGACGUCAAGGUUAUGGCGGAGAAGAUUAGUCUUCCAAUACGGAAGCUCCCAAAAGAUACUUCGCUUUACCCAAUUAUGGGUCAAACCAAAACCAGGAAACUUUUGCUUACCUGAUUGAAGGCCAAACACAAUGUCACCGUACUCUGAUACAACAUGAUGCAAUUCUUCACCAGAAAGACGCGGGGAUGCAACAUCUUUUUCAACUCUACCAACAAAGAAAUCUUUUCUGUUCUUUCUGAACCUGUGAUUAAGUGGCAAGAAGCCGGUGACAGUCAAAAAAAGAAGCUUUACCUCCGUUUGCUAGCGUGAAUGCCUUGUUGUUUUCCAUGCAGUAUGGACAUGCAAGUUUCCCAUGCGUGCUCCAACCAGAAAGCAUUCCAUAAGCUGGAAAAUCACUGAUAGUCCACAUCAAAGCCGCCCUCAUAAGGAAAUUUUGUUUCCUCGAUAUAUCAUAAGUCAGAGAUCCGGAGGACCACAACUGCGCCAGCUCAUCUAUCAACGGUCGAAGACAAACAUCUAUAUUCCAGCCCGGGCUGCUUGGACCGGGUAUGACAGUAGAUAGAAACAUGAACUCCAGCCUCAUACACAUUCCCGGUGGCAAGUUAUAAACUGUGAGAAUGAUCGGCCAACAAGAAUAGGGAGCAACAAAUGACCCAAAUGGGUUGAACCCGUCUGUACACAACCUAAGUCGAACAUUCCUUGAUUCAGCAGAAAAGUCAGGAUGAACACUGUUAAAGCAUUUCCAUCACACCAUCAACAACAUCGUGUGUUUGGUGCCAUGUCAUGUGCUUAGCAGUCCUUGGUGACAUAAAUAACCUCUGCAGUCUAGGAGUGAUCGGGAAAUAUCUAAGUUUUUUAUAUGCCACUAGAGUCUUCCCCCUGCCAGUUCUGGGUUUGUAACGGGAAUGCCCGCAUGUCAUGUACUCCGUCAUCUCAGCAUUUUCAAGGUAGUAUAACAUACAGAAGUUAGGGCACAUGUCAAUUUUCUGGUAUCCUAAACCGAGGAGUUUCAUCAUGGACUUUGCAGCAUAGAAGUUCUCUUUGAGCUUGUUCCCUUCAUGUAAAAUGCUUCUUGCCCAAUCAAUAAUUUUGUCAUACCCGGCCUCACUCAACCCGUGAUCUGACUUGAUGGUGAACACCUGUGCCACGACCAAUAAUUUACUGUGGUUUGUGUAGCCAUCCCAUAAUGGUUCGUUAGAAUCUUUCAACAAAUCAAAAAACCUAGCUGCCUCUGCAUUAGGUUCUUCUUCUACGAUUAGGCAUUGAUUGACAUUAUCUUGAUUCAUUCUCAUUUGCAUACCAACACUCGUAAUCCUCCACAAACCCUUUGUGUAGAAGAUGCAUCAUUACAACAUCUGGAUGCAUAUACUUUUUAUUUUGACACUCCUGCAUGGACACCUAAUACCGCCUCCAGUAAAAUUUCUGGGAAUAGAUGUUGCGAAAUUAAUAAAACCCUGACCCCGUUACAUAAUCCAUCCUCCGCAAUCCUUGGGUGAAUCUAGAUACAUCCAUGAACGAUCAUCCAUGACUUUUAUCGAACCUCUAUAAAAAGGACCCAUUAAGCAAGCUCUUAUUAUUUCAAAACAUAACAUGUAAUUCGGUAAUUCUACAAAUUAAGUUUUAACAAUUUACAAACAAAUACAAUCUUACAAAUCUAAAAGAAACCAUAACAAGUAUAAAUUAUACAUUCAUAUACUACAAGUUUGUUUGAGAAAUAACAAUAAACAUGUACAUUACUAAAAAAAAAUACAUAUACUAAAAAAACAAUAAAAUUGACUUUUAAAUGUUAAAAUUUUAAAAGAUAGAAUUACUUACAAAAUGAUAAAAUCCAUCGUAAAUCAGAACAUGGAUGCUGUGACCACAAAACUUCAAGAAAUACAACUUGUUGUGCUGAGAUGAGGAAGAUUUUUGUUUUGGGGUGAGGGGGGGCUGGUUAUUUGCAGAUGGGGAGGGUUAGGAUUAGGAAGAAGAAGAAGAAAUGGGGGAGGAGAGUGUCGGUAGAGUGGCUAUAUAUUCACUUUUGUCGACGGAAUUACCGACGGAAUACAACCGUCGGUGAAUACAUCGGCGAAACCGUCGGUACUUCUAACGGGAGGAUCGACACGUCACCGCACGGACCUGCUAUUCAAAUCCCUCGGUGAUUCCGUCGGUAUUUUUAACGAUGCACCGAUCACGUCACCGGUACGGAUCUGGCAUUUCAAAUCCGUCGGUGAUUCCAUUGGUAUUCUUGAUGGUGAACAGGUCCCAUCACGUGUACGGGCCCCAUGUUUUAAUUCCGUCGGCAAAAUCACCCGCCAAAACCUUAGCGCCAUCUACCCGCCCUUUUUUCAUUAAUUCUGAAUUGUCUGUCAGUAAUUCGGUCGGUAAUUACCGAUGGACUAAGUCCGUCGGUAAUUACCGACCUAAUUACCGACGCAAAGUUUUCGUCGGUGAGUUCGACCGAAAAAUACCGACGGAAUUUUUUCCGUCGGUGAGUCCGUUGGUAUUUAGCGAAUUUCUGGUAGUGCCCAAACUUGGUCCCUCAACUUCUUUCCUUUUUUUUUUUGUAAAUUUGAUUUUUCUUAUUUUUUUGAAAACAAGGAAUAUCUACGUCGACUGAACAAGGAAAAUCAAUGAUUUUAAAAAAGACGCAAUAAAAGUCGAACGCGUUCAAAAGACCUUUUAUAAUUUAAAUUCUUUUUUAGACGACAUUGAAAAUGUUAAAAACAAUGCAAAUAUAUCAAGAGCAUAUAUAUUUUUGGGGUUUUUGUAGUUUUUUGCUAUUUUUGGAUUUUUUUGAAAACUUAUAAAAAAGAUGGGUCAUAAAUUGGGUAGCAGCAAUUAGUGUAUUUCAUUGGUAGUUGGUAUUAGUGGUCGGAGAGAGUAGUUGUUGUUGUUCUAGGAUUCAAGCAACAAUACACCUAAAAGGGAGGUGAAUUAAGUAUUCCACUAAUAAUAAUAAAUAUUGAAAUUAAUUCAAUUAAACACAAUAAACCAACAAUAUAAUUAAAUUGCAUAAAGUAAAGAGUAAAGGGAUAGAAAUUGUAAACCCAGUCUUGUAUAUUUUGUUCUUUCACAAGUCCAAGUUGAAGAUUACAAUUAUCACUUGAUGAAUCCACACCAAGAUAUUACACCACUUGAAGAUAUUGUCUUUUUUGACAGUUUGAACCUGCUGAAUCUUGAAUCAAUACUAAUCCUAUAUAUAUAUAUAUAUAUAUAUAUAUGUAUAGUGAAGUGUUUAAGUUCAUUUUAAUUCCAUUUUGGCCUCAUCUUUCUCCUUUUUUUGUAUUAUAAUCCCAAUAUAAACCAAAUUCUCAAAGCUUUAAUAAACUGAUUAUUAAAUGUCAAAAUACAUGCAAAAAUAUAUUCUUAUUUUUUCACAUGAAAUAUGAUAUGAUUUUCUUUGUAUUUUUAAGACACUUGUCCAUAUGAAAAUCAAAACAUUUAAUUAUUUUUAUUUUUUAAUUCUUUUUAGUUUCUUCUUAAAAAAAACAUGGCUAAAAAAAAUAAUAACAAACACACCCACUCAAACACUCUUUUUUACCAUGUUUAAGUAGUCAUCGAUUACAUGUUUACAAAUCAAUCAAAAUUCAAAAUAACUCAAACAACACAGUAAGCAAUUUUAAAUUUACAAAAUGAACCCCCAAAAUUCAGGAACAGUGCCGGGAAGCCCUCUGGAAUUCCACAAAUAGUAGCGGUGUGUUGCUUCAAGUGCCCCCGCCACUAGCGGCGCAUGGGUUCACACGCUGUCGCUAGUGAAGGGUGAAUCGGGAACGUCUUCUUCCUCUUUGUUUUCAUAUGCCGGCAAUGACUUGUAAAACACCCUAAAACACAACAAGUAGUAGGGUAAAACUUUCUUUCUUUUUCAGAUAUGUUUCACAACAUAUCUUUUUUUGGUUCACAUCUUCUACUCCUUUUCUUUUUGUAGCUGGCGGCACGGAGGAGGAACGACCAAAAAAGGGGCAUCACUAUUGGGGAAAGGGACAACAAUGGAUAUGUGGGCGUUCGGAGGUUGGUGUCAGCUGGGAGGCUUCGAUGGAGGCUGGUCUGUGCUAAUGAGGGAAGUUUUAUUGUGGUUGACGAUGAGGGAAGAGACGAGGAUCUGUGGGCUACUAGAUCUCUGGUGAGGACGACAUUGCUACGGCUGAUGAGGGAGACCGUGGGUAUGUUUGUGGCCACUAAAGCUACAGUGGAGAUGGGAGUGGUUGUUUGGUCGGUUUUGGGUUGGUUAGGAGAGAACGGGGAAGAUGGAGAUGAGAUGCAGACAGUGGGAAGAAAUGGCUAAGAGAGAGAUCUGCUGAGGGGUUAUCUUAGCUAAGAGUGAAGGCUCCUUCGGGUGCAGGGGAAGAAGGGCAAAAAUCCAAAGGGAGGGGGCAGCAGCUCCUCUUGGUUGUGAGAGAAAAUUUGGGUUUAGGGUUUUAUUUUUGUGGUUGUCCAAAAUAUUCUAUUUCAAAAUUGCCUCCCUGCUUUUGUGUGUGUUGGAGACUCCUAUUUAUAGGCGAAAAUAUUGCUAGGUCUCCAAACUUGGUCCCUCAACUUCUUUCCUUUUUAAAAAAAAAAUUUGAUUUUUCUUAUUGUUUUUGAAAACAAGGAAUAUCUACGUCGACUGAACAAGGAAAAUUAAUGAUUUUAAAAAAGACGCAUUAAAAAUCGAACGCGUUCAAAAGACCUUUUAUAAUUUAAAUUCUUUUUUAGACGACAUUGAAAAUGUUAAAAACAAUGCAAAUAUAUCAAGAGCAUAUAUAUUUUUUGGGUUUUUGUAGUUUUUUGCUAUUUUUGGAUUUUUUCAAAAACUUAUAAAAUAAUUCAAAUUAAACACAAUAAACCAACAAUAUAAUUAAAUUGCAUAAAGUAAAGAGUAAAGGGAUAGAAAUUGUAAACCCAGUCUUGUAUAUUUUGUUCUUUCACAAGUCCAAGUUGAAGAUUACAAUUAUCACUUGAUGAAUCCACAUCAAGAUAUUACACCACUUAAAGAUAUUAUCUUUUUUGACAGUUUGAACCUGCUGAAUCUUGAAUCAAUACUAAUCCUAUAUAUAUAUAUAUAUAUAUAUAUAUAUAUAUAUAUAUAUAUAUAUAUAUAUAUAUGCGCAUAGUAAAGUGUUUAAGUUCAUUUUAAUUGUGCUAUUAAGCUAAAAUAUAAAUAUUUACAUAAUUACUAAAAUGAGCAAUUAAUUCUUAGAUUCUCAUUUGAUCUUCAUUUGCUUUGGUGGCUAGGUUAGAAGAAGAAAACUAUUUUUUUUUUCUACACUAUUAAACAGCCAAACAGUGGAACACGUGAAAAUCAAGAAGAGACAAAAAAAAAAAGAAAAGUCUGUCCCUGCCAAAUCAAAAUAACAGGGAUAAAAUUUGAAAGAUAAAAAAAUUAAAAGGGGAUUAAAUUGUCAAAUAAUUCCAAUUUAAUAAAUUAUUUCAAACAAAACAAAUAAUGAUAAAAAAAAUCAUAUGCCAGCCACACGUACUAUCUCAUUAAAUUAAAGCUGUUAGGUGUGUGGGGUGAAGUUUGAAAUAUGAUUUAUAUUAUUUUUUAAUAAUUUUUUAAAUAAAAAUUAUUUGAAUUAAAAAUUUGUACGGUUAAUAUUAUUUGGUUAUUAAAGUUCUAAUAUCAUGUUAAAGAACCAAUUCAACUCAAAAGUUUAAUCUAUUAGGUUAGAGCUAGAUAUAAUUUAUAUUAUUUUCUAACAGAAAUAAACCACGACAAAACAAAUACCCAAUGAAAUAUACAAAUACCCUUGGUUUGAACCAUAAGUGACUAACUAGAUAUCUCAAUUAAUGAGAAAGCAGACUAGUAAACAGCCAAUUAGAGGAACGCCCUGCUUCAGUCUAAUGAAAGCAAUUGGAUGCAGGAAUAGGGCCAUACUCACAAUAAAAUUGAUUUACAUCCGACAGACGGACAUAGUACUUUGUAAGUGUAAAAGCUAUGUUUCUGUGUCUAUUAACAAGAAAAUAUCUUAUUGAUAAAUAUCAAAAUAUUUAUUAUCAUAAUACAGAAUAUAUAUUUAAUUGUGUUUAAUAAUUUUUUUAUUUCAAUAAAUUUAUAUUUAACCAAAAGAUUAUCCAUGCCAAUAAAAGGAUGUCUACCGGAUAUAAUUUAUUUUUAUUUUGUAUUUUAAAAUAUUAUGAAAUGAGCACCACUUGUUUAUAAUUAAUUAAAUUAAAUUAAAUGAAAAAAAUGUCUGUAAAACAAGAAAUAAAAAAAAAACCAAAUAAAUAUAUCCAGAUAUCCCUAGUCAUUUUCAAAAUUAGUGAAAAAUCCUAUAGGAAUAAAAAAAAUAAUCUAUGGAGCCUAAUAUCCAAUUAAAUAAAUGUUAAAGAAUGAAACUGAAAUAAACAUGAGCUUAAAAAAAAGGAAAAAACCAAGCAAACUCUGGAAAACCUCCCAAACCUGAGUUAGUCUCUAAAACUUACAACUCAUAAAAUCCUAGACUUGAGCUUGAUUAAGAAGCACAAUUCUCAACUAAUCUAAUGUUGAAUAAUGAAAACAGGAAAAAAAUCAAUUUAAAAAAAUUGUAAAAGUGAAAAAACAUAGAAAUCAAAAGAAUAAGGAUUAAAUCUGAUAGAAAAAAAAACUUAUGAAGGAUGAUAUUGUAAAUAAAAUCAAAUAAAAAAAUUAUCUCAAACAAAAAAAUAGCAAUCAAAAUAAUAGGGACAAAAUUUGAAAGAUAAAAAAACUAAAAGGGGAUUAAAUUGUCAAAUAAUUCCAAUUUAAUAAAUUAUUCCAAACAAAACAAACAAUGAUAAAAAAAAAAACAUCACCAAAUCCAAAGGAAUAACAAAUUGAAGGCGUGCUUUGAAAUUUUGAAGGGACACACAUGAAAAUCAAUGGGAGAGGAAAGAAGAAGAGAAAGAAACGAUUGUCUGCACAAAACCAAACAACCAGUUCACUUGGUCUUACCAAAUGGUCGAUUGGAUCAACUUAAAUACUAGAUUUUGAUAAUUUGAACCUAUCGAAUCCAGAACCGAUACUAAUCAUAUAUACAUGUAGAGUUAAGUGCUUGAGUUCAUUUUAAUUGCGCCGUUAAUUUGAGAUAUAAAGAUUUACAUAAUCACUGAAAUGAACAAUUAAUUCUUAGUCUUCACUCGUUUUGCAUCUUGGACAUCUUCAUUGAUUUUUUCAUGACAUCCUUCAUUCUUGUUGAUGUCAAAACUUAUUUUUGGGCUAUUCCCUAAUAUUUUUUACCUUCAUAUUCCUUUUCAAAAUAAAAAUAAAAUAAUAAAAAAUAAUAGCAAGGAGACUAGCGACGUAGAAAAAGAUGGUUGAGGAAGGAUUUGAAUAUAGAAAAAUUAAAGGUUUUUGGUCAAUUAAAGAUUGCAUUAACGAAAUUUUCAACCAAGGACCAUUUUAAAAAAAGGCAAUUAGGGACUUGGUUGAAGAAAUCCAAAACCAAGGACCAAACUGGAAAAGGUGCAUAAAUAUAGGGGUUGAAAUUGACUGAGUCAGGGACCAAAUUGAAGAAAUUGAAAGUUUGUUGAUCAAUCAAAGGUCAUAAUGCAUAAAUUCAAAACGAAGAAUCAAAGUGAAAAGACAACCAACUUCAUGGCUGGCAUUUGAAUUUGACCAAGAUGCAAUUGAAUUAAUUUUUAAAAUUAAAAUUUGAAUUGAGCACUUUGUUGUUGCCCAAUCUUGGAUCCAUAUUUUUGAUAAAAUGUUGAAAACAAUAAAAAAAAUAACGAAAACAACAAAAAUCCAAAAAAACUAUAUUUUUAAUAUAUUUGCAUCGCUUUUAGCAUUUUUCAGCCUCGUCUCAACAUAAUUUAAAUUUUCUAAGGUCUUUCGAACACGUUCGAGUUUUCACGCGUCGUUUUUAAAAUCAUUGAUUUUCCUCGUUGAGUUGACGUUGAUAUUGCUCAUUUUCAAAAAAUACAAAAAAAAUCAAAAUUUACAAAAAAUAAAGAAGCUGAGGGACCAAUGUGUUAUGGAGACCAAGCCACUUUGCCUAUAAAUAAAGGUCACAACACAGGGGGAGGCAAUUUUCAAAAAAAGGGAGCCAAACACAAAAAACCCUAAAGAUAAAAAAACCCUAAACCCAUCUCUAUCAAAACUAGUAGGCACCCCCUCUUUUCUGGAAAAAACCUGAGAAACAAAGCUAGACCCCUUCCAUUUGAAAACAAAACUAGCGCCUCUUAGUCUCAACUCUCAUCAACUAAAGUUUGCCACCCCUCAGUCAACAGAUCUACACCUCUCUCAUCCUCCUAGCGCAUAAUAGAGUCGUGCCCUCGUCUCAAACGACCCCCUUCAUUAUCAGCCACAGCAACGCCGUCCUCAUUGGAGAUCAACAGCCUAUACACGGCAGCCCCCGGGCAACACUCUAUUCUUCACAACAAAGCAAGCCUAACAAAUGACAACAACGAGAGCCCCAUGGCCAGAUCUGUAGUGAAGCAUAUCUAAAAAAAGAGAGGAAGAGAAUAGAUCUGAAAAAAGAAGAAGAAAGAAUCAGAAAGUUUGCUUAUGUUUUUCUUGUUUUGCAGGUCACUGCUGGUGAGGAAAGGAAGAAGGGAGUAAGUUGUUCUAGAUCCCAUUGUUUUCUUACUCUUCCUCGCGGCAGCGCGUGAAUCCAAGCACUGCUAGUGGCAAUGGCGUUGAUUAGUACUUAAAACUUUAGUGCAUUCUCAUUAAGGCUUUAUAUAUCAUAUUGCACCUAAUGUAUCAUUAAAUUCUGUAACUUAAGCAUGUUUUAUAGUAACAAGUCUUAUAAUAUAAGAUAGCUUUAGUUUAUGGUAAAUACUCAUUUUAAAUGUAGGUUUAUCCCACAACUCAAAGGAUUGAUUGAUGUGAUUAACUAUUGAAAGUGAAGAGACAAAGAAAUGACUAAGCUUAGAGAAGAGAUGCCGGUUCAAUUCAAACUGGAAUACCAUUCGGUUAUUGGAUCAUACCUAGAGUUGUAGAACUUGGAUUUAGGUUUGGUUUAUCUUGAUGGAAAGCUAAGACAUAGGCCUAAAACAUUCAUGAAAAGUCCAAGAUUCAAAUCUUUCAUUUUUAAGUUCAACUUUUAGCACUGACACAACUAAAAGAUUGAAGUCUUCUACCAAGUGCAGGAGUGUCGAAGUAAUAAAUAACUAGGCAAGACCAGGAUUGAACCACAUGGAGGUUAACUAUAUAAAUUAUAAAUAACAACAACAACAACAACAACAACAACAAUAAUAAUAAUAAAAAAAAGAAGUUAAAGAGGACUUUAAGAUGUUUGAUUAAUGUGAGGAUUAAACAAUGAUAAAUACAAAUGUCAAGGUUAGAGGAUCCACUAAUAGUAUUUCAAACAAGUAUAGUAUAAACUCUUUUUAUUACUCAACUGAAAACCACACAUAAAGGAGGUUUCAAUUGGAUGAUUUUUCAUUAAUAGCUUAUUAUAAAUUGUUAACAUGAUCAUAUUAAUUAUCUUAUUUAAGUAACACUAAACUUUUAAAUAUUGUCAGGAAUUCAUGAUGCUAACUUAUGUUAACAACAAAUCAAGUUCCUUUCAUAGCACAUGUGUAGGUUAUACCAUACGGUUGGGCUAUGAAAGUGUCAACCAUUUGUUGUACCAAGUGUUAUACAACACAAAUCUAAAUUAACCAUUUAACAAGUAAGGUAUUAAGAAUUAAUAAGAUAAAAAUAAUAAGACAUGUUAAUAGCAAGUUGUUUAGGAUAUAAGCAUUGAAGUCCAUAUUGAGUUUAUAUUAUACUUAUUCUUAUACCAUUAGUGUAACCUUUUCACCUUGACAUAAUAAACUUAGCUAAAAAUAAUCAAGAAGAGAAACAUCAAUAAACAAGAUAAGAAUAUAAAUAAGAUGAAAGUUAACUAAGUAAAGGAAAGAAAAUGAAAAGCAUAAACAAGAUAUUAAUGAAAGCAAAACUUAAGCAUUACAAAAAUAUAAAGAGAGAGAGUAAGAGCAAGAUCUUGAUCUGAACAACCAAGAUGCCUAAAUGCAUGGCAAAUGCCUCCUUUUAUAGGCCAAAAAUUAGAACUAUUGAUUUGAUGACUAAUUGUUGAGUGGGGGCCACAUCUUGACUUGGUGAUAAUCCUUAUCUUAUUGUCUAAACAAAACAACAUUGAUAACGUCAGAAUUUGAACAGACUUAACACAUGAAAGUUCUAGGAAAUUGUCUCAAUUUUCUAGGAAAAAACAAUUAAGGUCAUUUGGACUUCUAGAACUCGAGAUAUGGAAUGAAAACGGAUUAGUGUCUUGGUUGUAGGAUAGAUUCAGACUUCUCCGUUGUUGCUACAAUUUGAACUUGAAAAUGGCUUUUUUGAAUCUUGCACUCCGCAUGAAAGUUUUAGGCAUAUGUCUUAGCUUUCCAUCCAUAUAAAGCAGGCAUAAAUCCAAGAUCUAUAGCUCCAGAUAUGACCAAAUGACCGAACAGUAUUCCAGUUUAGACUGAACCACAUUUCUUUUCUAACUUUGGCCCUCUCUUUGUCUUUUAAACUCCAGUAGUUAAACUUAUAAAUCAAUCCUUUCAUUCAUGUGAUAGGCCUGCAUUUAAGAUGAAUAUUUACCAUAAAUUAAAGGUAUCUUAUAGUAUCAGACUUGUUAUUAUAAAACAUGCUUUUGUUAAGGAGUUAUUGAUACUUCAAGUGCAAAAUGAUGAUAUAAAACCUUGAUAAAAAUGCACUUCUAAGUACUAAUCACAUCCCGCAACCACCUUAUUACCAGUGCCUAGUAAUCAAAGCGUUAAAAUAGAAAAACAAUUUGCAAUUUCCACAAAGCAAGGCAUUCAUCAUUCAACUUCCAUUAAUCUAUCCAAAUAAACAAAUUCUCAUUAAAUUUAUAUAUAUCUACUCAAUAUCUUUUAAAUAAAAUAUUAAUAAACCUUCCUUUUUAUGAGCUUAAUGUAUGAAAAUAUAGAUGAUGGGGCUUUUUAUUGGAAGAAAUCAAUGUUCUGUUUCUAAUUUAAGGUUGACUUUCUUGGGUUGAGAUUAUUAUCUUUUUUAAUACAUAUACAUAUAACUUAAAACACAAUGCAUCUUUAACCCAUGUUACGAGCUUUUGACUAAUGACUCCCGGACCAGUUGGUCUUAAGGCAUUAGGUGUUAAGACGCAUCUACGAGCUUAGUAACUUGGGUUGCAGAUACUGAUACGUAGAUAAUGUAAUUUUGAUUCCCUUAAGCUUUUCUUCUUAACCCAUGUAACAAGCGUUAGGCCAAAAGCACCCAAGUCGGUUGACUUUAGGGUAUUAUGUGUUAAAACACCCUUUCAGACAUAAUUGCUUAGGUUAGGGAGGCUACGAAACCAAACUUAUCUACUUUUUGUUAUCAUCAAUAUAAUCAAUUUGUUUUUUGUUUUUUUUUGCAGAUUAUAUACUAUCCCUUUCCCUUAGUUGCUACCUUUAACAAAAGAACAUAAAUAGUGUAAUAAUUCAAUGUGCAACCCAUAAUCAUAUGUUAAAGUGUGUGUGUGAAAAUGAAGGUUCAAGAAUACUUGUUAAAUAAGUAUAUGAGCAUAAUCAAUUGAUGAUAAUGGAGAGUUUAUAAACCUGAAUAUUUUAAGAAGUAUUCUGAUAGACCUUAUUAAGUGUUGCUACCCAAUUUUUGACCCAUGUUUUUGAUAUAUUUUCAAAAAAUCCAAAAAUUGAGAAAAACAAAGAAAAUCCAAAAAAUAUGUUUUUGUAAUAUAUUUUCAUCAUUUUAGCAUUUUCAACGUCGUCUAAAAAAGAAUUUAAUUUGUUAAUAUAUUUUCAAACGCGUUCGACUUUUCGCGUCAUUUUUAAAAUCAUUGAUUUUCCGCAUUUAAGUCGACGUUGAUAUUGCUCGUUUUCAAAAAAUACAAAAAAAUAAGAAAAAUCAAAAUUUACAAAAAGAAAGAAGUUGAGGGACCAAGUUAAAAGACCUAGCAACAUUUUUGCCUAUAAAUACCAUGCUAAACUGAUUUUUUGGAGGGGGGGACAAUUUUGACAUUCAGAAAAAAUACCAAAACCCUAAAACCCAACUCUUUCUAGCCACUAAAAAAGGGGGGCCGGCGGCGCCUCCCUCCUGGUUUUAAAUUUUUUUUCCUAGUGUUCUUCUCUUGAAAACCAGCCGCCGGCCCCCACGUUGAAUUCUUUUUUUUCUCCUUCUCAGCCGACCUCAUCUUCUCCUGUAGCCUCUCCAUCCUCCCCCGGCCAUUUUUUUUUUCUUUCCUCUUCCUCACAAAGAACCGGCCAAACAGCCCCUCCACCAUUUGAUUUUUCAGUUUUCUCUUCUUCCACCCGAACCAGCCUCCCUUCCCCAUCGUUCCUCCAUAUCACUUUCUUCUUCCCUCACCACUGAGCCCAUCCGUGACUGGCGAUCCACACCUUCUUCUUCCUCAUCGAUCUGUCCCCUCCAGCCCACAGACCAGUGGCUAGACCGGCGUCCAUCGAGCCCCAAGCAUCCAGCAGAAGCGUCUCCUUCGUCAUCAGUAACGGCUGCUCCUCCUUCGGUCUCCAUCUUUCCCGAUCUCUCACAGCCUACCCGGCUGAUCCAUCAACGCCGAAGCCUCUCCCUCAGCAACCUCUUCUUCGACGGUUCCUUCAACAACCGGUUCUCCUCCAACUCCAACCCGUGUAGCAGAUCCGGACCGAGAUCCAGCCACCACCAGCGCCGACGGUGCCCAACAACCCGAUGUGCUGCAGGGAUGAAAUCUCGGGCAACGAACCGUGAUCAACCCGAAAGAAGCGAUCUGAAAUGAAGAGGAAGGAGCAGAUCGGAGAAGAAAUAAAGAACAAAAAAAUCAAUCCGAAAAAAUAAAAAACAGACAAAGAAAUAAAGCUUAAAAUCGACUGUUUGUGCGUUUGUUUUUUUGUUAUAGAUGAUGUGUUCUUACCGCUGCGGGGAGGAAAGGAGGAAGAAGCAGAAUCCGACCAGCGUUUUUUUUCCGGCGUUCUCUCGCGGCGGCGUGAACCCACGCGCCGCCGCUGUCCAAGCACUGUUCACGCACCUAGCAGCUGUCCCAGCACUGUUCAGGCAGACCCAGAAGGCUUUAGAUUUGUGUUUUUUUAAUUUUAGGGUUGUUUAAUUUGAGUUGUUGAGUAAUUUUAUGUAAUAUUGAAUUUUGUAUUUGUAUUUGUAUGAUGGAUGUAAUAAAAAAAAAAGAACAAAAAAAAAAAAGAAAAGAAAAGAAGAAAAGAAAAUAAUAAUAAAAAAGGGAUGUGUGUUGGUGUAUUUUAUUUAUUUAUUUUGAAUUUGAUUUGUAUUUUUGUGGAUGUAAAAGAAAAGAAAAGAAAAGAAAAAAAUAGUGAAUGUGUGUGUGUAUUGUUUUAUUUAUUUGUAAUAUUAUUUAAGAUAAAAUUGCAAUAUAUUAAAGAAGAAUUUAAUAUUUUGAUCGGAUCACGGUUAAGAAUUAUUAACUUAUACGUAAGUGAUAUUUCUAAUUUCCGAAGAAAAGACAAUUUUAAAACUUCUUUAACACGUCAAAGCCACGAAGCAGCUUACCUCAGGUAGGGUGCGUUAGGGGUGCUAAUACCUUCCCUAACCACAACCAGUCCCUUACCCGCGAAUCUCUGACAAGACCAGUACAUCCGGUUUCCUAGUAGCCCCAAAAAUUACUAGGUGGCGACUCCAACGAACCAAAUUCAAGCAACGAACACAACGAGAUUUAAAUCGCCAGCCGAUGCCGCGCGCUGAUUUUUUUUGGGGUGCGACAGAAUGGCGACUCCACUGGGGAAGGUAUUUUUUCGAUUAUUGGACUAAGCUUUGUGUAUUUGAUGUGUUUAAGUUUUGCAUUUUUAUCUUUUUUUAAUAUUUAUUUCCAUGCAUUUUAUAGAAUUGUCUCAUGCAUCACCUGUAUUUAUUUUUAAAAGCACACACAAGCUUCUAGGUUAGGUGGGGAACUAGCGAUCUGCCCUAAGACUAUUGGUCAGGGUUCAGAUGCGUGAAACACCCAACUCAUAUCUGAGUGCCUGCUUGGUAAUGGUGGGAUACGUACCUUAACCAUUCCUUGCAACGCCCCCAAACUGUCUUUACGAAGAACGUCACUGGGCAGAUAUGAGACCCUUUUGAGACCAGAUAGAAAACUUACCCAUGUUCACAUAAUGAAUAGAACCUGUCCUUAGGUUGUAUGUGCUAUCGUUUUUUGCAUAAGGGCAAACCCUUCUUGAAGCAUCUUGAACUCAAGACUUGUGGGUGACACAUUGGCCGUUGCUCCGAAAAUUUUCAUUGUAGAGUUUGGGCAAAAAUCACGAUUCUUGUCCAUCAUACAAGAGUUACGACCAUAUUGUCACCUCUCGAAGGGAGAGUUCAUCAUAUAGAUUACAUGUUCAUACAUUUAUCAUGCAUGAACCGGGUCGAAACGUAGGUCCCUUGUACAAGUUGUGCUGCACGAGAUUGAAGAAAAAUAAUGGAAGUGAACAAAGGAGUCAGAUAUAGGUUCAGUAUCAGAUUAAGGUUGAGAGCAUCAAGAGUGAAGUAGCGGGACUCAGAUCUGCUCGAACAAGUGUUGAGCAUCAAAUGAAAAGAGAAUGUCUGCACAGUUUUCUGUGGGAACACUGCUUGUUCACGUCCAAUUGAAGCUGUACCUUUCCUUUUCAGUCAUGAACAACAGCAACAACGCCUUCAGUCAUCAACUAAUGACAACUCUGAUUCCUGUCCAGUUGCGCUGUUAAGUAUUCAUCGCCUCCACAUCAUCUAAUGGAACCAAACGACUACUAACCUCCUGUUCAUGGUGCAUUAGUCUGCUUUGAAGUUACCCCAAUUAUGAGCUCAAUUCCAGUUCAGCAGCACAAGAUGUUGGUCUGAAAAAAAAAAAACCAUGAUCAGACACUGAAUUUCAACGCGGUAGAGCUCUCUCUGUAGAGAUUUAUUUGUGGAUCUGUCAAUGGCAAAUGCAAAAGGGAAUGUAUUAAUUUCAUAUGCUUUGAAACUUUUUCCCACCAGUGGCACCAGCAAAACAUUGUAGUAGGCAGAAGAGUCAGACCUGGUCUGAUAAUAUUAGCAGUUGUCAAACUUCAAUGUGGCAGAGCUCUCUCUACAAAAAUCCAUUUAUGGCUCUGCAAAUUGGGAAUGCAAGAGGGGAUUUACUAAUUGCAUAUGCUACAAAUAUUUCUCUCAUCAGUUUCAGCACGAAGAAACUAUAGCAGGUUGAAGAGCCAGACUUGGCUUGAAAAAUAUGAGCAGACAUCAAACUUCAACAUAGCAGAGCUCUCCCGACAGGAAUCUGUUUGUGGAUCCGCAAGAGGGAAAUCCAAGAAGGAAUACAGUAGUUUCAGAUCAUUUAUGAUUUUUCUCCAACAGUGUCAGUAUUAAAAUGCAAAAGUAGAGAGAAGAUACAUGCCUAGACUGAAAAACAUGAAGAAUACUGAAACUUCAACAGAGCAGGACUUCCUCUAUAGGUGUUUGUUUGCUGCACUGUCAGUGAGAAAUGGAAGAGGGGACAAAAGUUUUAGAUUCAUCAGGUGCUCUUCCAAUAAAGACAAUGUGUGAUUCCACACGUCGGUAGUGGCGAUACUACAAGUUUCUGGGCGCUGCCAAGAUUACCAAGCUGUUAGAAAGUUUUCUAACAAUCCUCAACCAACCAUAGCAACAUUGGAAGAUUGAAAUAAUGCUGUGAGGAUUUGCCGAAGAAUUGAACAAGCUAUGAAGAGAAGAAAGAUUGAAGGAUCUGCCAUGGAUUCUAGAACAAUGAUGAGAGGUGAAUCAGGAGAUGACUUUGAUGGUGUGAGCCCUUAAUUAUGUGGUAUAGCCAGGUCUCACGGUAGCAUCAAUUGCUCAAAUGUCUUUGCCAAGAUGGGACAUUCCCCUGCCACUUAAGUUUGUCGACCAGCAUCUGCCAGAUUCCAGAAUUUUGCUUGACUCCGACAAAUCCCAUGCAACCACCAAAUUCUAGGUGGUAUAAUCCAGAUAAGAGAUGUGAUGUCAUGGUGGGGUCCUCAACCAUUUCAAGUGAACAGUUUCAAGAAUUGCAAGAAUGGAGUCUGAAAGUUGGUGAGCAAGAGACAGAUGGAGUCGUUGAUGAAGGGUGUCAUUGGCUAUAUUGUCCCUCGAACAUCAUCAAAAUGACAUGUGAUCGAAAGUGCUUGGCCGAACACAGAUGUUGCCAGAAAAGCUGAUUCAAGUAUGGUGAUGAACAGUCAAUCAUAUUGUUAUGGAUUUCGGCAUUUUGUUUUGGGAUCACAUCUCAUCCUUCAACGAAACAUGUCUUGCUUUUGUCUCUUUGUUGUUUUGAAAUCAACAGAUGUUUAGCAUUUUUUCUGACAAAAUAUUUUGAACAAACUCCAACAUGCGAUAAAGGUUAAUCAAUCCGGAAGAUUAGAAGUGUUUUGAUUACAGAAAUGACUCUAUGCUUGAAAAUGACAUGAGGUGACCAAACAAUUUUGAACUCAUACCUUUUGAAACUGAACCACACAUCAUAUAGCUAAGUUUUAGCAGUAUGCAUAAUGACAUGUAGUGGAUUCGGUAGUUAUGGACUCGUGAAUCAUGAUUCUUACAAGUCCCAAUCAUUACACUAGAUGAGGUCAAAAUUUAUCGGUUCUAACCGACCUUGCUUGAUGUCGCACAUCAAAAAUCCACGCGACAUCGGCUGGCGAAAAUUUUUUAUUUGUAUUUUGCUUGGUUCGUUGGAGUCGCCACCUAGUAUUAUGGUCACUUGGAACCUAAGGUCUGCAAGAGUCUGAAUAAGGGACUGGUUGUGCAAGGGGAAGACGCAUCACCCCCAAUGCACCCUACCUAAGGCAAGCUGCAUUAUUGUUUGAUUGCUUUUCUAGGUCAAGUUUCUAUUCGCUGGUCUUUUCUAAGGUUCAAGGCAGAUCUCCCCUCGUGAGGGAGUCUCUACCUUAUUCGGUAGAAUCCUAACCAUUCUAAAGUCUGAAUUUUAAAAUUGCUUUCACUUAUACCUUGUAUCUUUAAUACCCGCAGAUGUACAUUAUCGUGUAAUUUUACACCCCACAAAUAUUAAAGUUUAUAUCUGGAUCCUAAAAAAUAAAAAAAGGGUUUUUGACAUUUUGACCAAACCUUAAUGGAUAAUCAUAAACAUUUUAUGAUAUCCAUUUUUUUUUGGAUUUUUAAAACGUGAGAAACAUGCAAUUUGUUUUGAAAAAAACAUGCUUGGAAAAUUUUUAAGGCUUGGCCGUAUGCAAUAAAAUAUUUUUACCUUCCUUUUUUAUUUAUUUUUAUUUUAUUUUUUUUGCAAAAAAACCGGGUAUUUUAAUAUCGAACUUGUAUCUUACAUUGUAAGUAUACAACCCAAUAUUAAGCAAAACUUGGUAGAAAAAAACUUUUAAAUUUUUUUUUUUAUUAUUUCUUUUUUUUGAAAUUUUUUUUUUGAAGAUUUUUUUUUGCAAAAAAAACCCAUCAAAGCUUCAUGAUAUUGAAACGAAUACAAUCGUCAUAGGCAGGGAAACGAAAAAAAAACAAACAGGUGCAGUUAUUUGAACUGUUGAGAUUACAUAAUUAUUUGAACCAUAAUUAGCCACUGCAUGCAGAGAUAAAUUCUGCAUGCAGCAGCUACAAAGGACGAACGAAGAAGAAAAAGGAUGGAGCAGGGAGGAGAGAAUUACUUGGCGUGGAGAGAGUGGGCAGCCUGGCUUCUACUGCGCGGUGUGAGUGGAGGCGGCGUGCACUGGUCCCGGCUGGAAGAAGAAUAAAGCAGGUCCUGCAGAGGAGAGGGAAAGCUCACGGCUAGAGCUGUUGGAGUGGCUGAGGAAGAAAGUGCUACCCAAGCUGCUGCUGGUAGGAAUGCAAGCCGCUGUAAAGGAUGGUUGCUGCUGCUGCCACUGCUGGGGUCGCGGUGGUGGAGAGAAAAAAGUUUUGCUGGGAAGAGAGGGAGAGAGAGAGAGUUGUUGCUGGCUUCAGUGAGGUGGCUGGGUGAUGGAUGGGACGUGGUGUUUCAGGGGAAUGAUGGUGGCGAGAUCAGUGGUGGCAACUAGAGGCCACGACGGAGAGAAAAAAAAAAGAGAGGACUGGUUGCAGGAAAAACCGGGCAGGAAAAGCUGAUUUUCGGCCAACUUUGAGUUCAGUUUUCUCCUUCUCCUGAGCAUGAAAUUGGCUCCUAUUUAUAGGGAACGAAAGAGGGUAAUCUGGUAUUUAACGGGGAAAAAUUCUCAGCCCUUGAUUCGACUCGAGGAAUCCAAGCCGUUGGUUCAAAGUGUGCACCUCGAACUGCCAAAUUUGGCAAUCCAAGGCUGCAGACCGCCCGAGGGUGCCACUUUGGGCCAAUAAACGGAGCUGUCCCCAAGUUGUUCCACCCGACCAAACCACUCUACGAGAUAAAGAUGUUUCAGGGGAACAUGUUGGUGCACGCCUUGUCGGAUUUGGGGGCCAAACGAGUGAGAAAACGCGCCUGGAAAUCAGCCACUCGGGCAGCUCUGUGAGGAAGACGAUGAACAGUAACCGGGCGACCCCUCAACACAAAAACGGCGCCGUUUGGGAUAAAAAUUAGGGAUUUUUGCUGAUUUUCAAUCUAGCCCUCCGGCUUUCAAUUGCUUUCAAUUUGACCCCUGGAUUUUGUCAAUUAGACCCCUAUAGUUUGGCGCCUUUUGCAAGUUGGUCCUUGUCUUUGUAUUUUGUCAAUUUAACCCCUAAUUGACCCCAAAACUUCAAUUUUCUUGCAAUUUGACCCUUGAUUUCAAUCAAUCAACUUGGUAAAAAUUAAAUUUGGUCUCUUAAAAUUCCAAUCUUCUCAAUUAAGCCCAAAUUAAGCUCCCAAACUUAAUUUUCCACCAAUUAAGCCCCAAAAUAAAAUUAAUUUGACCCAUUUAAAGUAUAAUUAAGUCCUCGCACUUAAUUAAAUCCUUCAAUUGGACCCAAAUUAAUUCUUAAACAUAAUUAAAAUUCAAUUUGGCCCAUGAUUAAAUCAAAUUGACCUAUUAAAAAUUUAAUUAUGUCCUUGGACUUAAUUUUUAUGCAAAUUCGUCCGAUAAUCAUUUAAUUUAACCUUGAAUUUGCAUUUUCCUUUUCCAAUUUUUGGCACACUGGGGCGCCGGUAGGUCUUGAAUCUCCUCCGAAAAUUGCAAUUUGAUUUCCCUGCAUACUUUCUCCACGUUGCCAGCCUUUAUUAUUUUUUUGUCUUUAUUAUUUUUUAUUUUAUUUUGGGGGGAAUUUAUUUUGGGGGGAAUAACCCAGAAUUGGGUUAUGACACUUGAAAUGAGAAAAGGCCAUCUUUGAUAUCCCUUCACUUUCUAAAGAUUAUAUCCCUUGCAGUCCCAUUUUGAGCCUGGUAAAAUAUUUUCUUUCAAAAAAGGAAACCCUGACUAGGAUCACACCCCACAUUGGGGGGCAAAUGAGAGAUAUUUUGGAGACAUUGAUAUAAUUAAUGGAUAAAGGGGAAGGCUUAGAGCAAAGGUCCAAUGAUUGAGAGAGAGCUAAAAGAAAACACAUAGACUGGGGGCAUAUAAGAAAAUUUUGAGGAAGGCUAUGAAAAAAAAAAAAAAAAAGAAAAAAAAAAAGAGAAGUUGAAAUUGCCUUCACUUAAAUACAAGUCAAAGAUAAAGGAAGGAAAAGCCUAUCAAGUCUAGAAGAGCAAAAGAAAUUUCAAUCAAGGAAAGGUACAACAAAGUCAAUACCAGAAAAAAGACUAAGCUAUAAGCGUUGACUUUUGGUAUCCAUUAUAAAGCCUACGAUGUUAUCAGAUGAUUAAGGUUGGUUAUUUCAAAGAAAGUGGAUUUGCAUUAUGAUUUAUGUUAAGAAAAGUCUGAAGUUUGAGGUUAACAAGGUUAUAUGUUGUUUCCUUUACAAAGACAAUAAUAGAAAACUAGUUGAUGAAUAAUUGAUGUUGAUCCUAGGUCUUUGAAACCCUUAAACACCUUUUGAGCCUUUGAAAUUCCUUUCUUUCAUAGCCAUGAACCAUAGCCUGCAUUACGUGCUUUUAAAAGCCCUUUUUAAUCAAGCAAGCAAUUUGAACCGAUAAAUGGCGCUCUCAAAACUUGAAGAGCUUUUCCAUAAGGGUCGUGACUUCAUGAAUUAAGCUAUUGGUUAUUAUGCAUGCUGAUAAAACAAGUUAUAAGAAGAGAAACAACCUUUCUUUAUCAAGCCUGAGCAUCUAAUCAUUUGAAAUUCACAAAAAUAUCACCUCACCAUAAACCAUCAAAAGAUAUACCCAAAAUCAGAGUUUAAAGUGGACACAAAGAACCAUGAAAAAGUCAUUUUAAAUAUUACAACGGGUCAUUUCUGUUUUCAAAAUACGAGACAAUCAAAGGGCUGCAUUGAAUAAUGUGUUGGGUCUUUGACCAAAGGAGCUCGAAUUUCAAAAAUAACUUUUCAAAAACUGAUAUCUCUCUGAUUUCAUUUCAACAAUUAUACUUGAAUAGACAUGAUCGUUGAAAUGUUGAGAUUUGAUUCCAGAACAAGAAAGAUUUUCAAAAAGAACAUCAAUUGAGUUUGCAAAAUUCUUGACAAAAAUGACAUCAACAUUUCUCGACACUCCUUGAAACGUUGACCACCUGGGGGCAAUACAGUGGACCCUUGAAGAAAAAACAACAUUCCAGAUCAGCUGGGGGCAAAGAAAGAAUCAGAUGAUGAGUCGUCAAAGUUCAUCAAAGUUAUGUUUAGCAUCUGACAAUGACAAAGAAAAACCUUCUUGAGUAUAAACCGAUGAACGAACCUUCAGAUCAUAUUGGGGCAAUGUUGUUCAAAGACAAUCCAUGAUCUAGUGCACUUCAGCAGCAAUUGAUGAGCAACGCUGCACUUGAAGGAUAUUUUCAUAUCUUCAUCUUGAGGUUACCCUUGAAAACAUGGCUAUGACUCCUGAAGAUGUUAUCGGGUGAGUGCAUUUGAAUGAACAUCGAACAUAUGCAUACCACUAAGAUUGACUGUGGGACCAUCUAUUCUGAAGCUCAAAUGCGCACUUCACCACAUGAAUAUGGGUGAUAACAUGAACAUCAUUGAUGAUGCCAAAGCAGGUAUUUUCACGAUCUGAUUUGACAAGCUAAGAGGAAUCCAUAGAGAAAUACAUCGCGCUUACAAUGAUGAGUUGUUUACUGCAAAGCAUGAGAUACAUGUCUGGAUGACUUGGCAGUUCCAUGAAGGCUGGUGACCAUACAUACUUGAAUGGUGUUUCAACCGAAGGCAAGUUCAUGACUGAUUAACAAACGUGAUGGGUGUUGGCAUGAUGCACACAAUCAAUCAGAGGAUAAUUCUCAGAAGAAGCCAGGAGAGAAAAUCUCUCAUGAUGAAUCAAGCAGUACUACACUUGGGGGCAGGGUCAAGCUUCAUGAACGAUGCAAGCAGUAAUUGUCGAAGACAGCCCGGGAUGGGCACUAUUUACAGCUGAGUGGAUGGCUAGCACAUGAAUGAGCUAAUGCAUCGGAAGAACAAAGAAAGCUUUGGGAUGCAAACAAGGGCACCCUAUGACGAUGGAGCAUCAAAGAGGGGGGACCUAUAUUUCAAAUCAGGUAAGGAUGCAUGCAUAUCAUCUAACCUCCAAAAAAAAAAAAAAAAAAAAAAAAAAAAACACCAUUUGCACAUAUUUUUCAAUUGUCACAGGAAAAUCCCAAAGAAAUGAAGAGAUCAACAUUGCAACCGGGAAGCCUCGAGUUUUCAACCCUUGCAGUCAGGAAACACCGAGUUUUCAAACCCCAUGAUCAGGAAUUAUCAGGAAGCACCGAGUUUUCCAGCCCUUUCUUCUGUCAUCCCUUCAGAACUUCGCCAGGUAAGUCCUAUUUUUCACACCGCACUUCAUCAUAUUUUUUCCAUCUGGGUAGGUCACCCAUUACAAUGAGACCACACUUCAUAUUUUUUCCACGUGGGUAGGUCACCCAUUACAAUGAGACCGCACUUCACAUUUUUUCCAUCUGGGUAGGUCACCCAUACAAUGAAACCAUCAUUUUUCCAGGGUUCGUCACCCAUACAAUGAGACCAUCAUUUUUCUGGGUUCGUCACCCAUACAAUGAGACCAUCAUUUUUCUGGGUUCGUCACCCAUACAAUGAGACCAUCAUAUUUAUGGGUUCGUCACCCAUAUAAUGAGACCAUCAUAUUUCUAGGGUUCGUCACCCGUACAAUGAGACCAGCAUUUUUCUAGGGUUCGUCACCCGUACAAUGAGACCAACAUUUUUCUAGGGUUCGUCACCCGUACAAUGAGACCAGCACUAGGGUUCGUCACCCGUACAAUGAGACCAGCAGCACUAGGGUUCGUCACCCGUACAAUGAGACCAGCAUUUUUCGAGGGUUAGUCACCCGUACAAUGAGACCAGAAUGAGGUCGCCAGAUGGGAUCUCAUGUAGCUUUGGUUAAAGGGAAUCACCAGAUGGGAUUUCAGGUUAAUCGAGUUACAUAUAUUUCAUUCCAGAAUGAGGUCGCCAGAUGGGAUCUCAUGUAGCUUUGGUUAAAGGGAAUCGCCAGAUGGGAUUUCAGGUUAAUCGAGUUACACAUAUUUCGUUCCAGUUGAAUGAGGUCGCCAGAUGGGAUCUCAUGUAGCUUUGGUUAAAGGGAAUCGCCAGAUGGGAUUUCAGGUUAACCGAGUUACGCAUAUUUCGUUCCAAUUGAAUGAGGUUGCCAGAUGGGAUCUCAUGUAGCUUUGGUUAAAGGGAAUCGCCAGAUGGGAUUUCAGGUUAACCGAGUUACACAAUAUUUUCGUUCCAGUUGAAUGAGGUCGCCAGAUGGGAUCUCAAGUAAACCCAAUGUGUGGGCAGGUCGCCCGUGAAAAUAGACUAUUGGGAGAGUGUGGGUCGGUCACCCGUGAAAAUAGACUAGAGUGAGUAUGUGUGGGCAGGUCGCCCGUGAAAAUAGAUCAGUGUGAGUGUGUGGGCAGGUCGCCCAAGAUAAUGAAAUCAUCUUCCUUUUGUUUUCUUUACAAAGCUUACUAUGCAAAAUUUUGAGGAUUUUCGCUUCGUAAGCAUUGUAAAGAGGGGGCAUCUGUUGCUACCCAAUUUUUGACCCAUGUUUUUGAUAUAUUUUCAAAAAAUCCAAAAAUUGAGAAAAACAAAGAAAAUCCAAAAAAUAUGUUUUUUUAAUAUAUUUUCGUCAUUUUAGCAUUUUCAACGUCGUCUAAAAAAGAAUUUAAUUUGUUAAAAUAUUUUCAAACGCGUUCGACUUUUCGCGUCAUUUUUAAAAUCAUUGAUUUUCCGCAUUUAAGUCGACGUUGAUAUUGCUCGUUUUCAAAAAAUACAAAAAAAUAAGAAAAAUCAAAAUUUACAAAAAGAAAGAAGUUGAGGGACCAAGUUGAAAGACCUAGCAACAUUUUUGCCUAUAAAUACCAUGCUAAACUGAUUUUUUGGGGGGGACAAUUUUGACAUUCAGAAAAAAUACCAAAACCCUAAAACCCAACUCUUUCUAGCCACUAAAAAAGGGGGGCCGGCGGCGCCUCCCUCCUGGUUUUAAAUUUUUUUUCCUAGUGUUCUUCUCUUGAAAACCAGCCGGCCCCCACGUUGAAUUCUUUUUUUUCUCCUUCUCAGCCGACCUCAUCUUCUCCUGUAGCCUCUCCAUCCUCCCCGGCCAUUUUUUUUUCUUUCCUCUUCCUCACAAAGAACCGGCCAAACAGCCCCUCCACCAUUUGAUUUUUCAGUUUUCUCUUCUUCCACCCGAACCAGCCUCCCUUCCCCAUCGUUCCUCCAUAUCACUUUCUUCUUCCCUCACCACUGAGCCCAUCCGUGACUGGCGAUCCACACCUUCUUCUUCCUCAUCGAUCUGUCCCCUCCAGCCCACAGACCAGCGGCUAGACCGGCGUCCAUCGAGCCCCAAGCAUCCAGCAGAAGCGUCUCCUUCGUCAUCAGUAACGGCUGCUCCUCCUUCGGUCUCCAUCUUUCUCGAUCUCUCACAGCCUACCCGGCUGAUCCAUCAACGCCGAAGCCUCUCCCUCAGCAACCUCUUCUUCGACGGUUCCUUCAACAACCGGUUCUCCUCCAACUCAAACCCGUGUAGCAGAUCCGGACCGAGAUCCAGCCACCACCAGCGCCGACGGUGCCCAACAACCCGAUGUGCUGCAGGGAUGAAAUCUCGGGCAACGAACCGUGAUCAACCCGAAAGAAGACGAUCUGAAGAUGAAGAGGAAGGAGCAGAUCGGAGAAGAAAUAAAGAACAAAAAAAUCAGAUCCGAAAAAAUAAAAAACAGACAAAGAAAUAAAAGCUUAAAAUCGACUGUUUGUGCGUUUGUUUUUUGUUAUAGAUGAUGUGGUUUCUUACCGUCUGCGGGGAGGGAAAAGGAGGAAGAAGCAGAAUCCGACCAGCCGUUUUUUUUCCGGCGUUCUCGCGGCGGCGCGUGAACCCACGCGCCGCCGCUGUCCAAGCACUGUUCACGCACCUAGCAGCUGUCCCAGCACUGUUCAGGCAGACCCAGAAGGCUUUUCAGAUUUGUGUUUUUUUUGAAUUUUAGGGUUGUUUUGUAAUUUUGAGUUGUUGAUGUAAUUUUUUAUGUAAUAUUGAAUUUUGUAUUUGUAUUUUGUAUGAUGGAUGUAAAAAAAAAAGAACAAAAAAAAAAAGAAAAGAAAAGAAGAAAAGAAAGGAAAAUAAUAAUAAAAAAGGGGAUGUGUGUGUUGGUGUAUUUUUAUUUAUUUAUUUUGAAUUUGAAUUUGUAUUUGUAUUGUGGAUGUAAAAGAAAAGAAAAAAGAAAAGAAAUGAAAAUAGUGAAUGUGUGUGCUUGUAUUUUGUUUUAUUUAUUUGUAUAUAUUUUAAGGAUAAAAUUGCAAAUAUAUUAAAGAAUUUAAUUUUUUGAUCGGAUCACGGUUAAGAAUUAUUAACUUAUACGUAAGUGAUAUUUCUAAUUUCCGAAGAAAAGACAAUUAUUAAAACUUCUUUAACACUUCAAAGCCACGAAGCAGCUUACCUCAGGUAGGGUGCGUUAGGGGUGCUAAUACCUUCCCUAACCACAAUCAGUCCCUUACCCGCGAAUCUCUGACAAGACCAGUACAUCAGGUUUCCUAGUAGCCCUCAAUAAAUUACUAGGUGGCGACUCCAACGAACCAAUUCAAGCAACGAACGCAACAUAUGAGAAUUAAAUCGCCAGCCGAUGCCGCGCGUUGAUUUAGCUGAUUUUUUUUGGGGUGCGACAAAGAAUGUUUACUAAGAUGCGUUUCAAGAGUCACUUUAAUAUGAAAGAUCUCUUCCAAUGUUCCGAGACCUCCUAGUAAGGUAAUGAAGGUAUCAACAUGGUUACACAUUGUAUUCAUUCAAUCAGACAUUGUGGAGACUUGUAGUUCCUCUUCAAUUAUUUUUUCAAUGAUGUCCCUUUUAGCUAAAGCUUUGGGGACGACCCCUAAAACUUGAUUACCUCCUAAAAAUACAGCUAUUGACACACACCCAUUCACUAAAUGAAUCUUUCUCUCAAUUAGUACCUGACCAAGAUGAUUUGCUGAUUCUAAAAAUCAUUUUCUUUCCCAAGAUUGGAUCCACUAAAAACACAAAUAUUUCUUAUGUGAUGACUUGAGGAACCUACCAUUUCUACACACUUCUAUACCCGUUCAAUGUAUGGGUUGAGUAGAAAUGAAGGGAAGGAAAAGAAGAUUUUAUAGAUGAGAAAUUAAAAACGCAAUCAUACCACUUAUAUAUAGACCAGUUGGAGUCUCAUUCUCUCUCUCUCUAUUGAUUUUUAUUUUAUUUUGAAAAAGCAUGUGUAUGUACAGGUAGCUGUGAUUGUGGCUCACAUCUUCCCUUCGUUUUACAUCUAAGAACGGCUUAAAUGCCCUCUAUGGGUCAGGGAUAAGUUUCCCAUCCAAUUUUCUUAAAAACUAGCAAACAAGGUCUUUUUUAGUCAGAGUCUCAAGACUAUGUCGAGCAUGUUCUUUAUGGAAUUGUGGCCAUAAAUCAUGAAUUGCAUGAUGCACAUCUCCACUAGGGUGCAUCUCAAGAGUCAAUAGAAGAUUAUCUAAAGACCCCUUACUCAGGCCAUCCUUAACGAAAUGUAUUUUAUCUUCAUGGUUUACAGAUACUAUUGCUAAAGAAUGACAUGUUGCAUUACAAGUCCAUCUCGCACAUCUGUGAUAGACUUUCAGUCGUUUUGCAUGAUAUUUCUUUGCAAAAGUGCUUUUACCUGUUCCAAGCAUGUAUGAAAUGAAAGAAUUGGAUGACUCACCUGAUAAUCGGACCUUUGCUUCAAUCAGCCAGUGAAUAUCUUCAGGAAUUCCAUAAUUCAUCAACAACCUCAAUCUUUCACACCUAGCACGGUAAAUGUUUGCAAUCGCAUUUGGAGGCAAAGCAAAAAAAUACUUUUUUAAUUUUUCAAGAGUGGUGUCCAUUUUCAAAUGAGAAUUGGAGACGAGAUGCAAAGAAAGGAGAAAGAACAAAGAAUUGCAUAUUUAUAUGCACACACACACACAAACACACACACACACACACAUAUAUAUAUCAGUUAUCAUGGGAAAUUGAAAGAACCAACUUAAGAGUCACGGAGUAUCGUUAUCCGUCAUUUCACCGGGGUGAGAGAAACUAGCAAAAUAGAAGUCACACUGAAAAGAAACAUAGAAAUAAUGUGAGAAAAAGAAUCAAUCUUUGUAUACAGGAUCACCCAAUUCAAUAGAGUCAUUUUCAAUUGAAAGAUUGUCAAAGUAAACUUUCAAACGAUAUCCAUUUACCUUGAAAACAUUACCAUUCUUUGGAUUCUCGUUAUCACAGGCCCCAUAUGGAUACACAUGUUUCACAAUAAAAGGACCGCUCCAUCUUGAUCUUAGUUUUCCAGGAAAUAAAUUGAAUCAAGAAUUAAAAAGCAAGACUUUUUGACCAACAUUCAAUGUUUUUCUCAAUAUUUUCUUGUCAUGAAACUCUUUGAUUCUUGCUUUAUGGCCGUAGAAGAUUUUCUUAAAUUUUUGGCUUGUUCAGAAAACUUGGCUGAAGAAGAUAACCAGUCAAUUCAUAAUGAGAAUAAUGAGAAUAAUCGUGUUAGAAUACUUAGAGAUCAUAUGAAUCCAACAAGAACAAGUGCACCAUCAUGUAUAAUUUUUCCUCUAGAUACAUCUCAUUUUAAUUUUAAGCCAAGUAUCAUUAAACUUUUACCCACUUUUCAUGGAUUAGAUCCAGAAAAUCCAUACUUGCAUUUGAGAGAAUUUGAAGAAGUUUGUAACACUUAUAAUGACUUAAAUUGUAGUAUGAAUACCAUCAGAUUAAAGCUUUUUCCCUUUUCAUGAAAAGAUAAAGCUAAAACAUGGCUACAAAAUCUUAGGUCAGGAUCUAUUCUUGUUUGGGAUGAAAUGCAACAACAGUUUUAAAGAAGUUUUUCCCUUCUCAUAGAAUAAACUAUUUUAAAAGACAAAUUGCCACUUUCACUCAAAAACCAAGAGAAAUAUUUUGCAAGUGUUGGGAUAGGUAUAAAGACUUGUUUAAUAUAUGUCCUCAUCAUGGUUUUGAAAUAUGGAGAUUGGUUUCACUUUUUUAUGAAGGGUUAACACCUAAAGAUAGACAAAUGGUGGAAAUGAUGGGCAAUAGAACUUUUGAAGAUAAAGACCCUGAUGAAGUAAUAGAGUACCUAGACAUGCUAGUUGAAAAUUCUCAAAAUUAAGACACUACAAGCAUUUAUGAGGCACCAGGUAAAACUCAACCUCAUACAUCUAGUGGAGGCAUGUAUAACCUUAGGAAAGAUCAUGAUCUCCAAGCCAAAUUUGCAUCCUUAGUUAGAAAAGUCGAGGCACUGGAAUUGAAAAAGAGUGGUCCAUUAAGAUCUAUUCAAGAAAUUGUGUGUCAAAUUUGUGAAACUAAUGGACAACCAUUGAGUGUCCAACUUUGCCUUCUUUUACAGAAUGUCUCCAUGAACAAGCCAAUGCUUUAAACAGUUUUCAAAGGCUAAAUCAUAACCCAUACUCGUAAACGUACAACCCUAGUUGGAGAAAUCACCUAAAUUUUAGUUGGAAUAGUGGUAACAAUAAUGCAUAAACUUCACAUCCACCAUUUUAAGCACAACAUAAUUUUUAAAAUUCUCAUGGAUAUGCACCUCCCUAUGCUCCCCCUCCUAGAAGAAAUCUUGAGGAAACUUUGCAUGCAUUCAUUGAAAAGCAAGAGACAAUCAACACUCAAAAUGCUCAAACUAUGGCUGAUUUAAUAGAUACUCUUGCAAAAUUCACAUCUACUCCCUGUUUUUAGGAGAAAGGUAAGUUUUCAUCUCAACCACAACAAAAUCCCAAAGGGUAAUACAAUUCUAGUGCGAGUAGCUCCGGAAGCCAACAUAUGGAUCAAGUCAUAUCAGUCACUACUCUCCACAGUGGUAAGGUUAUUGAAAAACCUAUUCUUGAACCUUGGGAGAAAGAUGAUGAGUUAAUCUUUGAGGGUAAGGAAAGGGUUGAACUUGAACAUUGCAAGGAAAAGACUGAUUCCCCAUCAACACUUUCAUUUCCUCAUGCCAUGACCAAACAAAGAAAAGUCAAUUACAAUUAUGAAAUCUUUGAAAAUUUUAAACAUGUAAGGAUCAAUAUACCUAUGUUGGAUGUUCUUAAACAUGUACCUUCUUAUGCUAAAUUUUUGAAAGACUUAUGCACCGUGAAUAGAAAAUUGAAUGUGAAAAAGAAAGCCUUUUUAGCCGAACAAGUAAGUGCCAUUCUUCAAAACAAUAAUGCUUUGAAAUAUAAAGACCCUGGUUGUCCUACAAUUUCAUGCUUUAUUGGAUAACAUAAAAUUUACUUCCAUAUUCAGUUUUUCAAAGUCUUAAUCUAGGUGUGUUAAAACCAACUUCUAUAACUUUUUUUACUUAUUGAUAGAUCUGUAAAAAUUCCUAAAGGAAUAGUUGAAAAUGUGUUAGUAUAAGUUGAUAAAUUUAUUUAUCUUAUGGAUUUAAUUGUCUUGGAUACACAACCUGUUGAAGCAUGUAAUUCAAUUCCAUUUAUUUUAGGACGUCCAUUUCUUGCAACUUCUAAUACAUUGAUUAAUUGUAGGAAUGGAGUUAUCUUUUGGAAACAUGACAUUGAAAAUGAAUGUUUUUAACAUUUGCAAGAAACCUGGAGAUGAUAAUGAUUUAUAGGAAGUGAACUUCAUUGAAAAAUUAGUUUAUGAUCAAUUUGAAAAUACUUCAAGUGAAACUAAGUUUAAUGAAUCUGAAGAUUUGCAAAUAGUUUAUUUUCAGGAAGAAUCAAAGGCAGAUAUUUGGAGACCAAAAAUUGAGGAAUUGCCACCACGAUCAAUUGAGUACAAAUCUAGUACUAAAAUAUAUAGUUUUCUCUGAAAUGUUGUGUGUAUAUUAUAUAUAUAUAUAUAUAUAUUUGGAAAAAAAAAUACUUUGUUUUCAUGCAUAUGAGUAAGUCUCUCAAAAUAUAAAAAAAUAUUUCAUAAUGUAUUUUCAUGCAAAAAAAAAAAAAUGUGUUAGCAUACAUUUUGAGUUUUAAUAACCAGUUUAUGAAAACCAUGAGUACUAGAUCUAUAUUUCAAAAAUACCAUAAAAAAUAUUUUGUUUUCUUUUAGCAUCUGAGAUUACAAACUUUUAUAUAUAGACAUUACAACGGUUAGGUUAAUUUUCACCGAUAUUAAAAAUAUAGUUCUUUUAUAUAUAGAUAUUAGAAUGGUUAGGUUUUUACCUGAUAAAAUUAGGAUCUCCUUACUAAGGUGAUUUUUUCUUAAACCUUAGAGAGACUGACAAUUAGAAAACACAACAAUACUCUAGUUAUGUCAAACAAUACAUCUUACCUUAGGUAAGUAGUAUUAGGGGUGUUAAUACAUUUUAUUUAUGCAACCAGUCUUCGUGCCCAAUCUUUGAGACUAGUUAGGGUUUCUAGUGAGCAAAAUACAAGAUAGCGACUCUCAUUCCCUCUUUCCACUAAUAAAGGAUAAGAAUUCCUUAUCUUGUCAAUUUCCCCAUACUACAUGCCAAUAUGGAAUUUCAGGAGGACAUUCGUCGCAAUGUUGCAUCAUGCACAACAAUUGAGAAAGGGGAUGGUUUGAUUUUGGUCUCGACUUGAGUUGUUUUUGUUGUGAUAUUCAGGAUCGAUGUUGCUGAUCAUUAUUAGUGUCGUAUAAGCCUCGCACGACGUCGACUUGAGUGUGCUGGUCUUUGUCAGAGAUUCACGGGUAAGGGACUGGUUGUGGCUAAGAAAGAUAUUAGCACCCCUAGUGCUCCGUAUCUGAGGUAAAAUACUUCGUGGUUUUGUAACAACCUCAAAAAAAUUCAAUCAAUAUAUUCGUUUAACUCCCACAUAAAGGGUAAAUGGAGCAAUUUUUUUUUGUUAAGUUCACCGAAAUUUCUAAGAAAUUUCGGUAGAGUCUCCUCCAUAUUGGGAGAUCCCAAGUUUUCGACAAAUUACCCUACACACAAUUAUAAUCACAUCCCACCGAUAAUGACAUCUAUAAUUGGUACAUUCAACCAUUUAAUUCAUUCAAGAAUAUACUCAGGACAAAUCUUCAUUCUCAAUCUCCAUCUUAUAUCACAUGCAUAAGUUAGUAAUUAAGAUGACCAUCUAAGCACUGAAAUUUCAUAUAUAAACACAACACAAUUUAGCAUUCUGAAUAUAAGCUAUUAUGCUAUAAUUUUUCCAAGUAUAGAUUUAUACAUGAAUAUUCCUAAAACAAAAUAAUAUAAGGAGUAUGCUAUUCUAUUCAAGUUACAUGUUUACUGCAUAACAAAAUUACAUCAAAAAUCCCAGAGUUUCUAACUUAUACAAAAGGGAUAAGGAACCUAAAUUCUACUCCUGAAGUGAAUGGGAGGGACCUGCAAAACAUAAAUUGUCCAUUUCAUUAAAAAUAACUAAAAUACAAACAAAUCACGGAAGACUAUACAGCACAUCUACCUACUUAAAUCAUAUGCAAUUUCAAUACACCACCACCAACCCCUUUUGAGGAUUAUCCAAUUUAUUUCCUUUAACUACUUCUCCCCACAUUAGGAAGACUACUACCGACACUAAUGACCUCUAUUAGUGUCCUUAGUUACCCGUCAUGGGGUUAACUAAUCAGAUUCAUGAAAAUGCCGACACUAACACGACCAUUGGUGUCAUUAACUAUUUUUGGACCGAAAUAGUUAAUCAAUGUUCUAUGCUACCUUGGGAGGUCCUUGAGUAUGCCGAUGUCAAGGAUUCUUGACAUCAUUAGCUUUCACCUCGAAAAGCUAAUCAAGUCUAUAAGUUUUGCUGAUAUCGACGUCACCCGCCAAUAUUAUUAACUAUUCUGAACUCGAAUAGUUAAUCAAGUUUAUAAAUUUUGCCGAUAUCGACGUCACUCGCCAAUAUCAUUAACUAUUUUGAACCCGAAUAGUUAAUCAAGUUUCAUAUUUCUUGUCCCAUGUACCGAUAAUUCCGAUGUUACCCAGCUUGGCUAACAUCAUUAGCCUCCCAUAUCAAGGACAUGUUAAUCAAAUUCGAGAAACAUCCAUUACCAAAAUUCAUUGUUACUAUUCAUUUCCUCCAAAAGAACCCAUAAUUUAAAUUUAGUCAUUCAUUUCUAUUUUCCCAUCAUUUAACCUUUCCUUUCCCCCUUUUCUUUUCCUUAUCAAUAAGCACCAAAUUUUUAUAGUUCAAUACUUAGUUAAAAUAAUUAUUAACCAUAGGAGAUACAGGUAUCAAGUACCUAUCUGCUAUAGACGCUCGACUUGUGUUUCUCUGUUGUUGUUGUACUCCUCCUGCGGUUCUUCCUGAAACCAUAAACACCCAUCAUUAUUCCAUAUUAUUCCACAUAUCAUAACCCAACAACAACAAUGGCAAUAAUAUUCAUUUCUCUUUUAUCAAUUUUUUUUUCUCACUUACACUCCUCAUUAUUAUCCUUUAACAUUUUCAGCUCAUUAGUAGUCCAAGUGGACAUCAUGAAUUCAAUUUUGAUCAACAUUUAUUCUCUCUUUUUUUUUAAGAUCAAGACACACUUUAUGAAGGGCGAAAAAACAAAUUCUACCCUUAAUACGACUAAAUUUUGCCGUUUUAUCGACUUGGCCAAAGCAGCCACCAAGGGUGGCAGCUUGACCUCUCCGCAGAUUUUUAUUUGUAUCUGGAGUUCCAAGACUCCAAAUUAGAAGGCGUCAGACUCGUUGGAAAGCUAACACUCCCAACUAUAACUUCUGUGAUGGACCCUCCCUAGAUUCUAUCAUCUUCAGGUCCAAAUUCCCCUAGGAACUAGGGCAACGAACCUGCCCUGUUUUGUCAAUGGAGAAGGUACUAUAAUUUUUAUCUCCAAUCCUACUUCCCUAUCAAAUACAUCCAUGUUUUCACCUUAUGCAUGGUAACCUAGAGUGUAGGUUCCUCUUCCUUACAAGUUACAAUUUGUAACUACACUACAUCAACACAUCUAAUUAAUUAAUAGGGGAGUCAUACGUUCUCCUCUAUUUUUUCUUCCCCUCCAGUGGCCGGUCCUUAAAUCUGUUCCUUCUCUCUUUAUAUAUAUACACUCAAUCACUACAUAUCCUUAUUGUUCACCUCCUUAAAACUGUUUCUAUUUUGCAAUAAGGAAAACAACGCAAACAAUCAAAAUUUCCCUUCUUUCUUUAUAACCCCAUGGCCGGCCACUAUUUCCCCUUAGUCUUUGAUGUUGUCAAAAAAGACGCAUUAAAAGUCGAACGCGUUCAAAAGACCUUUAUUAAAUUUAAAUUCUUUUUUAGACGAUAUUGAAAAUGUUAAAAACAAUGCAAAUAUAUCAAGAGCAUAUAUAUUUUUUGGGUUUUUGUAGUUUUUUGCUAUUUUUGGAUUUUUUUGAAAACUUAUAAAAAAGAUGGGUCAUAAAUUGGGUAGCAGCAAUUAAUGUAUUUCAUUGGUCGUUGGUAUCAGUGGUCGGAGAGAGUAGUUGUUGUUGUUCUAGGAUUCAAGCAACAAUACACCUAAAAGGGAGGUGAAUUAAGUAUUCCACAAAUAAUAAUAAAUAUUGAAAUUAAUUCAAUUAAACACAAUAAACCAACAAUAUAAUUAAAUUGCAUAACGUAAAGAGCAAAAUUAUAAAAAUUGUAAACCCAGUCUUGUAUAUUUUGUUCUUUCACAAGUCCAAGUUGAAACCCCUCCGUAGAGAGUAGUUGUUGUUCUACUAUCACGCGUACGGGCCCCAUGUUUUAAUUCCGUCGGCAAAAUCACCCGCCAAAACCUUAGCGCCAUCUACCCGCCCUUUUUUCAUUAAUUCUGAAUUGUCUGUCGGUAAUUCGGUCGGUAAUUACUGACCGAAUUACAGACGCAAAGUUUCCGUCGGUGAGUUCGACCGAAAAAUACCGAUGGAAAAAAUUCCGUCGGUGAGUCCGUUGGUAUUUAGCGAAUUUCUGGUAGUGCCCAAACUUGGUCCCUCAGCUUCUUUCCUUUUUUUUUUUGUAAAUUUGAUUUUUCUUAUUUUUUUGAAAACAAGGAAUAUCUACGUCGACUGAACAAGGAAAAUCAAUGAUUUUAAAAAAGACGCAUUAAUAGUCGAACGCGUUCAAAAACCUUUUAUAAUUUAAAUUCUUUUUUAGACGACAUUGAAAAUGUUAAAAACAAUGCAAAUAUAUCAAGAGCAUAUAUAUUUUUGGGGUUUUGUAGUUUUUUGCUAUUUUUUAAAUUUUUUGAAAACUUAUAAAAAAGAUGGGUCAUAAAUUGGGUAGCAGCAAUUAGUGUAUUUCAUUGGUAGUUGGUAUUAGUGGUCGGAGAGAGUAGUUGUUGUUGUUCUAGGAUUCAAGCAACAAUACACCUAAAAGGGAGGUGAAUUAAGUAUUCCACUAAUAAUAAUAAAUAUUGAAAUUAAUUCAAUUAAACACAAUAAACCAACAAUAUAAUUAAAUUGCAUAAAGUAAAUAGUAAAGGGAUAGAAAUUGUAAACCCAGUCUUGUAUAUUUUGUUCUUUCACAAGUCCAAGUUGAAGAUUACAAUUAUAACUUGAUGAAUUCACACCAAGAUAUUACACCACUUGAAGAUAUUGUCUUUUUUGACAGUUUGAACCUGCUGAAUCUUCAAUCAAUACUAAUCCUAUAUAUAUAUAUAUAUAUAUAUAUAUAUAUGCAUAUAUGCAUAGUGAAGUGUUUAAGUUCAUUUUAAUUGUGCUAUUAAGCUAAAAUAUAAAUAUUUACAUAAUUACCAAAAUGAGCAAUUAAUUCUUAGAUUCUCAUAUGAUCUUCAUUUGCUUUGGUGGCUAGGUUAGAAGAAGAAAACUAUUUUUUUUUCUACACUAUUAUUUCAUUUUAUUUUCUUUCUCUAUCUUAAGUUUUUCUUCAAAGGGUUGCUAGGGUUUCUUACCCACCUUUUGUUUUCCCUCUAAUUUUUCUAUGGAGGCUAGAGGUUUUUUUUUACACCUCCCCCCUUUUCUUACCUUGCCUUUCUAUUUAUAGCCAAUGGGGUAGGUUCUAGAAUCUGUAUAGAAUAUUUAAAACAAUACAGCCUCUGUCAUCAGCGCUGUCUCUUUUCGUCACCGUCGAGUUACUACUAUCUUGCCCCACGUUGACUCAAGGAACCAUAGCCGCUACUUCCACAGUACCAUUAACCUGAGGUGUUCAUUACCGGAAUCAUAACCCAAGGCAGGCCAGGCCCACUCACAUCGUCCAUGUGCAUCUUCAGCGUGCUCGUUAAAAGAGUGAAGAUGAGGUACGGGAUAUCCAGUGGAGCUGUCUCGAGCCAUCAUAAUCACUCAAGGUAUAAAGCUUCUACCUAUUAUCAUUUAGUUGUAAUCUUUUACAUGUGCAUGCUACUGCAAAGGCAAGCUCCCGUUUUUCCUUUAUGCGCUGUGAAGUUAACAUAUAGUGUUGUAAGGUGUGUGGAUCUUUAAGUCCUAACCUGGUCACGGGUGUUCUUUCACUUGCUACGGAUACUGAAGGGGAUGGGUGUGAUUUUUGCUUCAAACGCAUAUGAUCUUGAAAACUUGAUUGCAUGUCCUAAGGUCAUGUUAAGACCUUGCCUAGUUAAUUAAGAAUGCUCUUACCCAAGGUUAAAGUUCAAGAACGGUAUGAGAAGGUGGAAAAAGAUGUUGAUAACUAUUGGGGUCAUAGGACAGUCAGGGAGUUUUUCCAUACCAUGCUUGGGCUUUGGAUGUAUGUUUCCUUGACAUGACAUGGGUAUGCACGGUUUGAUGUAAUUUAAGCUUUUGAAAGUUCUCUUGACAUGAGAUACUUAUUUUAUCAUGUUAAAGAAAACUAAUGGGAUAGACUUGCUUUAACCAAUAAACAUGCCAAUUAUUAGAAAAGCAAAACAAUACUUUAGUUAUAAGCAAACAAAGAAACAAUACAACUUAUAUUAUGUAUAAUGUACUAGGGAUGAUAAUAUUCACUCUAUAUAAAAUUAAUUUUUUUAUCCAAACUCUAAAAACUAUAUAAGGUUUCAGUAUUCAAAAUAUAAAAUGGUGACUUCAAAUAUUUUUUGUUAAUAUAGGACAAUAAAUCCAUGUUCUUUCGCACUACACGAAAGUCUUGAUUUAAAAAGAUGAUCACAAUGAUCCUACAACCGUGCUACAUUCAACAUGGUACUUUCCAUGAGUCAUCUGAACCCUUCACUUGUAAACUAGGAUCACAAACAGCAUUCACGUUAGCUGCACAGCUUGUAGAAGGGCAGCCAGUAGAACCUCCUUGCGGGGUUAUCGAAAUCAAGUAAACAGCCAAACAGUGGAACACGUGAAAAUCAAGAAGAGAGAAAAGAAAAAGAAAAGUCUGUCCCUGCCAAACCAAACAAUCAUCUGCCAGCCACACGUACUAUCUCAUUAAAUUAAAGCAGGUGUGUAGGGUGAAGUUUGAAAUAUAAUUUAUAUUAUUUUUAAAUAAUUUUUUAAAUAAAAAUUAUUUGAAUUAAAAAUUUAUACGGUUAAUAUUACAUGGUUAUUAAAGUUUUAAUAUCAUGUUAAAGAAUCAAUUUAACCCAAAAGUUUAAUCUAUUAAAUUAAGUCUAGAUAUAAUUUAUAUUAUUUUCUAACAAAAAUAAAUCACGACAAAAAAAAUACCCAAUGAAAUAUACAAAUACCCUUGUUUUGAACCAUAAGUGACUAUCUAGAUAUCUCAAUUAAUGAGAAAGCCGACUAGUAAACAGACAAUUAGAGGAACGCCCUGCUUCACUCUAAUGAAAGCAAUUGGAUGCAGGAAUAGGGCCAAUUCUCAACUAAUCUAGACUUGAGCUUGAUUAAGAAGCACAAUUCUCAACUAAUCUAAUGUUCAAUAAUGAAAACAGGAAAAAAAUCAAUUUAAAAAAAUUGUAAAAGUGAAAAAAUAUAGAAAUCAAAAGAAUAAUGAUUAAAUCUGAUAGAAAAAAAAAACUUAUGAAGGAUGAUAUUGUAAAAAAAAUCAAAUAAAAAAAUUAUCUCCAACAAAAAAAUAACAAUCAAAAUAAUAGGGACAAAAUUUAAAAGAUAAAAAAACUGAAAGGGGAUUAAAUUGUCAAAUAAUUCCAAUUUAAUAAAUUAUUCCAAACAAAAUAAACAAUGAUAAAAAAAAAAAAAACAUCACCAAAUCUAUAGGAAUAACAAAUUGAAGGCGUGCUUUGAAAUUUUGAAGGGGCACACAUGAAAAUCAAUGGGAGAGGAAAGAAGAAGAGAAAGAAACGAUUGUCUGCACAAAACCAAACAACCAGUUCACUUGGUCUUACCAAAUGGUCGAGCGGAUCAACUUAAAUACUAGAUUUUGAUAAUUUGAACCUGUCGAAUCCAGAACCGAUACUAAUCAUAUAUACCUGUAGAGUUAAGUGUUUGAGUUCAUUUUAAUUGCGCCGUUAAUCUAAGAUGUAAAGAUUUACAUAAUCACUGAAAUGAAUAAUUAAUUCUUAGUCUUCACUCGUUUUGCAUCUUGGACAUCUUCAUUGAUUUUUUCAUGACAUCCUUCAUUCUUGUUGAUGUCAAAACUUAUUUUUGGGCUAUUCCCUAAAAUGUUUUACCUUAUUCCUUUUCAAAAUAAAAAUAAAAUAAUAAAAAAUAAUAGCAAGGAGACUAGCGACGUAGAAAAAGCUAGUUGAGGAAGGAUUUUGAAUAUAGAAAAAUUAAAGGUUUUUGGUCAAUUAAAGAUUGCAUUAAUGAAAUUUUCAACCAAGGACCAUUUUAAAAAAAGGCAAUUAGGGACUUGGUUGAAGAAAUCCAAAACCAAGGACCAAACUGGAAAAGGUGCAUAAAUAUGGGGGUUGAAAUUGACUGAGUCAGGGAUCAAAUUGAAGAAAUUAAAAGUUUGUUGAUCAAUCAAAGGGUCAUAAUGCAUAAAUUCAAAACCAAGAAUCAAAGUGAAAAGGCAACCAACUUCAUGGAUGGCAUUUGAAUUUGACCAAGAUGCGAUUGAAUUAAUUUUUAAAAUUAAAAUUUGAAUUGAGCACUUUGUGGUUGCCCAAUCUUGGAUCCAUAUUUUUGAUAAAAUGUUGAAAAAAGUAAAAAAAAGUAACGAAAACAACAAAAAUCCAAAAAAACUAUAUUUUUAAUAUAUUUGCAUCGCUUUUAGCAUUUUUCAGCCUCGUCUCAACAUAAUUUAAAUUUUUUAUGGUCUUUCGAACACGUUUGAGUUUUCACGAAUCAUUUUUAAAAUAAUUGAUGAGCUCCUGCAUGCGUGCAAGCUGCGCAAGAUUUAUUUUUGUUCAUAUCAAUAAUUAAAUCUUGGUCGAUUCAAAUAAAAACACAAACAAGUUUUAAAUACAUCAAACUCUUGUUUCAUGCUAAUUUAUGUGAAUCUAUUUUAUUUUUUUUCAUAUAAAAAGAAUAGGACUUGAAUCUAAAAAGAAUAAAAAGAUAUCAAUAAUUAAAUUAAUAUUGGUCGAUUCAAAGAAAAUAUAUAUGCAAGCUGCGCAAUAUUUAUUUGCAAAUAGAAAAUAUAUAUGUAAGAGCAAGCAGAAUAAUCAAAGUGAAUAAUAGAGUUUUCCAUGCUAGAUUCUAAAAUAUGUAAUAUUGUAAAACUACUUGCCAUAGAGGAAGAUGACGAGGGUGAAGGUAAUUAUUGCAAUGGGCAUAGAGGAAAGCAAGAAACACUCUAUAUUUUAAAAAGAUUGUGUUUGCCACUUAAUAAAUAGUGUUAAAUUUGCAGACAAGUAAACAGUCAAACAGUGGAACACGUGAAAAUCAAAAAGAGACAAAAGAAAAAGAAAAGUCUGUCCCUCCCAAAUCAAAAUAAUAAGGACAAAAUUUAAAACAUAAAAAUACUGAAAGGGGAUUAAAUUGUCAAAUAAUUCUAAUUUAAUAAAUUAUUUCAAACAAAACAAAUAAUGAUAAAAAAAAUCAUAUGCCAGCCACACGUACUAUCUCAUUAAAUUAAAGUUGUUAGGUGUGUGGGGUGAAGUUUGAAAUAUGAUUUAUAUUAUUUUUUAAUAAUUUUUUAAAUAAAAAUUAUUUGAAUUAAAAAUUUGUACGGUUAAUAUUAUUUGGUUAUUAAAGUUCUAAUAUAAUGUUAAAGAACCAAUUCAACUCAAAAAUUUAAUCUAAUAAGUUAGAUCUAGAUAUAAUUUAUAUUAUUUUCUAACAGAAAUAAACCACUACAAAACAAAUACCCAAUGAAAUAUACAAAUGCCCUUGGUUUGAACCAUAAGUGACUAACUAGAUAUCUCAAUUAAUGAGAAAGCAGACUAGUAAACAGCCAAUUAGAGGAACGCCCUGCUUCACUCUAAUGAAAGCAAUUGGAUGCAGGAAUAGGGCCAUACUCACAAUAAAAUUGAUUUACAUCCGACAUACGGACAUAGUACUUUGUAAGUGUAAAAGCUAUGUUUCUGUGUCUAUAAAUAUCGGUAGAUCUUUUUAAGAAAAUAUCUUAUUGAUAAAUAUCAAAAUAUUUAAUAUCAUAAUACAUAAUAUAUAUUUAAUUGUGUUUAAUAAUUUUUUUAUUUCAAUAAAUUUAUAUUUAACCAAAAGAUUAUCCGUGCCAAUAAAAGGAUGUCUACCGGAUAUAAUUUAUUUUUAUUUUGUAUUUUAAAAUAUUAUGAAAUGAGCACCACUUGUUUAUAAUUAAUUAAAUUAAAUUAAAUGAAAAAAAUGUCUAUAAAAAAAGAAAUAAAAAAACCAAAUAAAUAUACUCCAGAUAUCCCGAGUCAUUUUCAAAAUUAGUGAAAAAUCCUAUAGGAAUAAAAAUAAUAAUCUAUGGAGCCUAAUAUCCAAUUAAAUAAAUGUUAAAGGAUGAAACUGAAAUAAACAUGAGCUUAAAAAAAGGGAAAAAACCAAGCAAACUCUGUGUCGCACCCCGAAAAAAUCCGGCGCGCGGCAUCGACUGGCGAUUUUUCUCGUUAUUUGCGUUUGCUUUGAAUUUGAUUCGUGGGAGUCGCCACCUAGUAAUUUAUUGAGGGCUACUAGGAAACCUGAUGUACUGGUCUUAUCAGAGAUCGCGGGUAAGGGACUGGUUGUGGUUAGGGAAGGUAUUAGCACCCCUAACACACCCUACCUUAGGUAAGCUGCUUCGUGUUCUGAUGUGAUUUGAAAAUUUAAAAUAUUAAUCAAAUUCUAAGGCUUGAAUAAAUCAGUUAUUUAAAUCCCUGAAUAUAUGUAGAAAUUUGUUCUCAUAUUUUCAUGGAAAAUACAACUUGAUUUUUUUUGUCCUUGAGAUAUUUAACCAUAUUUAAAUUAACAAUUAAAUCUUUUGUCUUUUUUUUUUAUUUUUAUAAUUCAAUAACAUAAAUAAAAAAUACAAACACACAAAACUUUCUUUUUAUCAUUUAUUUUUCUUUUCUUUUCUUUCUUUUCUUUUCUUCUUUUACAUCUCAAUAUAAAUACAAAAACAAAAUCAAAUAUAAAUACAAAUUCAAAAAUCAAAACAAAUAAAUAAAAAUUACAUUAAUUAAUUCAAAAUUUACACAAUAGUCCCUAAAACUCCAAAAAUUGCAGGGAAGGACUUCUUCUUCUCCUCCGUUUCAGGUGGCUAGCAGUGAAGAGGAACGACCGAGAAGGGAGCGUCGCUGCUGGGGCUGUUCGGUGUUGGAGGGGGCGUCGCUGCUGGGGCUGUUCGGUGUUGGAGGGGGCGCCGCUGCUGGGGCUGUGGGUUGCUGCUGAGUUGAUCAAAGAAGAAGAUGCUGCCGAGAGAGGUGCUUCAGUGUUGAUGGGUCCCGGCGGGAUGGAGACGAAGGGGCUGUCUUGGGUUUUUUAUGGCUGAAGAGGGUGAGGGAAAAAGUGGCCGAGAGGGAGAGAGGGGGGUUGUGAGCGGGGGCUGUUCGGUUGGAGGAGAAGGGAGGCCACUGUGGUUGCUUUGAAAAUGAGCAAAAAUAGGGAAAAAUGGUGAUGGCUUCGGGGCGUGAGCAGGGGAGAUGAAGGAAGGAACUGGUGAGGUCGUGGCUGAAGAAGGUGAGGGGUUGUUUGGCUGGUUUCGAAAGAAGAAAAAAAAAUGUCAAGGGUGGGGGGCGGCUGCCUCGAGAAAAAUGAGAGAAGAUAGGUGUCGACUCUGUGUUGGGGAAGAAGGAAAAAGCAAAUGGUGAUCAAGGGGAGUCCUCCAAACCGGCUGCUGAGGGGGUCAGAUGGGGGAGAAGAAAAAAAAAUAAAAAUCCAAAGGGAGCUUGGGGGGCUGGCCAGCGGCUGCCUUUCGGUGAGGGAGAGAAAAAAACUAAAAUUAGGGUUUCAGCUGCCUCUCCCUCAAAUUUCAAAAUUGCCCCCCCCCCCUUUGUGUGAGUUAAAGACCAGUAUUUAUAGGCAAAAAUGUUGCUAAGUUUUUCAACUUGGUCCCUCAACUUCUUUCUUUUUUGUAAAUUUUGAUUUUUUCUUAUUUUUUUGUAUUUUUUGAAAACGAGCAAUAUCAACGUCGACUCAACGAGGAAAAUCAAUGAUUUAAAAAUGACGCGUGAAAAGUUGAACGCGUUUGAAAUUUUUUUAAAAAAUUAAAUCCUUUUUUUUUUUAGACGACGUUGAAAAAUGCUAAAAUGACGAAAAUAUAUUAAAAAAACAUAUUUUUUGGAUUUUCAUUGUUUUUCUCUAUUUUUGGAUUUUUUUAAAAUAUAUCAAAAACAUGGGUCAAAAAUUGGGUAGCAACAGAUGCCCCCUCUUUACAAUGCUUACGAAGCGAAAAUCCUCAAAAUUUUGCAUAGUAAGCUUUGUAAAGAAAACAAAAGGAAAAUGAUUUCAUUAUCUUGGGCAACCUGCCUACACAUACUCACUCAAGUCUAUUUUCACGGGCGACCGACCCACACUCUCCCAAUAGUCUAUUUUCACGGGCGACCUGCCCACACAUUGGGUUUACCUGAGAUCCCAUCUGGCGACCUUAUUCAACUGGAACGAAAAUAUUGUGUAACUCGGUUAACCUGAAAUCCCAUCUGGCGAUUCCCUUUAACCAAAGCUAUAUGAGAUCCCAUCUGGCAACCUCAUUCAAUUGGAACGAAAUAUGUGUAACUCGGUUAACCUGAAAUCCCAUCUAGCGAUUCCCUUUAACCAAAGCUACCCGAGAUCCCAUCUGGCGACCUCAUUUAACCAAAACAAAAGAAUGUGUGAAAAAUGGUCUCAUUGUAUGGGUGACGAACCCAAGAAAAAUGAUGGUCUCAUUGUAUGGGUGACGAACCCAAGAAAAAUGAUGGUCUCAUUGUAUGGGUGACGAACCCAAGAAAAAUAACGGUCUCAUUGUAUGGGUGACCUACCCAAGAAAAAUGAUGGUCUCAUUGUAUGGGUGACGAACCCAAGAAAAAUAAUUGUCUCAUUGUAUGGGUGACCUACCCAAGAAAAAUAAUGGUCUCAUUGUAUGGGUGACCUACCCAAAUAGAAAGAAUGUGAAGUGCGGUCUCAUUGUAAUGGGUGACCUACCCAAAAAUGGAAAAAAUAUGAAAUGUGGUCUCAUUGUAAUGGGUGACCUACCCAGAUGGAAAAAAUAUGAUGAAGUGGUCUUGUUGUGAUGGGCGACCUACCCAGAUGGAAAAAAUGUGAUAUGACAAGUGUGAAAAAUAGGACUUACCUGGUGAAGUCCUGAGGGGAUGAGAAAAGGGCUGGAAAACUUGGUGCUUCCUGAUAAUUCCCGAUCAUAGGUUUGAAAACUCGGUGUUUCCUGACUGCAAGGGUUGAAAACUCGAGGCUUCCCGAUUGCAAGGUUGAUCUUUUCAUUUCUUUGGGAUUUUCCUAAUGGUAAGGUUCAUCCAUCGUCCUUUUAUUCCAUGAUCAAAACCGAUUCUUUAUUAUCAUCACCACAAUGCUUCUUUCUCUUUCCACCAUCUUGCUGGACCUCAUUAAGGAUUUUCCUGUAACAAUUCAAAAAUAUGUGCAAAUGGUUUUUUUUUUUUUUUUUUUUUUAGGUUAGAUGAUAUGCAUGCAUCCUUACCUGAUUCGAAAUAUAGGUCCCCCCCUCCUUGAUGCUCCAUCGUCAUAGGGUUUCCUUGUUUGCAUCCCAAAGCUUUCUUUGUUCUUUCGAUGCAUUGGCUCAUUCAUGUGCUAGCCAUCCACUCAGCUGUAAAUGCAGUGCCCAUCCCGGGCUGUCUUCGACAAUUACUGCUUGCAUCGUUCAUCAAGCUUGACCCUGCCCCCAAGUGUGGUACUGCUUGAUUCAUCAUGAAGGAUUUUCUCUCUUGGACUCUUCUGAUAAUUAUCCUUUGAUUGAUUGUGUACAUCAUGUCAACACCCCAUCAAGAUUGUUAAUCAGUCAUGAACUUGCCUUCGGUUGAAACACCAUUCAAGUAUGUAUGGUCACCAGCCUUCAUGGAACUGCCAAGUCAUCCAGACAUGGAUCUCAUGCUUUGCAGUAAACAGCUCAUCAUUGUAAGCGCGAUGUAUUUCUCUAUGGAUUCCUCUUAGCUUGUCAAAUUAGAUCGUGAAAAUAACUGCUUUGGCAUCAUCAAUGAUGUUCAUGUUAUCACCCAUAUUCAUGCGGUGAAGUGCGCAUUUGAGCUUCAGAAUAGAUGGUCCCAUAGUCAAUCUUGGUGGUAUGAUGUUCAUUCAAAUGCACUCACCCGAUAACAUCUGUCAGGAGUCAUAGCCAUGUUUUACAGGGUAACCCAAAAUGAAGAUAUGAAAAUAUCUUUCUAAUGCAGCGUUGCUCAUCAAUUGCUGCUGAAAUGCACGAGAUCAUGGAUUGUCUUUGAACAACAUUGGCCCCAGCAAUGAUAUGAAUGCUCGUUCAUCAGUUUAUACUCAAGAAGGUUUUUUCCUUUGUCAUUGUCCGGUACUAAACAUAACUCUGAUGAACUUUGAUGACUCAUCAUCUGAUUCUUUCUUUGCCCCCAGCUGAUUUGAAGGUGGUUUGUUUUUCUUCUAAGGGUCAUGCUGUAUUGCCCCUAGGUGGUCAACAUUUCAAGGAGUGUCGGGAAAAUGAUGUCAUUUUUGUCAAGAAAUUCGCAAACUCAAUUGAUGUUCUUGUUUGAAAAUCUUUCUUGUUCUGGAAUCAAAUCUCAACAUUUCAACGAUCAUGUCUAUUCAAGUAUAAUUGUUGAAAUGAAAUCAGAGAGAUAUCAGCUUUUAAAAAGUUAUUUUUGAAAUUCGAGCUCCUUUGGUCAAAGAUCCAACACACUAUUCAAUGCAGUCCUUUGAUUGUCUUGUAUUUUGAAAACAGAAAUGACCCGUUGUAAGAUUUAAAAUGACUUUUUCAUGGUUCUUUGUGUCCACUUUAAACUCUGAUUUUGGGUUUAUCCUUUUUUGAUGGUCUGCGAUGAGGUGACCUUUUGUGAAUUUGAAGGAAAACAACAAGCUCAGUCCUAGGAUUAUCAAGAAAGGUUUUGUUCUUUUUUAGCAUAUUUUAUCAGCAUGCAUAAUGACCACUAGCUUAAUUCAUGAAGCCACGACUCUUAUGGAAAAACUCUUCAAGUUUUGAGAUCGCCAUUUAUUGGUUCAGAUUGCUUGCUUGAUUAAAAAGGGCUUUUUAAAAAAAGCACGUAAUGCAGGCUAUGGUUCAUGGCUAUGAAAGAAAAGAAUUUCAAAGGCUCAAAAGGUGUUUGAGGGUUUCAAAGACCUAGGAUCAACAUCAAUUAUUCAUCGAUUCUCUUUCUCUUGUCGUCAUUGUAGAGAAAAUGACAUAUAACCUUGUUAAUCUCAAAUAUCAGAAUUCUCUUAACAUAGGUCAUGAUGCAAAUCCAACUUUUCUUUGAUGAAUAACCAAUCUAAAAUAAUUUGAAGACAUUAGAGGCUUUAUCCUAGACACACCAAAAGAUAUGAAGCAUCGAUUUUUCUAGUGUUGACUUUUGGCAUUUAUUGUCUUUUCUCAAUUGAAAACUGUCUUGCUUCUCUUAAAAUUGAUAGGCAUUUUCUUUCUUUCCUUUUUUUUUUUUUUUGCAUAGCCUUCCUCAAAGUUUUUCUUGGAUGACCCUCAAUCUAUGGAUUUUCUUCUUCUAGCCCUUUCUCAAACAUUGGACUUUUGUUCUAAGCUCUUCUUUGAUCCAUUGAUCUUAUCCGUGUCUCCAAAAUAUUUCUCAUUUGCCCCCAGUGUGGGGUGUGAUCCUAGUCAGGGUUUCUUUUUGAAAGAAAAUAUUUUACCAGGCUCAAAAUGGGACUGCAAAGGAUAUAAUUUUUAGAAAGUGAAGGGAUAUCAAAGAUGGCCUUUUCUCAUUUCAAGCAAGGUCGGUUAGAACCGAUAAAUUUUGACCCAUCUAGUGUAAUGAUUGGGACUUGUAAGAGUCAUGAUUCACGAGUCCAUAACUACCGAAACCACUACAUGUCAUUAUGCAUACUGCUAAAACUUAGCUAUGAUGUGUGGUUCAAUUAUUUGUGAGCUCAAAAUUUGUUUGGUCACCUCAUGUCAUUUCAACAAGAAACGAGUCAUUUCUGCAAUCAAAACACUUUUAAUCUUCAGGAUUGAUUAACCUUUAUCGCAUGUUGGAGUUUGAUCAAAAUAUUUUAUCAGAGAAAAUGUUAAACAUCUGUUGAUUUCAAAACAACAAAAAGACAAAAGCAAGGCAUGUUUCGUUGAAGGAUGAGAUGUGAUCCCAAAACAAAAUGCAGAAUUCCAAAACAAUAUGAUUGACUGUUCAUCACCAUUCUUGAAUCAGCUUUUCUGGCAAUAUUUGCGUUUUGCCAAGCACUUUCGAUCAACAUGUCAUUCUGAAGAUGUUCGGGGGACAAUAUAGCCAAUGACACCCUCCUUCACCGACUCCACUUGUCUCUUGCUCACCAACUUUCAGACUCAAUUCUUGCAAUUCUUGAAACUGUUCACUUGAAAUGAUUGAGGACCCCACCAUGACAUCACAUCUCUUAUCUGGAUUAUACCACCUAGAAAUUGGUGGUUGCAUGGGAUUUGUCGGAGUCAAGCAAAAUUCUGGAAUCUGGCAGAUGCUGGUCGACAAACUUAAGUGGUAGAGGAAUGUCAAUCUUGGCAAAGAUAUUUGAGCAAUUGAUGCUACUGUGAGACCUGGCUAGACCACAUAAUUAAGGGUUCACACCGUCAAAGUCAUCUCCUGAUUCACCUCUCAUCAUUGUUAUGGAAUCCAUGGCAGAUCCUUCAAUCUUUCCUCUCUUCAUAGUUUGUUCAAUUCUUCGGCAAAUCUCACAACAUCAUUUCAAUCUUCCAAUGUUGUUGUGGUUGGUUGAGGAUUGUUUAGAAAACUUUCCAACAGCUAGGUAAUCUUGGUAGCGCACCCACCACCGCUAUCAACACGUGGAAUCAUACCUUAUCUCUUCUAUGGGAGAAAAUGAUGAACAUGAAUCUCCUAUAUUUCUUUUGAUUCCUCUCAAACGGUGCAGCAAACAAGCACCAAUAGAGGGAGUUCUGCUCUAUUGAAGUUUCAAUAUUCUUCAUGUUUUUCAGUCUAUGCAUGUCUCUUCUCCCUACUCUUACUGACACUGUUGGAGGAAAAUCAUAGAUGAUCUGAAACUACUGUAUUCCUUCUUGGAUUUCCCAUUUGCAGAUCCACAAACAGAUUCCUGCCGAGAGAGCUCUGCUACGUUGAAGUUUGAUGUCAGCUCAUAUUUUUCAGACAGGUCUGGCUCUUCAACCUACUAAGAUGUCUUCGUGCUGAAACUGAUGAGAGAAAUAUUUGUAGCAUAUGCAACUUAUAAAUCCCCUCUUGCAUUCCCAAUUUGCAGAGCCAUAAUGGAUUUUUGUAGAGAGAGCUCUGCCACAUUGAAGUUUGACGACUGCUAAUAUUUUCAGACCAAGUCUGACUCUUCUGCCUACUACAAUGUUUUGCUGGUGCCACUGGUGGGAAAAAGUUUCAAAGCAUAUGAAAUUAAUACAUCCCCUUUUGCAUUUCCCAUUGGUAGAUCCACAAAUAAAUCUCUACAGAGAGAGCUCUACCCCGUAGAAGUUCAGUUUUAAUCAUGGUUUUUCAAACCAUCUUGUGCUGGAAUUGAGCUCAUAAUUAAGGUAACUUCAAAGCAGACUAAUGCACCAUGUACAAGAGGCUAGUAGUCAUUUGGUUCCAUUAGAUGAUGUGGAGGUGAUGAACACUUAACAGUGCAACUGAACAAGAAUCAGAGUUGUCAUUAGUUGAUGACUGAAGGCGUUGUUGCUGUUGUUCAUGACUGAAAAGGAGAGGCAGCUUCAAUUGGACGUGGACAAGCAGUGUUCCCACAGAAGACCGUGCAGACAUUCUCUUUCCAUUUGACGCUCAACACUUGUUCGAGCAGAUCUGAGUCUAGCUACUUCACACUUGAUGCUCUCAAACUCAAUCUGAUAAUGAGCCUCUAUCUAACAUCUUUCUUCACUUCCAUCCUUUCUUCAAUCACUUGCAGCACAACUUGUGUGGGGGAACCUACUUUUCAACCCGGUACAUGCAUGAUAAAUGUAUGAAUAUGUAAUCUAUAUGACGAACUCACCCUUCGAGAGGUGACAAUAUAGUCGUAACUCUUGUAUGACGGACAAGAAUCGUGAUUUUUGCCCAAACUCUACAAUGAAAAUUUUCGGAGCAACGGCCAAUGUGUCACCCACAAGUCUUGAGUUCAAGAUGCUUCAAGAAGGGUUUGCCCUGAUGCAAAUAACGAUAACACAUACAACCUAAGGACAGGUUCUAUUCAUUUUACGUGAGACAAAUGGUAGGUUUGCUACUUGGUCUCUAAAAGGGUCUCUUGUUGUCCCAGUGAUCGCCUUCGUAAAGGCAAUAUAGGGGCCCAGUAGGUAAUUGGUUGGCACAUGUCCAACUAUUACCAGUCUAAGCACUCAACAAAGAGUUGGGGUUUACACAAACUUAAACCUUGACUCAAGUCGUAAGGUAAGCUGCUAGUCCCCCACCUAACCUAAAGCUGGUGUGUGCUUUCAAAAAUUAAAACUUGUGAUACAUGAGAGAAAUAUAUAUAAUGCAUGAAUAAAACACAAAUAAAUAAAACCAAGCACAAAAACAAAAAAAUAAAAAUAAAAAAUUGAACACAUCAAAACACAAAGCUUAGUCCGAUAAAGUUGAAAACAAUACCUGUCCCCAGUGGAGUCGCCAUUCUGUCGCACCCCGAAAAAAUCUGGCGCGCGGCAUCGGCUGGCGAUUUUUCUCGUUAUUUGCGUUUGCUUUGAAUUUGAUUCAUGGGAGUCGCCACCUAGUAAUUUAUUGAGGGCUACUAGGAAACCUGAUGUACUGGUCUUAUCAGAGAUCGCGGGUAAGGGACUGGUUGUGGUUAGGAAAGGUAUUAGCACCCCUAACACACCUUAGGUAAGCUGCUUCGUGUUCUGAUGUGAUUUGAAAAUUUAAAAUAUUAAUCAAAUUCUAAGGCUUGAAUAAAUUAGUUAUUUAAAUCCCUGAAUAUAUGUAGAAACUUGUUCUCAUAUUUUCAUGGAAAAUACAACUUGAUUUUAUUUGUCCUUGAGAUAUUUAACCAUAUUUAAAUUAACAAUUAAAUCUUUUGUCUUUUUUAUUUUAUUUUUAUAAUUCAAUAACAUAAAUAAAAAAUACAAACACACAAAACUUUCUUUUUAUCAUUUAUUUUUCUUUUCUUUUUUUCUUUUACAUCUCAAUACAAAUACAAAAACAAAAUCAAAUAUAAAUACAAAUUCAAAAAUCAAAACAAAUAAAUAAAAAUUACAUUAAUUAAUUCAAAAUUUACACAAUAGUCCCUAAAACUCCAAAAAUUGCAGGGAAGGACUUCUGGGGGCUGCGUGAACAGUGCCGGCGCGUGGAUCCACGCGUCACCGCCACUGGCGGCGCGUGGCUCCACGCGCCACCGCUGAGAAAUUCAGCAACCGGUGGAUCCGGCUUGUCUAUGUUUCCUCUUCUUUUCCUCGCCGGCGGUGAAGGUCACCGCCACCGGCAACAACAAGAAAAACACCUAAAGAGCAGUCGGUUUUAGUUUUUUUCUUCCUUGUUGUCGGAUCUGGUCUCGGGUUCUUUUGGAUCUGCUUCGCUGCAAAUCGGUCACCUUCUUCUUGUCCUCCGUUUCAGGUGGCUAGCAGUGAAGAGGAACGACCGAGAAGGGGGCGUCGCUGCUGGGGCUGUUCGGUGUUGGAGGGGGCGUCGCUGCUGGGGCUGUUCGGUGUUGGAGGGGGCGCCGCUGCUGGGGCUGUGGGUCGUGCUGAGUUGAUCAAAGAAGAAGAUGCUGCCGAGAGAGGUGCUUCAGUGUUGAUGGGUCCGGGAUGGAGACGAAGGGGCUGUCUUGGGUUUUUUAUGGCUGAAGAGGGUGAGGGAAAAAGUGGCCGAGAGGGAGAGAGGGGUGAGCGGGGGCUGUUCGGUUGGAGGAGAAGGGAGGCCACUGUGGUUGCUUUGAAAAUGAGCAAAAAUAGGGAAAAAUGGUGAUGGCUUCGGGGCGUGAGCAGGGGAGAUGAAGGAAGGAACUGGUGAGGUCGUGGCUGAAGAAGGUGAGGGGUUGUUUGGCUGGUUUCGAAAGAAGAAAAAAAAAUGUCAAGGGUGGGGGGCGGCUGCCUCGAGAAAAAUGAGAGAAGAUAGGUGUCGGCUCUGUGUUGGGGAAGAAGGAAAAAGCAAAUGGUGAUCAAGGGGAGUCCUCCAAACCGGCUGCUGAGGGGGUCAGUUGGGGGAGAAGAAAAAAAAUAAAAAUCCAAAGGGAGCUUGGGGGGCUGGCCAGCGGCUGCCUUUCGGUGAGGGAGAGAAAAAAACUAAAAUUAGGGUUUAUAGGCAAAAUUUCAAAAUGACAGCUGCCUCUCCCUCAAAUUUCAAAAUUGCCCCCCCAUUUGUGUGAGUUAAAGACCAGUAUUUAUAGGCAAAACUGUUGCUAAGUUUUUCAACUUGGUCCCUCAACUUCUUUCUUUUUUGUAAAUUUUGAUUUUUUCUUAUUUUUUUGUAUUUUUUGAAAACGAGCAGUAUCAACGUCGACUCAACGAGGAAAAUCAAUGAUUUAAAAAUGAAGCGUGAAAAGUUGAACGCGUUUGAAAUUUUUUAAACAUUUAAUUUUUUUUUUUUUAGACGACGUUGAAAAAUGCUAAAAUGAUGAAAAUAUAUUAAAAAAACAUAUUUUUUGGAUUUUCAUUGUUUUUCUCUAUUUUUGGAUUUUUUGAAAAUAUAUCAAAAACAUGGGUCAAGAAUUGGGUAGCAACACUCUGGAAAACCUCCCAAACCUGAGUUAGUCUCUAAAACUUACAACUCAUAAAAUCCUAGACUUGAGCUUCAUUAAGAAGCACAAUUCUCAAUUAAUCUAAUGUUGAAUAAUGAAAACAGGAAAAAAAUCAAUUUAAAAAAAUUGUAAAAGUGAAAAAAAAUAGAAAUCAAAAGAAUAAGGAUUAAAUCUGAUAGAAAAAAAAAACUUAUGAAGGAUGAUAUUGUAAAUAAAAUCAAAUAAAAAAAUUAUCUCAAACAAAAAAAUAGCAAUCAAAAUAAUAGGGACAAAAUUUGAAAGAUAAAAAAACUGAAAGGGGAUUAAAUUGUCAAAUUAUUCCAAUUUAAUAAAUUAUUCCAAACAAAACAAACAAUGAUAAAAGAAAACAUCACCAAAUCCAAAGGAAUAACAAAUUGAAGGCGUGCUUUGAAAUUUUGAAGGGACACACAUGAAAAUCAAUGGGAGAGGAAAGAAGAAGAGAAAGAAACGAUUGUCUGCACAAAACCAAACAACCAGUUCACUUGGUCUUACCAAAUGGUCGAUUGGAUCAACUUAAAUACUAGAUUUUGAUAAUUUGAACCUAUCGAAUCCAGAACUGAUACUAAUCAUAUAUACAUGUAGAGUGUCGUAUAAGCCUCGCACGACGUCGACUUGAGUGUGCUGGUCUUUGUCAGAGAUUCACGGGUAAGGGACUAGUUGUGGCUAAGAAAGAUAUUAGCACCCCUAGUGCUCCGUAUCUGAGGUAAAAUACUUCGUGGUUUUGUAACAACCUCAAAAAAAUUCAAUCAAUAUAUUCGUUUAACUCCCACAUAAAGGGUAAAUGGAGCAAUUGUUUUUUGUUAAGUUCACCAAGUUGGGACAUCUAUAAUUGGGAGAUCCCAAGUUUUCGACAAAUUACCCUACACACAAUUAUAAUCACAUCCCACCGAUAAUGACAUCUAUAAUUGGUACAUUCAACCAUUUAAUUCAUUCAAGAAUAUACUCAGGACAAAUCUUCAUUCUCAAUCUCCAUCUUAUAUCACAUGCAUAAGUUAGUAAUUAAGAUGACCAUCUAAGCACUGAAAUUUCAUAUAUAAACACAACACAAUUUAGCAUUCUGAAUAUAAGCUAUUAUGCUAUAAUUUUUCCAAGUAUAGAUUUAUACAUGAAUAUUCCUAAAACAAAAUAAUAUAAGGAGUAUGCUAUUCUAUUCAAGUUACAUGUUUACUGCAUAACAAAAUUACAUGAAAAAUCCCAGAGUUUCUAACUUAUACAAAAGGGAUAAGGAACCUAAAUUCUACUCUUGAAGUGAAUGGGAGGGACCUGCAAAACAUAAAUUGUCCAUUUCAUUAAAAAUGUGUUUCUCUGUUGUUGUUGUACUCCUCCUGCGGUUCUUCCUGAAACCAUAAACACCCAUCAUUAUUCCAUAUUAGUCCACAUAUCAUAACACAACAACAACAAUGGCAAUAAUAUUCAUUUCACUUUUAUCAAUUUUUUUUCUCACUUACACUCCUCAUUAUUAUCCUUUAACAUUUUCAGCUCAUUAGUAGUCCAAGUGGACAUCAUGAAUUCAAUUUUGAUCAACAUUUAUUCUCUCUUUUUUUUUAAGAUCAAGACACACUUUAUGAAGGGCGAAAAAACAAAUUCUACCCUUAAUACGACUAAAUUUUGCCGUUUUAUCGACUUGGCCAAAGCAGCCACCAAGGGUGGCAGCUUGACCUCUCCGCAGAUUUUUAUUUGUAUCUGGAGUUCCAAGACUCCAAAUUAGAAGGCGUCAGACUCGUUGGAAAGCUAACACUCCCAACUAUAACUUCUGUGAUGGACCCUCCCUAGAUUCUAUCAUCUUCAGGUCCAAAUUCCCCUAGGAACUAGGGCAACGAACCUGCCCUGUUUUGUCAAUGGAGAAGGUACUAUAUAUUUUUAUCUCCAAUCCUACUUCCUAUCAAAAUCCAUGUUUUCACCUUAUGCAUGGUAACCUAGAGUGUAGGUUCCUCUUCCUUACAAGUUACAAUUUGUAACUACUACAUCAACACAUCUAAUUAAUUAAUAGGGGAGUCAUACGUUCUCCUCUAUUUUUCUUCCCCUCCAGUGGCCGGUCCUUAAAUCUGUUCCUUCUCUCUUUAUAUAUAACUCAAUCACUACAUAUCCUUAUUGUUCACCUCCUAAAACUGUUUCUAUUUUGCAAUAAGGAAAACAACGCAAACAAUCAAAAUUUCCCUUCUUUCUUUAAACCCAUGGCCGGCCACUAUUUCCCCUUAGUCUUUGAUGUUGUCAAAAAAGACGCAUUAAAAGUCGAACGCGUUCAAAAGACCUUUAUUAAAUUUAAAUUCUUUUUUAGACGAUAUUGAAAAUGUUAAAAACAAUGCAAAUAUAUCAAGAGCAUAUAUAUUUUUUGGGUUUUGUAGUUUUUUUGCUAUUUUUGGAUUUUUUUGAAAACUUAUAAAAAAGAUGGGUCAUAAAUUGGGUAGCAGCAAUUAAUGUAUUUCAUUGGUCGUUGGUAUCAGUGGUCGGAGAGAGUAGUUGUUGUUGUUCUAGGAUUCAAGCAACAAUACACCUAAAAGGGAGGUGAAUUAAGUAUUCCACAAAUAAUAAUAAAUAUUGAAAUUAAUUCAAUUAAACACAAUAAACCAACAAUAUAAUUAAAUUGCAUAACGUAAAGAGCAAAAUUAUAAAAAUUGUAAACCCAGUCUUGUAUAUUUUGUUCUUUCACAAGUCCAAGUUGAAACCCCUCCGUAGAGAGUAGUUGUUGUUCUACUAUCACGCGUACGGGCCCCAUGUUUUAAUUCCGUCGGCAAAAUCACCCGCCAAAACCUUAGCGCCAUCUACCCGCCCUUUUUUCAUUAAUUCUGAAUUGUCUGUCGGUAAUUCGGUCGGUAAUUACUGACCGAAUUACAGACGCAAAGUUUCCGUCGGUGAGUUCGACCGAAAAAUACCGAUGGAAAAAAUUCCGUCGGUGAGUCCGUUGGUAUUUAGCGAAUUUCUGGUAGUGCCCAAACUUGGUCCCUCAGCUUCUUUCCUUUUUUUUUUUGUAAAUUUGAUUUUUCUUAUUUUUUUGAAAACAAGGAAUAUCUACGUCGACUGAACAAGGAAAAUCAAUGAUUUUAAAAAAGACGCAUUAAUAGUCGAACGCGUUCAAAAAACCUUUUAUAAUUUAAAUUCUUUUUUAGACGACAUUGAAAAUGUUAAAAACAAUGCAAAUAUAUCAAGAGCAUAUAUAUUUUUGGGGUUUUGUAGUUUUUUGCUAUUUUUGGAUUUUUUUGAAAACUUAUAAAAAAGAUGGGUCAUAAAUUGGGUAGCAGCAAUUAGUGUAUUUCAUUGGUAGUUGGUAUUAGUGGUCGGAGAGAGUAGUUGUUGUUGUUCUAGGAUUCAAGCAACAAUACACCUAAAAGGGAGGUGAAUUAAGUAUUCCACUAAUAAUAAUAAAUAUUGAAAUUAAUUCAAUUAAACACAAUAAACCAACAAUAUAAUUAAAUUGCAUAAAGUAAAUAGUAAAGGGAUAGAAAUUGUAAACCCAGUCUUGUAUAUUUUGUUCUUUCACAAGUCCAAGUUGAAGAUUACAAUUAUAACUUGAUGAAUUCACACCAAGAUAUUACACCACUUGAAGAUAUUGUCUUUUUUGACAGUUUGAACCUGCUGAAUCUUCAAUCAAUACUAAUCCUAUAUAUAUAUAUAUAUAUAUAUAUAUAUAUGCAUAUAUGCAUAGUGAAGUGUUUAAGUUCAUUUUAAUUGUGCUAUUAAGCUAAAAUAUAAAUAUUUACAUAAUUACCAAAAUGAGCAAUUAAUUCUUAGAUUCUCAUAUGAUCUUCAUUUGCUUUGGUGGCUAGGUUAGAAGAAGAAAACUAUUUUUUUUUCUACACUAUUAUUUCAUUUUAUUUUCUUUCUCUAUCUUAAGUUUUUCUUCAAAGGGUUGCUAGGGUUUCUUACCCACCUUUUGUUUUCCCUCUAAUUUUUCUAUGGAGGCUAGAGGUUUUUUUUUACACCUCCCCCCUUUUCUUACCUUGCCUUUCUAUUUAUAGCCAAUGGGGUAGGUUCUAGAAUCUGUAUAGAAUAUUUAAAACAAUACAGCCUCUCUCAUCAGCGCUGUCUCUUUUCGUCACCGUCGAGUUACUACUAUCUUACCCCACGUUGACUCAAGGAACCAUAGCCGCUACUUCCACAGUACCAUUAACCUGAGGUGUUCAUUACCGGAAUCAUAACCCAAGGCAGGCCAGGCCCACUCACAUCGUCCAUGUGCAUCUUCAGCGUGCUCGUUAAAAGAGUGAAGAUGAGGUACGGGAUAUCCAGUGGAGCUGUCUCGAGCCAUCAUAAUCACUCAAGGUAUAAAGCUUCUACCUAUUAUCAUUUAGUUGUAAUCUUUUACAUGUGCAUGCUACUGCAAAGGCAAGCUCCCGUUUUUCCUUUAUGCGCUGUGAAGUUAACAUAUAGUGUUGUAAGGUGUGUGGAUCUUUAAGUCCUAACCUGGUCACGGGUGUUCUUUCACUUGCUACGGAUACUGAAGGGGAUGGGGUGUGAUUUUUGCUUCAAACGCAUAUGAUCUUGAAAACUUGAUUGCAUGUCCUAAGGUCAUGUUAAGACCUUGCCUAGUUAAUUAAGAAUGCUCUUACCCAAGGUUAAAGUUCAAGAACGGUAUGAGAAGGUGGAAAAAGAUGUUGAUAACUAUUGGGGUCAUAGGACAGUCAGGGAGUUUUUCCAUACCAUGCUUGGGCUUUGGAUGUAUGUUUCCUUGACAUGACAUGGGUAUGCACGGUUUGAUGUAAUUUAAAGCUUUUGAAAGUUCUCUUGACAUGAGAUACUUAUUUUAUCAUGUAAAGAAAACUAAUGGGAUAGACUUGCUUUAACCAAUAAACAUGCCAAUUAUUAGAAAAGCAAAACAAUACUUUAGUUAUAAGCAAACAAAGAAACAAUACAACUUAUAUUAUGUAUAAUGUACUAGGGAUGAUAAUAUUCACUCUAUAUAAAAUUAAUUUUUUUAUCCAAACUCUAAAAACUAUAUAAGGUUUCAGUAUUCAAAAUAUAAAAUGGUGACUUCAAAUAUUUUUGUUAAUAUAGGACAAUAAAUCCAUGUUCUUUCGCACUACACGAAAGUCUUGAUUUAAAAAGAUGAUCACAAUGAUCCUACAACCGUGCUACAUUCAACAUGGUACUUUCCAUGAGUCAUCUGAACCCUUCACUUGUAAACUAGGAUCACAAACAGCAUUCACGUUAGCUGCACAGCUUGUAGAAGGGCAGCCAGUAGAACCUCCUUGCGGGGUUAUCGAAAUCAAGUAAACAGCCAAACAGUGGAACACGUGAAAAUCAAGAAGAGAGAAAAGAAAAAGAAAAGUCUGUCCCUGCCAAACCAAACAAUCAUCUGCCAGCCACACGUACUAUCUCAUUAAAUUAAAGCAGGUGUGUAGGGUGAAGUUUGAAAUAUAAUUUAUAUUAUUUUUAAAUAAUUUUUUAAAUAAAAAUUAUUUGAAUUAAAAAUUUAUACGGUUAAUAUUACAUGGUUAUUAAAGUUUUAAUAUCAUGUUAAAGAAUCAAUUUAACCCAAAAGUUUAAUCUAUUAAAUUAAGUCUAGAUAUAAUUUAUAUUAUUUUCUAACAAAAAUAAAUCACGACAAAAAAAAUACCCAAUGAAAUAUACAAAUACCCUUGUUUUGAACCAUAAGUGACUAUCUAGAUAUCUCAAUUAAUGAGAAAGCAGACUAGUAAACAGCCAAUUAGAGGAACGCCCUGCUUCACUCUAAUGAAAGCAAUUGGAUGCAGGAAUAGGGCCAAUUCUCAACUAAUCUAGACUUGAGCUUGAUUAAGAAGCACAAUUCUCAACUAAUCUAAUGUUCAAUAAUGAAAACAAGAAAAAAAUCAAUUUAAAAAAAUUGUAAAAGUGAAAAAAUAUAGAAAUCAAAAGAAUAAGGAUUAAAUCUGAUAGAAAAAAAAAACUUAUGAAGGAUGAUAUUGUAAAAAAAAUCAAAUAAAAAAAUUAUCUCCAACAAAAAAAUAACAAUCAAAAUAAUAGGGACAAAAUUUAAAAGAUAAAAAAACUGAAAGGGGAUUAAAUUGUCAAAUAAUUCCAAUUUAAUAAAUUAUUCCAAACAAAACAAACAAUGAUAAAAAAAAAAACAUCACCAAAUCUAUAGGAAUAACAAAUUGAAGACGUGCUUUGAAAUUUUGAAGGGGCACACAUGAAAAUCAAUGGGAGAGGAAAGAAGAAGAGAAAGAAACGAUUGUCUGCACAAAACCAAACAACCAGUUCACUUGGUCUUACCAAAUGGUCGAUUGGAUCAACUUAAAUACUAGAUUUUGAUAAUUUGAACCUGUCGAAUCCAAAACCGAUACUAAUCAUAUAUACAUGUAGAGUUAAGUGUUUGAGUUCAUUUUAAUUGCGCUGUUAAUCUAAGAUAUAAAGAUUUACAUAUUUAUUCAGGGCCUAUUUAAAAUUGUGGUAACAGUAAUAAUUUAAAAUACUUUUACACUUAAAAAUAUAUAAAAAUUCUUAGUUUCUCAAUAGAUUUCAUAUUCAUAAAUUCUUAAGGUAACUUAGAUUAUAUAAUGGCGAUAAUUCUAAAAAAAAAAAAAGCUAAAUUUAUUUAUAAAAUGAGCAUCGCAUGAUUACUAUUAAAAUGAUAUGAUUAGCACCUGAUGACAAUGUUUUGAAAUUGAAUUCGACACUGCAUCUACCUCGUACAUAUAAGUUGUAGGAUUGGUACCUUGAUCAAUGAACCGAAAAUAUCUUCAAUUGAUAAUGAAUGGCAUACAGUUUUACCAUAUCAACAACAUGAAAAUUGAUAAUCGAUCCUUUUGGGAUAUGUCAAUCCCGAAUCUAUUUUUUAAUUAAUUAUCAUAAAAACAUUUAUUAAAUGUGUUAUCCUCCAACUCUUUCCGUAAAAAGAAAGAGUUGUGAACCACCACAUUUGAUCAUGGACAAAAGGUAAUCAAAUAGUUGCCUCCACUAGGACAAGUAAACGUGCUUGAUUUAUCAUCAUAAGCAUAACUAUAAGCUUCAGGACACUGCUUCUUGAAGAUCGUCGAAUAUUGGUUAGGAGGACAUUUGUCAGGUGUACUGUACUCUCCUGUGCAGCAGAACUGCGGAUGCUUAAAUGCCAAACACGCGCUCUUGCAGGCAAUCACAGUCCCAUCUGAACCCUUCACUGCUAAACU
RNAcentral lists this long non-coding RNA (113457 nucleotides) under Populus tremula. RNAcentral's name for it is "long non-coding RNA (PTRE_LNC000145)". The stretch from base 67613 to 67768 matches the Rfam family "MIR2912 microRNA precursor family". Lineage: Eukaryota; Viridiplantae; Streptophyta; Magnoliopsida; Malpighiales; Salicaceae. The record is from RNAcentral.